GGAAGGGUUGUACUCCAUCACAGCUAGCACUGGCCUGGGUCCAUCACCAAGGCAAUGAUGUUUGCCCCAUACCGGGCACUACCAAGAUUGAGAACCUCAAUCAGAAUAUAGGAGCUUUGUCUGUAAAACUGUCUGCAGAGGAAAUGGCGGAACUUGAAUCCAUCGCUUCUGCAGGAGUCAAGGGUGAUAGGUAUGGGCCUGGCCUUGUUACUUGGCAAACUUCUGAAACUCCACCUUUGUCAACCUGGAAGAGGACAUGAAGACAUAUCUUUGUUAUGGCAAUAAUUCCUUCUAGCUAUGUGCCUGAGGGUGGAUUUCAGUAUAUUGACAGUUGAGUGACGUAUUUGUUCCAAUAAAUUUCGUCAUACUAUUGUCUCGAGGUUUUAGGCAAGUAAAGUUAUAAGAAGAAUGCGUUAAAGGUUUCUUCAGAGGUUGUACUGAAUAAAAAUCUGAUCAUGUAAAAAUAGAACAUAAUUUUCCUUGCAGUUGAAUGCGUUAAAGGUUAGCUAUUCUAGUUUUGAAUGCUAUAGCAGUCCAUUUCUUAUAUGCUACACUGUUACAAGAGAUAUAGACUGUCGAACAGCAUUUUAUGGUCGGAAUGUUUACAUCAAAAGCAUCUCCAAGGACAUGUCAUUCUAAAGUGUAUAAACUACAUCAUACCAACAAAAAGCAGAAAAAGGCCUAAGGUAUGGGAUAUUUCUAAAAUUUCAUGGGAGGCUUGUGAUAGCAAAAACUUCUGAAAUUGUCCCUUGAACUAAACUGAAAGACAGACAAUGGUAAGAUUUUAAGCAUGUCUUGUUAAGUUAAAAGGUUAAAACUUUACAUACAAAUAAAUGGUCAAAUUCACUUUAAAAUUGUGGUGUCAUCUUCCACCUUAAACUUUUGUACUAUCCAAGUUUGUUUUAAUUCCUUUGGGAAAAUGAAACAUCGAAUGCAUUCAAAAAAAUGGAAAGGAAAUGGCUUACCUUUGCACUUACGUAUCCAAUUCCAAUUUGAACAUUACAUCAUCCAUCCAAUUGAAAACAAACUCCUAUGGAGAUUUUUUUUUUUCCUUUAUUUUGUUAUUAGAUCUGAAUUUAUUUCACAUUUGGUUGUCAGAUCUAAAAUUUUUUUCAAAGUUUGAAUCUAUUUCAAUAUAUUUCAUUAUCAUUAUUGAAACUUAAAACAGUUUAUUAACAAAUCUGGCGAUUGCCAUAUGUACGAAAGGGAGACACUUUUAAAAUUCUUUAUAUUUUUUUAGAUCUGUUUGUAAUUUUCAAUUCUACUGUAUCUGUUAAAUUAUGAUCUGUAAUUUUUAAUGCAUGUUUGACCUACCAUUAGGGGAGUUAUGUAAAUCAAAUCAUGUUAGAUGAUUUCCAAAAAAAACUUAACCGUUAAUUUCUCUUCCCCGUUUUAUUUGUCCACUCUUCAAUUGUCAAUAACUCUUUUAAGAUACUUUGUAAUACAAAAUCAACUAAAACCGGUAGAAUCUGUAAUUAAUAGCAGUAUUCAUAUCAUGUUUUUGUAUAUUACUCGUACAUCUAAUUAGUCACAUUUGGAGAAAGAAAAAAAAAAGAUGAAAAUAAAAUUCCCCGAAUUUUGUGGUUUUUUUUGGUGCCUUGUUUAAUCUCUAAUUUUGUUUUUUGGGUUUUUAUUUUAAUCGAUUUUGGUUAUAGAGAUUAAGUUUCUCAGCCCGAUUAAUCGGUUAAUUAAUUAAACAUGGUUUGAGUUGGGUUGGUUUAGAGAUUUGGUUUAUAAAAGAACACUUGGCAAGUUUAGAAGGGGUGGGAUAGGGAAUGAGACAGGGUGUGAUACAGAGAUCCGUUGCGCAUGGCGAGCCACAUUUAAAAAUUGGUUCCUACCAUAAAGCCUAUCAUGUCCUGACACAAGAUGGACUGUUUUUUUUAAAUUUUUUUUGAAAGCAAGUGAAAAGUGUUGCAACUCAGGACUUGGAUAGUAAUUUUAAAAUUUAAUAGUGCACCUACCUUUUAACUUUUUUCGUGUGCUUUUAAGGUAUCAAAUGGGGAAAAAAACCAAUACCAUAUAACUUCAAAUGCAAGAUGGUACGAAAUUUGUUAAUAUGGAGAUGUUAAUAUACAUUGACAUGUAAAAAGUGCACUUUUAUCAAAAAGAUAUUUAUACUAAUAUUACAGUCAUUUUUUUUUCGAAAAUUCAACUUUUCAUGCAAAUAUGUAAUCAAUAUGCAUAAAUAGAUAGCAUUAGAUGAAUUUAAACAAGUAGCCUUCAAAUUUAAAAAUAUUUGAUUUCGUAAAUGUGCAUUCGCGAUUUAGAAAAAGUACUUUUCAAAUGGCAAAUCUAGAGAGCAAUAAAUACUCCUAGUUUAUUUUGAUUUUAAAUCUUCUUUUGACUUGUCAAAAAAGUGAAAACAUGAAACUAAUAAUGGGUCAGAUGCAGAUGAGUAUUAGAAAUUUGUUUUCUAGACUCUUUGGUCUCGCAAUUUUUUCAACAAUCAACUCCGACCAUUAUCACGGUCAUGUGAUUGUAGGUCUACCAGGUUUCGUAGUCCACGACAUGGAUUGGAUAUGUUGAUUAGCUGCCACCUUUUGGCGGAGGUGAGGUUCAAACCUCACCUGUAGUAAAAAAAAAAAAUUUAAGGGUUGUGUCAUAGUACUUUCUUGAUUUAGUUGAAUAUGUAUAUCCACUAACACCUAACACAAGUCUCCUUAUGCUCCCCUAGAUUAGGAUAGAAUAGGAUAUACAAUUGUAUCGUUGCCGAAAAAAAAUAUUAGUUGCCACCCUAUUGUCAUUAUUUUUCUUUUGUCAAUCAGCAACGUCUAUUCUAUUCAUAGUUAUUAAACCCGGCCCGGGAAGGAGUCCGGUGAAAGAGCUGAGUCAACGGGUUACUGGUUUAACCGGUGGGUGAGUGGUCCAACCGUUAGGUCACUACAUAUAUUUAAAUAUUAUGUUUUAUAAUUUUUUACGCCAUAAUAAAUAUUCAGUUAGUUUAAUUUAUUAUAGAUUCAUUAAUUUUUAUAAGAAUUAACAACCUAAAUUUAAUUAGUAAUCCACCAACUUUCAAGUAUAAAAUUUUAUCUCAGUGUAAUUAUCUAGUUUAUUUAUGAAUUUUAAGUGCAAAAGUUUAUUAAGAAUAAUAUUGGCCUUUAAAAUGAUUUGUGUAAUAUGUUAUUUUUAAGUCAAUUUCAUAAUUUAUAGAGUUCAGGGAAUAAUAAAAAUAUUAUUAAAAGAUUCCAAAUAACUAAUACUCUAAUAUAUAGUAUAAGAACAAAAUAAUUAAUAUAUGGUUGGCUGGUCUAGUGGUAAUGGUAGUCUACUUUUUUGCAUGAGAUCACGUGUUCGAAUCUCCAUUCUAGCAAUAUUUAUACAUUUUUUUCUUUUUCGUAGAACGGGUUCAAUGUUGAAACGAUCUUAUCAAGAACUCGGCUCGGUUUCAUGGCCGGUUUACCGGAUUGAUCGAUUGAACUGCCGGGCCGGGUCGGAUUUAAUAACUAUGAUUCUACUUCUAUUUUGAUUUCUAUUUUAGGGGAAGGGGAGGUCCAAUUGAAAAAUUGAUAGCUAUUGAACCAUCAUCGGAUAAAAUGAGUGCACUAUGCACGUAUGCGAAUCUAGGAGAAGCCGGCGCAAUGAUGGGAGGCAAUGUUUGAAUUUUUACCUGCCAUUCCACUAAGAUUUAUAGUCUUUGGUGGUGGCUAAUCACCCAAAGAGCUGUUGGUUAGCUCCCACCCUAUUAGAAACUAAAGGUUUUCAACCUUCUAAAAAAAAUGUUUUUGACUUUAAAAAAAAAUAUUUUUGUUUUUGUUUUUUCAAAAAUUAUUUUCAUCUAUCACCAACGGCAGUCAUGGGUUAUUUAUCCAAACAUAGAUCCGAACAACACUAAUCUCUCAGCAGCCAUCCCCUCAUUCCUUCUUGUAUCCUUUUUAUGAAUAGGAUUCAUCUUUUUGGUGUUCUAAAAUCACAUUUAAAAAGUUUUUUUCCCGAAAGUGUUAUUAUUUAGGAUGUGAAUGUUAAUUUUAAAAUUUUAAUAGUGGACCUAAAAAAAACUUGUAAAUUUUACAUAUGAGCACAAAGGGAAAAAAAAAACCACAUAACUUCAAGUCCAAGAUUGUAUGCAGUUUGUCCAAUAAAUAGAUAUUCAUAAUUCAUAAUUUCAUAUAUACAUGUUAACUAAAAGCGUUAAUCACAAUCCAAUUAUAUUGAUCUGUUCAAACCCGUUCACUAAUAAUCCGUCCAAAUUGGCCCAUUAACUUUAAAUGGGUUAAAGUGAGUAUAUAAGUAAACCCAUUUAAUUGGUGGAUAGUUGAUUGAUUCGUCUUACCCAUUUAUACCUAUUUAAAAAUAAAUAUACAUUUAAACUCAAAUUUUACUAAAUGUUAAGAAGAUAAAUUUGAAUUUCCUACGAAUCUAAUAAUAAUAAAAUAUCAUUUUUCUUGUCAAACAACAUGUGAAAUAUAAAAAAAAAAGUAGAAUUUCAAAUUAAUCAUAAAUGAGUAAUUGAGUAUUCUCAUAUCUAUUUGUUAAAUGGAUAUAAAUGAAUUGAUUCAAUUAUAACUAUUACUCAACUAGAAUCCGCUCAAACCCGUCUAAGUUAAUCAUUUGACACCCCUAAUGUUAAUAUAUAUUGACAAGUGAAAAGUGCAGCAUUUAUCACGAAGAUAUACUUAUUUAUCUCAAUAUUAAAGUCAUUUUUUCAUUACAAAAAUAUUGAUAAUUUCAUAAUUUCAUGGAAGUAUGUAACCAGUGACAUAACAUAGUCGCCAGUGGCGAAUCUUGUCACGAGUCCUCUUUUCAACACUUUGAUUAUGGGAUACACUUUUAACAAUAUGCCCCCACGUUGUUUUUCGAUCACUUUUUUUUUUUAAACCUCACAUUCGUUCGUUAUGUAUGUAUAAUUUCUUUUCAAAAAACUCCAAAAAAGUGGCAGCCCAAACGGGGCCAACAAUCUACUAUGUUCGGCUGUUCUCCCGCCGGACCCACCGCCGGCGGCCAAUAGCCGCCGGACCCACCGGCCGGCGGCGGCUGAUGGCCGGCGGCGGCCAUGGGUCAUCUAUAAAAGCAUAGAUCAAGACUACACUAAUCCCUCAUCAGUCCAGUCCAUCCAUACUUCUUCUUCAGGCCUCAGCUACUAAACAAUAAACUCUGCUCCACUCAAUUCUUUCCUCUGUUUCUUGUGGUUUUUGUCUGAAAAUGGCGGCAUCAGAAGAAGUGAAAGUGCCAAGAAUCAAGCUGGGGUCGCAAGGUUUUGAAGUUUCAGCUCAAGGGCUGGGCUGCAUGGGCAUGUCAGCCUUCUACGGGCCGCCAAAGCCCGAGCCUGAUAUGAUCAAACUCAUCCACCAUGCUAUUAGCAGAGGCAUCACCCAUCUUGACACCUCCGAUAUCUAUGGACCUCACACCAACGAAAUACUCAUUGGCAAGGUACCGUAUUUGCAAAUUUUCUGCUGUUGUGUGCCAUGCAUAAACUCUUGUACUUCUAAUUUCUAAAAGAGCAUAUUUGUAAGUAUUUUAGUUGGGUAUAUUAUAUUUAAACCCCUGCACUUGAAAUCUUGUCGCCCUUUAUAUUAUAUACGACAACUGGUCACAUCAAAGUGAAAGAGGAGGGCACUGUAAUUUUUUAUAUUGAAAGGUAUUUAUGUGUAAUUAUCAGAAACUUCAGGGGAGGUUUCUGAAAUUAUCCCUAAUAUUUAUACUAUAUAUAAAGGGAGCCUUAAAUUUGGUGUAAACUUUUUUUUGUCAUCUUUUAGAUUUCCAGCUUCACCCUCUCGAUCACUUAAUUAUACCACCAUAUUGCUAAUCAGCUUAACCACAAAUUAACUUUCACCCCAAUUAUCUAAAUAUAUAUUGCCUACAUAACUACCUACAAACAUUGUAACCAACAAGUUAAUUAAAAUUCUAUUAAAGAACUAUUUUUUUGACAAAUAUUCAAAAAACUAGUAAAAGAACUAUAUUGUCUCCCUUAAUUUUGUUUGUCAGCACUUAAACUCCAUCUGUUUAAAUUGUAAGUAUUAUUAGUCAAAUAAGACAAUAAUAUUCUUCAUUUUUUCAGAUGUUUGUCCUCAAUUGUAAGAGAAGGUUGUAGGUCUAGCACAUACGUUGAAUAGCUGUAUCCGAUUAGAAGGAUUUAGAACUCUUCUACCAUCUCUUUUUUUUUUCUUUUGUUUUUUCCUUCAAAAUUCUACAUCAUAACGGAGUUGGUAAAAUAGUACUAUUUUCGUCUUUGAAGUUAAAAUUGUCAUCAAUUUAUGGAAAGUUUACUAUUACUCUGAUAAGAGAUGUUAAAAUUUACUUUUUACGAGCACUAAAGUUUUAAAGAUUAUGAAAAGAGAAUUGUAUGAAGGAAUAGAAGGGAAAAGAAAGGUAAGAAAAUGGAUGGAUUGUGUUUGGAUUGAUUUUGGGUGGGGAAAGGAGAGGAAACGGAAAGAAAAGGAAAUGGAUGGAUUGUGUUUUGCUCAGACAUCAUUUCCAUACAAAAAUAGACGGAAACAGAGGGAAAGAAAAUCUAGUUGAUGAUUUUCUUAUAAAAUGCCUCAAGCACCCAAAUUUUACAUAAACUUGAGUAACCAUGUGUUUCAUAUCUGUAGAACUUGCCAUUUGUGAAACCUGCUUUAGAUAUGAAUUGUGGGAUGCAACAGCAGGCUAGGAAUGUUUGACUAAGCAACUUAUGUAAAUAUUUUAUCGUUAAGUGAAGUUCCUCUUUUGCUGUUCAAAAAAAAAAAAAAAAAGAGAGAGAGAAAAACCAUUCCUUUAAUGUCUGUCAUUCUACCAAACAGCAGAUUUAGGUUUUCUUUCUUUCCCAUCCAUAUCUAAUCCAAAUAAGGCAAAUGAGAACUAUUUUCCACUACUCUCCUUUCCUUUCUUUUUCACUAGGAUGUUUUAUUUAUUUAUUUAUCCUUUCCUUUGAUCCAAAUGGUUCCUAAAAGGGCCCUAAAUAAUUAUUCUACAUUGAUCAGUUCCCUAUUUUUGUAUUAAUUUGCAUGUGCACGAUUCUGUGUAUGUUCAUGUUGUGCAUCAAAUCUUGUGAAUGACAAAGCUAGAGUGUAAAUUUAAGUUGAAGAAAUAUAAACCAAAAAAGAAAAUGGAUUGGCUCCUUUAAGAGUAUCAGACUUCUAAACCCCAAGGAUUACAUAAUUUUCAUAUCCUUUGCUAUACAAAGAAGUGGCAUAGCCUUAACAAUGAAGUGCUGGAAAAACUCCAGAAGGACUGUGCCAUCCAUGAAAUCACAAUUCCGCUUGCUAUACCAUGCAUUAAUGUGUAUGCCCUUGAUGAUUAAUAUAAUGAAAUCAUGGUUCUAGGCCUUGAAGGAAGGAAUAAGAGCGAAAGUGGAGCUAGCAACAAAAUUUGCAAUCAGUUAUCAGGAUGGGAAAGUUGAUGUACGUGGUGAUCCAGCCUAUGUGAGGGCUUGUUGUGAAGCGAGUUUGAAGCGGCUUGAUGUGGACUGCAUUGAUCUCUAUUAUCAACAUCGCAUCGAUACACGUGUGCCCAUUGAAGUCACGGUUUGCUCCAUCUUGCCAUCCACCUCAUUCUUGAUGAAACAAAAGUUUGAUCAACUCCAAAUUUCGAAUAAUUCAGUUUCAUGUGCGUUUCAAUUCUUCAAAAAUUGCACAGAAAAGUUAGUCAACCUUAUGGUCUAGGCUAAUCUGCAGUAUGGUAUUGCUGAUUUAGCACAAGGCAUCCUGAAAAGUGAAAACAAUGAAAAUGUCUUAUAUUAGCUUGACAGUCCUGCUGAGGGAUAUACAGGUUGAUAUCAUGCUAUACAUUGUACAGCUUUCCUUUAGAAGCAAGAGACCUGAGCAUUCUCUUUCAUUUGAGAUAGGCUAUCCAGUUGAGUAAUGAUAUGCUAUUUACUUACCUUGUCAUUCGUUUUCAGUCGGUGCCAAAAGCACUGCAGAUAGAAGUUUUUUAGUCGAUAUCUAAAAAACGUGGUACUCAUUUUGUUCAGAGUAUAGCUUUUUGUCUAAUUGUGAAAGCCAGCUGCGACUACCCCAUUGACCUCUCUAAGCAAUUCAAAGAUUGCAGCUGCUUGCUUACAUUCAGCUUUUAUGAAAACAAUUUCUGUCUUCUUUUUCUAAUAUAGUCAGCAAAGAAUUGUCUUGUUUUUCCUGAGUAUUAGGAAGAAACUUUCUUGCAGUUUAAUCACUUAAAAUACAGGCAAGUAUAAAGGAAAUCAAGGAAAUUGACAACUGAUAAUUGAUAUGUACAGCCAUUAUUAUAUCUAGACGAAGUCAACAAUGUCGUGUAAUCAUAUUGGAGGAGCAUUAUGUUGGCAUGGUCCGGUGGGCUGUACAUAGAGAAGUAUCACUGGAUGCUUAUUGCCAUUUUUGUCAAUUAUUGAUUUCAGUUUGACGUAUACUUUGUCCACGACUUCAUUGAACUAGUGCAACUUUUACUUUUUUGCACGUAAUAUUUCGAUUAUCUGCCUAAGUAUUGAAUGUAAUAAAUCAGCUUUGCAUUUUCUUGUCCAUUGAAAUUCUCUAGAUAGGAGAGCUCAAGAAACUGGUUGAAGAGGGUAAAAUAAAGUAUAUAGGUCUGUCUGAGUCCUCAGCUUCAACAAUUCGAAGAGCACAUGCUGUUCACCCAAUAACAGCUGUGCAGUUGGAGUGGUCAUUGUGGAGCAGAGAUGUCGAGGAGGAGAUUAUUCCCACUUGCAGGUAGUGCAUAUAUUCUGCUGCAUUUUCUACGUGGUCUAGAAGAAAUAUGAAGUUCUUAAUUCAGUUUUUGGUAUAAUCUUUCAGAGAGCUUGGAAUAGGGAUUGUUGCAUACAGUCCACUUGGAAGAGGAUUCUUCUCUUCAGGUCCAAAGCUGGUCGAGAAUUUGGCUGAAGGUGACUGCCGAAAGGUUUGUGCAUAUCCAAAACUAUGAAGUUUUUGAGUAUAGAUUGUUUAUAGUUCGAAUAAGUUUCUCACUCAUCUACUUUUACCACUUCAGUGACAAUCUUGCUUGAUAUCCCUAUUCUUGUCUAUCUGUCAUAUGUUGCUGCACUUUUUGAUGUCCAAUAAUUUGAUUAAGCCUUAUAAUAUGAUCACAUUUAAUCAAAUUUCUAUUAAGCAGAGCAAAUCAACAGGCUUUUUUUUUUUUCCUGUCGAACAAGUCUUGAGGUCUUUAGUUGAUUGAAUGAAUUCAGAUUUUGGUGUCCUCUGUAUUUAGUUCAAAUUAAAAGAUAUGGCGCUAGCUUUGUCAGAUUUUAGAUCUUAUAUUAAUUGAAGGUUGUUAUUGCAUGCUGGACAACAAUCACAAGCAAUCGAUAGUAUCGAAUUUUAAAGUGCAAAGAUGUCCUAAGACGUCAAAACAGGAAGAAACUAUGUCACUUUUUAUGUAAAAGUCUCUUUUCAGUUUUGAGGGGAAAUGGACCUUGGACUUCAAUUUCAUCAUUUAGUCUCAGGCACAGAAUUUCAUCAUUUUGUCCUGUGAAACUAUCAUUUUUCCUUUACCAUUAAUCCUAAAACUGAGUUUCAUUGGUCAGAAGUGUACUUCUUAGUACAAACAAUAGUUGAUAUGCAUUUUAAGGUUCCCCUUUGAUGGGAAAUGUAUCUCAGAACUUAACUCCAACAGUUGAUGUUUCCUACUUGGAUUAUUCAGUCCACCUUGAUGCAUUGUUCUUUGCCCUGAACUUGUGUCCUUCAAACAAUAUUGCUGAUCAUCUUGAAGUAAUGUACCGUCUGUUCAUUUCUCCCUUCUGAUUUCUUGCAUUAUAGUUUGCUCUUUAAUGGGAAAUGUAUCUCAUGAUCUACCUUCUACAAUUAAUGUUUCUUAAGAGUACUCAGUCCAGCUUACUGGAUUGUUCUUUCCCCUGAACUUUGUACACCUCAAACAAUACUAUUGAUCAUCUUGAAGUUAUUCAUAUUGUCUUCAUUUGUAGACGACACAUGCUUCACUUCCUUUUGCAUUUCUGGCGUUACAGUAGCAUAAAAUUUUGAAAUUCAUACAAUGUAGGGUAUGCCAAGGUUUCAAGCAGAGAAUUUGGAGCACAACAAGAACUUGUACGAGCAGGUCAAUGCCAUUGCUUCAAGGAAGGGUUGUACCCCAUCACAGCUAGCUUUGGCCUGGGUCCAUCACCAAGGCAAAGAUGUUUGCCCCAUACCUGGCACUACCAAGAUUGAGAACCUCGAUCAGAAUAUAGGAGCUUUGUCUGUGAAACUGUCGGCAGAGGAAAUGGCGGAACUUGAAUCUAUUGCUUCGGCUAUCAAGGGUGAGAGAUACGAGUCUGACGCUGGGCUUGGUACUUGGAAAACUUCUGAAACUCCGCCUUUGUCAACCUGGAAGCGGACAUGAAGACAUACCUUUGUUAUGGCAAUAAUUCCUUCUAGCUAUGUGCCUGAUGGUGGAUUUCACUAUAUUGAGAGUUGAGUGAUAUGUAAUUGUUCCAAUAAAUUUUGACAUACUAUUGUCUCUAGGGCUAUGUCAAGUAAAGUUAUAAGAAGAAUGGAGUAUCUUCAGAGAGGUUGUAAUAAAUAAAGAUCUGGUCAUGUAAAAGCAGAAUAUAAUCUUCCUUGCAGUUGAAUGCAUUAAGAGUUAUAUAUUGUACUUUUGAAUGAUAAAGUGGUCCAUUUUUUAUGUGCUACUGCUACGAGAGUUAUAGAUUGUUGAACAGCAUUCAAUUCAGGACUUAUUAAACAUAAGCAUAUAAACAUUUUAUUCUCGGAAUAUUUACAUCAAAAGAAACUCCAAGGUCACAUCAUUGUAAAGUGUAAACUAUAUCAUAUUAAUAAAAAGCAAAAAAAAUGUCUAAAUGAGGAAAAAAAUGUACUAUAGAAGAAGUCAACAAUGUCAUGUAAUCAUUUUAUCCUAAAAUUGAGAUUCAAAUUUAGUUGAUUUGUAUUUUGAGUUUCCUCUUUGAUGGGAAAUGUAUCUCAGAACUUUAACUCCAACAGUUGAUGUUUCCUACUUGGAGUACUCAGUCCACCUUGAUGCAUUGAUCUUUCCCCUGAACUUGUGCCCGUCAAACAAUAUUUCUGAUCAUCUUGAAGUAAUUAGUACCAUCUGUUCAUUACUCCCUUCUGAUUUCUUGCAUUAUAGUUUCCUCUUUAAUAGGAAAUGUAUGUCAAGAUCUACCUUCUACAAUUGAGAUUUCUUAGAGUACUCAGUCCACCUUACUAGAUUGUUCUUUUCCCUGAACUUUGUUCACUUCAAACAAUACUAUGAUCAUCUUGAAGUUAUUCGUAUUGUUGUCUUUUGUAGACGACACAUGCUUUACUGCCCUUUGAAUUUCUGCAUUGCAGUUGCUUAAAUUUUGAAAUUCCUACAAUGUAGAAUAUGCCAAGGUUACAAGUAGAGAAUUUUAGAAUUUUAAUCCAAAUGGCAUUACAUUCCAUUCAUAAUGACCAAAAGGGGUUGUGAAUGUUGUUUUAUAUCUAUCUUUUGGUGUUAUUAAUAUUUGCCAAUAUCCUGAUUUUAGAUCAAACUUUGAAAAGAUUUUUGCUUUAAAUAAUCUAUUAAGCAAAUCUUUUUUAUUAGGAAUUGAAUAUCUGAUCCAUUGUAAAACUUUAUUUAAUGGUUUGUAAUUUAUUACUGAAAAAAGAAACCACCAAAGACCUUCAAACAGAAAUUAAUGAUCUUAAAAUACAAGUAAAACAACUACAGCGAGAAAUUAUAGAAUUAAAAACAAAAGAUUUAGAAAUAGAAGCAAAAAUAACAUUAAUAGAAAAUCAACCUUCAACUUCCAAUUCUAAAACAGAAGAAAUAAGUAUAUCAGAAAGACCAACAGAUGAAAUUCAAUAUUUAAAUACAAUAGAGAAAAUGAUAUUUCAAAAAUGGUAUGCUUUAGUAACUAUUACAGUAGAAGAUUUCAAAGAAACAUAUGUACCUUUAAUAGAUAGUGGAGCUAAUUCAAGUUGUAUUAAAGAAGGAAUAAUUCCUACUAAAUAUUGUGAAAGAACAAAAGAAACAUUAAUGGCAGCAAAUGGAGAAAAUUUACAAGUAAAAUAUAAAUUUACAAAAGGAUCAAUAUGUAACAAUGAAUAUUGUAUUAAACAUAAUUUUAUAAUUGUAAAAAAUAUAAAUCAUGAUAUAAUAUUAGGAACACCUUUUUUAAUUCAAAUUUACCCAUUUCAGUAAGUCAUGAAGGAAUUUCAAUAAAUAUAAUGGGAAAAACUGUUAUUUUUAAAUUUCUAACUCCAAUAAAACAAAGAGAAUUACAGACAUUACAAACAUCUUCUAUUUACAAAACAAUAAAUAGUAUUACUAGAGUACAACAACAAAUAAAUUAUAUUAAGGAAGAAAAAUCUUAUUUAAAAAUUGAAGAACAAUUAAAAGAAAGUAAAAUAUUAAAAAUAAUCUCAGAAUUAGAAGAACUAUUAGAAAAAGAAAUUUGUGCAGAUAUUUCUAAUGUUUUUUGGGAUAGAAAACAACAUAUGACAGAAUUACCUUACGAAACAGGUUUUAAUGAAAAAAAUAUUCCAACUAAAGCAAGACCAAUACAAAUGAAUUCUGAUUUAUUAGAAUUUUGUAAAAAGGAAAUAAAGACAUUAAUAGAUAAAGGAUUAAUAACACCUUCAAAAUCACCUUGGAGUUGUGCUGCAUUUUAUGUAAUGAAUCAAGCUGAAAAAGAAAGAGGAGUUCCAAGAUUAGUAAUAAAUUACAAACCAUUAAAUAAAGUUUUACAAUGGAUCAGAUAUCCAAUUCCUAAUAAAAAAGAUUUGCUUAAUAGAUUAUUUAAAGCAAAAAUCUUUUCAAAUUUUGAUCUAAAAUCAGGAUAUUGGCAAAUAUUAAUAACACCAAAAGAUAGAUAUAAAACAGCAUUCACAACACCUUUUGGUCAUUAUGAAUGGAAUGUAAUGCCAUUUGGAUUAAAAAAUGCACCAUCAGAAUUUCAAAAUAUAAUGAAUAAUAUUUUUAAUCCUUAUAGUUCAUUCAGUAUAGUUUAUAUAGAUGAUGUAUUAAUAUAUUCGGACUCAUUAGAACAACAUUUUAGACAUUUAAAUAUAUUUUUAAAAAUAGUUAAGAAAAAUGGAUUAGUCGUGUCAGCACCAAAAAUGAAACUAUUCCAAACUAAAAUAAGAUUUUUAGGACAUGAUAUAUAUCAAGGAACGAUAAAACCAAUUAAUAGAGCUUUAGAAUUUGCUACUAAAUUUCCAGAUGAAAUAAAAGACAAAAAUCAAUUACAAAGGUUUUUAGGAUGCUUAAAUUAUAUAGCAGAUUUUUUCCAUAAAUUAAGACAAGAAUGUUCUAUAUUAUUUAAUAGACUAAAGAAAAACCCAAAACCUUGGACAGAAGAACAUACUCAAAAAAUAAAAUAUUUAAAAGAAAAAAUUGACUCAUUACCAUGUUUAUGUUUACCACAUCCUAAAGCAUUCAUGAUAGUUGAAACAGAUGCAUCAGAAUUAGGAUACGGGGGUAUAUUAAAACAAAGAAUAGAAGAAUCAAAAGAAAAAUUAGUUAGAUAUCAUUCAGGAACAUGGUCUGACUCUCAAAAGAAUUAUUCAACCAUUAAAAAGGAAAUUUUAUCAAUAGUUUUAUGCAUAUCAAAAUUUCAAAAUGAUUUAUAUAACAAAAAAUUUUUAAUUAGAAUAGAUUGUAAAUCUGCAAAAGAAAUUUUACAAAAAGAUGUUCAAAAUAUAGUUUCAAAACAAAUAUUUGCUAGAUGGCAAGCUAUUUUAUUUGUUUUUUAUUUUGAAAUUGAAUUUAUAAAAGGAGAAAAUAAUUCAUUACCAGAUUUUCUUACUAGAGAAUUUUUACAAGGACAUGGAUCGUGAAAUGAUGGCCCAAAGAACUGAUCGAGAAUAUACCAAUUACCUAAGAACUCAAAGAGAUUCUCCUAAACUAUUAAACAAAGAAGCAGCUUUUCAAUUCAGAGGAUAUCAAUAUUUUAUUCAGACCAGUAAUGGAAGACAAAGUAUUCCAGCCUAUCAAAUUUCCAAACAUGAUACAGUGUAUAUUCAGAAAAGCCAUUUCGCAACCCUUACACCAAAGGAGAGAGCUUUUCUCAUUCAAAGAGAAAUUCAGAGAAACACUAUCAGAAUUCAAGUCCUAAGGAGAUCAGGAAGAAAUGAGGAAUUUCUUCAACAUUACAAAGAUCAAAAUAAAUAAUUAUCUAAUCAACUUAAAGAUGUUGUUUAUUGAUUUUGCAGGAACAUGGAUUCAAAAGCAGGAAAUUCUAAACCCAAGACUCCUCAAGAUUAUGAGAUGAGUCUUACUCCUGUAAAUCAAAAUAGAUUUCAAUUAUUGCAAGAUUUUCCAGCAUUGACUUAUAGUCAAGCUGCUCAUACUCCAACUUCUUCCCAAAUAAGACCUCUUCAACAAAUUCUAAAAACCUCAGAAAAAUCUAAUGAAAACUCUUAUUUCACAAAGCCAUCUACUCAACAUAUCACUUUAACCAGAUUUCAAGAAAUACCGUUAUAUUCUACACUCAAUCAGCUUAUUCAAAGAAUCUUUCCACAAAAAUAUUAUUGGCAACUUGAUGACCCUUCAAAAAAUUUGGAUUAUUAUGAAUUAAUUCUUACAGAUACUCAAUCUGUAGAAAUAUUCCCCAUUCCAGAUAGAAAAAAUCUAAUUAGUCAUUCAAAAUGUAUAAUAAAGAAAGUUUGUUCUCCUAAUGAAUGGACUUCUCUUUAUUCAAAGAAAUCUUUUUCAGUCAGAUUUAUUCCAAAUAGAUUUACUUAUCAAGAUUACAAAAUGGCACGGUAUCGUGCUUUUUUGUAUAGACCAUUCAAUCAUUCGUGGUUCUUUACAUUCAAAGAAAGUUGCAGUAGAGAAUUCCCAAUUUGGUUCAAUCACUGGUGGAAAUGGUUUGGCCAUCAACCAGAAAUUCUACCUCCAAAUGUUCUUAUGGGAUUCCAAACUUAUCUCAAAAAAGCAAAGGGGGAGGAGUAUACAAGGCCAAUACUAUUCCAUAUGUAAUUCAAAGUACCAUGGAUUUUUUGCUGGAGUUUCAAGAUUCAUCAAGAAUUAGAAAAAUCACUCCCAAUGUCUCUAGUCAGAGAAUUCAAAAUCAAAUGGUGGAUAGGAUUUAAUCAAGAAUUUGGAGAUCAGGCAAAUGUGAUAAGAUUUUUAACAACCGGAGACAAACUCAAAUGGACAAGUCAGCCAACCACUUCAACCACUUCAACAAUUAUGCCAACCACUUCAACAACUAUGCCAACCACUCCAACCAUUCCAAAAAAGAAAGAUAAAGAAAAAGUUAUGGUAUCUGAGGUAAUUACAAACGACUUUUUGAAGAAAAAGAUGAUGCAGAAUCCCGAGAUGCUUAAAGAAUAUUUUGACUAUUUACAAAAGCAGGAUAAGAAUGAAGAAACCGACAAAAUUGAUGAGUCGGCUGGAUCAUUCGAAUCUACUUUUGAUCCUUUCGGGGGACCAUGCGGACAAGACCCAAAUGACUUUUGAAAAAAGAUGUCGGCCAUAUUUCAAAGAAAGGCAAAUGAAAUUCAAAUGAAAAUGAAAUGCAAGAACAGAUGAUUCUAUAAAUAGAUUCAAGAUCAGAAAACAAAGCAUCGGUGAAAAAAGAGAACAAAACCUUCCCGUGUAAAAAUCCUUAGAAAAAUCUCCCAAUCUCUCUUAUUCAACUACUCUUGUAUUCAACUACUUUUGCUUCCUUCUUCAAAUAUUUUAAUAAGAAGUGCAAGGAUUCAACAAAUAUCAAGCUUCCGUUAUCAAAGGCAACUCUAAAUUUUCAGUAAGUCUAAUCGUUUAAUUUCUAUGAACAUUUCAAUAGAAAGGAACCUGGGUAGAAGUGGUAUCAGAGCCACAUAGACGUGCAUAUUUAAACUUUGUUAUUACAAUUACUUCAUUUGAAUUAUUUUCUAUUUUGAUUUGGCUAAUUCAUGCAUUUAUGUUUACGUAUUUUAUUAAACUUUUACUGAAAUCAUUGGUAAGACUUUGAUGCCUUGUUAGACCGUUGGUAAGUCCAGGGUAGGAUGUUCCCAGCAUAGUGCUCAAUUGUUCCGGAUUAGGUAAAAAUUUAAUUAAUAUUAAACAUGGCUGCAUUUCUUAGACAAUUAAAAAUAGGAUCUAAUUCAAAGCAAACUAAUGUAGUACAAAGUCAUGAAUAUCAUAUGCCCAUAAAUAAUUCAGAUUGGACAAUUUCAGAAGAAAAAAUAGAACAUAUUUAUCGAAUAGGCCCUUUAGAUUUCAAAACAACUUUAUCAGUAAAAACACAUGAAGAAACAAUAUAUAUUCAAGAAGAAUAUCAAUCCAUUCCAUUAUUAAAUCAUAGUACAAUUCAAAGAUAUUUAAGUAAAGGAUAUCGAUAUAUUCAUAUAGGUUUGAUACAAAUUGCAGUAAAACCUUUAUUCCAUUUAGGAGUAGAUGCUCCUAUAUAUUUAGCAUUAAGAGAUACUAGACUCAAAAGAUAUAAAACUUCUUUACUUUCUAUGAUUCAAACUAAUGUAUGCAAUGGACCCAUAUAUUUUAACUGUGCUCCAAAUUUCUCAAUAGAUCUAACAGACCCACACAUUCUGAAUUCAGUCAUAUUAGAUAUUCACCUACAAGAAAAUGAAUUUGAAAAACAUACAAAGAAUUUUACAAUAAUAUAUAGAAUAUAUUAUAGACCCCUAUCUUCACAUUUAAAUCCUAAAUUUAUAAUGACUCCAACUCUUAAAGAAGAAACAACUUUAUUACAAGUAGAUGCAGAUAGACCCACAACUUAUAUUCCAAAAAGACUAAAAUGGAAUGAAAUAACUAUACUUAGUGAAUUUGAAAUUAAAAAUCCACAAAAAACAAGAAAUAUAGAACAAACCACUGCAGAAGAUAUUAUAGAGAAAUUUGAUGGUAAUACUUUAAUAAGAUUUUCAUCAUUAAGAAAAAAAUCUGAUUCAACUUAUUCUUGGCUACCAGCUAGACAUUCUAAUUAUGAAUCAACUGAAAUUAAUUUUUCUUUAGAAAGUACCUCAAAUUUUAAGUAUAAAACUCCUAUUCCAGAAGUUAUAAAUCAAAAUCAAUCAGAAUAUUCUCCAACCCAUUCACAAAUGAAAGGAGAAAUAAAUGUUAUAAAUAAAUCAUAUAAAAUAAAUCAUAAAUAUUUACAAGAAGAUUUUGAAGAUAAAGAAAAUACUGAAAAAAGAAUUUGAUUUUUUCAACUAGAAUCUGAAUAUAAAAGAAAAUUAAUUCUAGAAUGGAAAAGUGAAUUAGAAAAGCAAAAAUUUGAUUUCCCUUUCUUCACUUGGUUAUCAUACUAUACUGAAAAAAUAAGAAUAAAUGAUAUAUAUAAUACACCUCAAAUAAAUGUUCAAACUAAUUUAUACAAAAAAUGGAAAUUAAAAGAUGAUCAAAUAAUAACAUCUAUACAUCCUCCGUUACAAGAAGUAAAAAUUAAUAUAGGACAAGGAGAUAUAAUAGUCUCACUUUUUAAAAAGGGUAGAGAAGCUGAAUCGAAUUCAAAUAAUACAAUAAAUUUAGAAGAUAUUAAAAAGGUUUAUCAACAAAAUAAUUAUACCAAUCAAAUUCUUCAUACAAUUUCUCAACAUAUGGAAGUAUUAAAUGCAAAAAUAGAUACCAUAAAGAAACUAGAAUUAAAAUUCCCUAAUGAUAUUUCAGCACCUCAUUUUCAACCUAGAAGUUUGACAAGAGAAAAAGAACAAGAUUUAGUUCAAAAUAUUAAUAAUCAAAAAAUAAAUAAUACAUACAAUAUAUUAAAUAAAAUAUCUCAGGCAUUACAAAACUUAAAUAUAGAAGUAAAACCUCCAACACCUAGGAUAAAUGUUUUAGAUCAAAUAAUAGAAGAAAGUUCAUCAGAAAAAUUAGACAAUUCAUCUGAAGAAUCAAUAAAUUCAGAAAUGGAAGAAAAUAUAAUUUUACCAAUAGAAAAAUAAUUUGAAAAAAAAGAAAAUAAUCAAAUAAAUAAAAUAAGAAGAAAAAGAAUUUACAAUAAAAAUAAUAAAGAUUGGAAAAUGAUAAGUAAUAGAAAUUAUUAUCCAAGACCUAGUCCUCCAGACAUUCAAUAUGAAGAAAGAUCAAAAUUUCGUACCACUAAAUAUGAUGGAGAUUCAAUAUAUGAAUAGAACAUAGAUGGCAAAGCAGAAUAUGAAGUAUUAAAUAAUUUAUAAGAAAUGGGAAUGGCUAGAUUAGCUUAUAAAAUUAAAAAUAUUCAAGAAAGAAAUAUUGCAACAUUAUUAGUUUCAGGAUUUACUGGACAAUUAAAAAAUUGGUGGGAUAAUGCUUUAACAUUACAAGAUAAAUUAUCAAUACUAGAUCAUACACAAGAAAUUGAAGGUGAUCAAGGAAAUAUUCAAAUACAAUCAGAUGCUGCAGAAUUUCUAAUUGUAACAAUAGUAAUGUAUUUUAUAGGAAACCCAAAAGAGGAAUUAAACUCUAAUAAAACAUUUCUAACAAAUUUAAGAUGUCCAACAUUAUCAGACUUUAGAUGGUAUAAAGAUAUGUUUUUAACUAAUGUAUUAAGAAGACCAGAUUGCAAUGCUUCAUUUUGGAAAGAAAGAUUCAUAACAGGAUUACCAAACUUAUUUUCACAAAGAAUAAUGGAUAAUUUACAAAAGAAAAUGGGAACAAAUGUAAUUUCAUUCGAAAAUAUUACUUUUGGACAAUUAUUUGCUUUUGUGAAAAAAGAAGGAUUAAUGUUAUGUUCAGAAUUAAAAUUACAAAUAAAAUAUGGUUCAAAAACAAAAGAAGUAAGAUCAUUUUGUGAUGCAUUUGGAAUUAAAAGAAUUAAAUUACCAUCUGCAUAUAAAAAGAAAGUUAAAAAAUAUAAUAAGAAAAUAAGAUACAAAAGAUCUAAAGAAGAUAAACCAGAAAAGAAGAAAAGAUUUAUUAAGAACAAAAUAGUCUGUUACAAAUGCGGAAAAAUAGGCCAUAAAGCAAACAAAUGUAAAUUAAAAGAAAAAAUUAAGGAGAUUUGUACACAAGACGAAGAAAUUAAAAACAAAUUAAUAAAUUUAUUAAUAAAUGAAAAAGAUUAAAGUUCUGAAGAUGAUUAUUAUAAUGAUAUAUCUAGUUCAGAAAGUGAAGAAAAUUGUAAUUGUGCUAAUACUUCAAAAUACAUAAAUAUUAUAACUAAAAAAGAGAAUAAAGAAUUUUUAUUAGAUAUAAUAGAAAAAAUUGAUGACCCAAUAGCUAAAAAAGAAUAUUUAGAAAGAUUAAAAAGUCUAAUUAUACAAGAAGACAAAAUGCCAAAGAUAAUAGAACCUUUUAGUAUUUCUAAAUUAAUAGAUAAAUAUCCAAACAUAAAUAUAAUGAAAAAAGAAACCACCAAAGACCUUCAAACAGAAAUUAAUGAUCUUAAAAUACAAGCAAAAUAACUACAGCGAGAAAUUAUAGAAUUAAAAACAAAAAAUUUAGAAAUAGAAGCAAAAAUAACAUUAAUAGAAAAUCAACCUUCAACUUCCAAUUCUAAAACAGAAGAAAUAAGUAUAUCAGAAAAACCAACAGAUGAAAUUCAAUAUUUAAAUACAAUAGAGAAAAUGAUAUUUCAAAAAUGGUAUGCUUUAGUAACUAUUACAGUAGCAGAUUUCAAAGAAACAUAUGUACCUUUAAUAGAUAGUGGAGCUGAUUCAAGUUGUAUUAAAGAAGGAAUAAUUCCUACUAAAUAUUGUGAAAGAACAAAAGAAACAUUAAUGGCAGCAAAUGGAGAAAAUUUACAAGUAAAAUAUAAAUUUACAAAAGGAUCAAUAUGUAACAAUGAAUAUUGUAUUAGACAUAAUUUUAUAAUUGUAAAAAAUAUAAAUCAUGAUAUAAUAUUAGGAACACCUUUUUUAAUUCAAAUUUACCCAUUUUCAGUAAGUUAUGAAGGAAUUUCAAUAAAUAUAAUGGGAAAAACUGUUAUUUUUAAAUUUCUAACUCCAAUAAAACAAAGAGAAUUACAGACAUUACAAACAUCUUCUAUUUACAAAACAAUAAAUAGUAUUACUAGAGUACAACAACAAAUAAAUUAUAUUAAGGAAGUAAAAUCUUAUUUAAAAAUUGAAGAACAAUUAAAAGAAAGUAAAAUAUUAAAAAGAAUCUCAGAAUUAGAAUAACUAUUACAAAAAGAAAUUUGUGCAGAUAUUCCUAAUGCUUUUUGGGAUAGAAAACAACAUAUGAUAGAAUUACCUUACGAAACAGGUUUUAAUGAAAAAAAUAGUCCAACUAAAGCAAGACCAAUACAAAUGAAUUCUGAUUUAUUAGAAUUUUGUAAAAAGGAAAUAAAGACAUUAAUAGAUAAAGGAUUAAUAACACCUUCAAAAUCACCUUGGAGUUGUGCUGCAUUUUAUGUAAUGAAUCAAACUGAAAAAGAAAGAGGAGUUCCAAAGGUGCUGCAAGGCGCGCAAAUAAGUGCAGAAGAAUACGAGAUUAUGAAGGACCUGAUUAUUCCACUUGGUAGAGUUCCUCAAUUUGCGAUGCAGUGUGGCGCUUAAAUUGUGACUAAAUAGCUUCCCUCAACUCCGUCGCCCAUUUUGCUCGUCGGGAUUCUCUAAUGGGGUUGCUGCUGGAAAAUUUACCUGCUGGAAAUUUAAUGUUCGUACACUUCUUUUUGGUUCUUCCGAGUUGAAAUUCCUCUGUCUAGGUAAGAUAACCUUACCAGCCCCUCCUUUGCUCCGGAUCCCUGAGGCGUCAAUUUGAAUUGUGAACCUCUUCAAUGAGAGACGACACAAGAAAUGGGUGGAUUUAAUCUGUUUGAGUUUCCACUUAAAAAUCAUCCUGUAUGUUGCAGAUGGCACAAGCUUAGCCAUGGCGAUGAAGGAAUAAUUAGCAAAAAGUAACAGAUGAAGGAAUAAUUAGCAGGAGGGUUCCGAAAUUACUCCCUUUGAGAAACACAUAUUUUGGCUUGUUCUCAGUUCAUUUAUAUAUAUAUAUAUAUAUAUAUAUAUAUAUAUAUAUAUAUAUAUAUAUAUAUAUAUAUAUCUUUGCUGGGCUCUAAACUUUUGGUGUAAAAAAUUUAAAAUCAAUCCAACAGCCCCAAAUUGGGUAUUUGUUUUUCAAUUUAUAUUCAAUUACAGACAUUUUUUAGUUUCAUGUCCUGGAGUCUUAGCCCAGCAGUUGACAAUAAUGUAAAGGAUAUGAUAUUGAAAAAAAAAAAAGAGGAGUUCCAAGAUUAGUAAUAAAUUACAAACCAUUAAAUAAAGUUUUACAAUGGAUCAGAUAUCCAAUUCCUAAUAAAAAAGAUUUGCUUAAUAGAUUAUUUAAAGCAAAAAUCUUUUCAAAGUUUGAUCUAAAAUCAGGAUAUUGGCAAAUAUUAAUAAUACCAAAAGAUAGAUAUAAAACAGCAUUCACAACACCUUUUGGUCAUUAUGAAUGGAAUGUAAUGCCAUUUGGAUUAAAAAAUGCACCAUCAGAAUUUCAAAAUAUAAUGAAUGAUAUUUUUAAUCCUUAUAGUUCAUUCAGUAUAGUUUAUAUAGAUGAUGUAUUAAUAUAUUCGGACUCAUUAGAACAACAUUUUAGACAUUUAAAUAUAUUUUUAAAAAUAGUUAAGAAAAAUGGAUUAGUCGUAUCAGCACCAAAAAUGAAACUAUUCCAAACUAAAAUAAGAUUUUUAGGACAUGAUAUAUAUCAAGGAACGAUAAAACCAAUUAAUAGAGCUUUAGAAUUUGCUACUAAAUUUUCAGAUGAAAUAAAAGACAAAAAUCAAUUACAAAGGUUUUUAAGAUGCUUAAAUUAUAUAGCAGAUUUUUUCCCUAAAUUAAGACAAGAAUGCUCUAUAUUAUUUAAUAGACUAAAGAAAAACCCAAAACUUUGGACAAAAGAACAUACUCAAAAAAUAAAAUAUUUAAAAGAAAAAAUUGACUCAUUACCAUAUUUAUGUUUACCACAUCCUAAAGCAUUCAUGAUAGUUGAAACAGAUGGAUCAGAAUUAGGAUAUGGGGGUAUAUUAAAACAAAGAAUAGAAAAAUCAAAAGAAGAAUUAGUUAGAUAUCAUUCAGGAAUAUGGUCUGACCCUCAAAAGAAUUAUUCAACCAUUAAAAAGAAAAUUUUAUCAAUAGUUUUAUGCAUAUCAAAAUUUCAAGAUGAUUUAUAUAACAAAAAUUUUUUAAUUAGAAUAGAUUGUAAAUCUGCAAAAGAAAUUUUACAAAAAGAUGUUCAAAAUAUAGUUUCAAAACAAAUAUUUGCUUGAUGGAAAGCUAUUUUAUCUGUUUUUGAUUUUGAAAUAGAAUUUAUAAAAGGAGAAAAUAAUUCAUUACCAGAUUUUCUUACUAGAGAAUUUUUACAAGAACAUGGAUCGUGAAAUGAUGGCCCAAAGAACUGAUCGAGAAUAUACCAAUUACCUAAGAACCCAAAGAGAUUCUCCUAAACUAUUAAACAAAGAAGCAGUUCUUCAAUCCAAAAGAUAUCAAUGGGGGUAUAUUAAAACAAAAAAUAGAAGAAUCAAAAGAAGAAUUAGUUAGAUAUCAUUCAAGAAUAUGGUCUGACCCUCAAAAGAAUUAUUCAACCAUUAAAAAGGAAAUUUUAUCAAUAGUUUUAUGCAUAUCAAAAUUUCAAGAUGAUUUAUAUAACAAAAAAAUUUUAAUUAGAAUAGAUUGUAAAUCUGCAAAAGAAAUUUUACAAAAAGAUGUUCAAAAUAUAGUUUCAAAAUAAAUAUUUGCUAGACGGCAAGCUAUUUUAUCUGUUUUUUAUUUUGAAAUAAAAUUUAUAAAAGGAGAAAAUAAUUCAUUACCAGAUUUUCUUACUAGAGAAUUUUUACAAGGACAUGGAUCGUGAAAUGAUGGCCCAAAGAACUGAUCGAGAAUAUACCAAUUACCUAAGAACUCAAAGAGAUUCUCCUAAACUAUUAAACAAAGAAGCAGCUUUUCAAUUCAGAGGAUAUCAAUAUUUUAUUCAGACCAGUAAUGGAAGACAAAGUAUUCCAGCCUAUCAAAUUUUCAACAUGAUACAGUGUAUAUUCAGAAAAGCCAUUUCGCAACCCUUACACCAAAGGAGAGAGUUUUUCUCAUUCAAAGAGAAAUUCAGAGAAACACUAUCAGAAUUCAAGUCCUAAGGAGAUCAGGAAGAAAUGAGGAAUUUCUUCAACAUUACAAAGAUCAAAAUAAACAAUUAUCUAAUCAACUUAAAGAUGUUGUUUAUUGAUUUUGCAGGAAUAUGGAUUCAAAAGCAGGAAAUUCUAGACCCAAGACUCCUCAAGAUUAUGAGAUGAGUCUUACUCCUGUAAAUCAAAAUAGAUUCCAAUUAUUGCAAGAUUUUCCAGCAUUGACUUAUAGUCAAACUGCUCGUACUCCAAUUUCUUCCCAAAUAAGACCUCUUUAACAAAUUCCAAAAACCUCAGAAAAAUCUAAUGAAAACUCUUAUUUCACAAAACCAUCUACUCAACAUAUCACUUUAACCAGAUUCCAAGAAAUACCGUUAUAUUCUACACUCAAUCAGCUUAUUCAAAGAAUCUUUCUACAAAAAUGUUAUUGGCAACCUGAUGACCCUUCAAAAAAUUUGAAUUAUUAUGAAUUAAUUCUUACUGAUACUCAAUCUGUAAAAAUAUUCCCCACUCCAGAUAGAAAAAAUCUAAUUAGUCAUUCAAAAUGUAUAAUAAAGAAAGUUUGUUCUCCUAAUGAAUGGACUUCUCUUUAUUCAAAGAAAUUUUUCUCAGUCAGAUUUAUUCCAGAUGGAUUUACUUAUCAAGAUUACAAAAUGGCAUGGUAUCGUGCUUUUUUAUAUAGACCAUUCAAUCAUUCGUGGUUCUUUACAUUCAAAGAAAGUUGCAGCAGAGAAUUCCCAAUUUGGUUCAAUCACUGGUGGAAAUGGUUUGGCCCUCAACCAGAAAUUCUACCUCUAAAUAUUCUUAUGGGAUUCCAAACUUAUCUCAAAAAAGCAAAGGGGAAGGAGUAUACAAGACCAAUACUAUUCCAUAUGGAAUUCAAAAUACCAUGGAUUUUUUGCUGGAGUUUCAAGAUUCAUCAAGAAUUAGAAAAAUCACUCCCAAUGUCUCUAGUCAGAAAAUUCAAGAUCAAAUGGUGGAUAGGAUUUAAUCAAGAAUUUGGAGAUCAGGCAAAUGUGAUAAGAUUUCUAACAACCGGAGACAAACUCAAGUGGACAAGUCAGCCAACCACUUCAACCACUCCAACAACUAUGCCAACCACUUCAACAACUAUGCCAACCACUCCAACCAUUCCAAAAAAGAAAGAUAAAGAAAAAGUUAUGGUAUCCGAGACAAUUACAAACGACUUUUUGAUGAAAAAGAUGAUGCAGAAUCCCGAGAUGCUUAAAGAAUAUUUUGACUAUUUACAAAAGUAUGAUAAGAAUAAAGAAAUCGACAAAAUUGAUGAGUCAGCUGGAUCAUCCGAAUCUACUUUUGAUCCUUUCGGGGGACCAUGCGGACAAGACCCAAAUGACUUUUGAAAAAAGAUGUCGGCCAUAUUUCAAAGAAAGGCAAAUGAAAUUCAAAUGAAGAUGAAAUACAAGAACAGAUGAUUCUAUAAAUAGAUUCAAGAUCAGAAAACAAAGCAUCGGUGAAAAAAGAGAACAAAACCUUCCCGUGUAAAAAUCCUUAGAAAAAUCUCCUAAUCUCUCUUAUUCAACUACUCUUGUAUUCAACUACUUUUGCUUCCUUCUUCAAAUAUUUUAAUAAGAAGUGCAAGGAUUCAACAAACAUCAAGCUUCCGUUAUCAAAGGCAACUCUAAAUUUUCAGUAAGUCUAAUCGUUUAAUUUCUAUGAACAUUUCAAUAGAAAGUAACCUGGGUAAAAGUGGUAUCAGUGCCACAUAGACGUGCAUAUUUAAACUUUGUUAUUACAAUUACUUCAUUUGAAUUAUUUUCUAUUUUGAUUUGGCUAAUUCAUGCAUUUAUGUUUACGUAUUUUAUUAAACUUUUACUGAAAUCAUUGGUAAGACUUUGAUGCCUUGUUAGACCGUUGGUAAGUCCAGAGUAGGAUGUUCCCGGCAUAGUGCUCAGUUGUUUCUGAUCAGGUAAAAAUUUAAUUAAUAUUAAACAUGGCUGCAUUUCUUAGACAAUUAAAAAUAGGAUCUAAUUCAAAGCAAGCUAAUGUAGUACAAAAUCAUGAAUAUCAUAUGCCCAUAAAUAAUUCAGAUUGGACAAUUCCAGAAGAAAAAAUAGAACAUAUUUAUCGAAUAGGCCCUUUAGAUUUCAAAACAGCUUUAUCAGUAAAAACACAUGAAAAAACAAUAUCUAUUCAAGAAGAAUAUCAAUCCAUUCCAUUAUUAAAUCAUAGUACAAUUCAAAUAUAUUUAAGUAAAGGAUAUCGAUAUAUUCAUAUAGGUUUGAUACAAAUUACAGUAAAACCUUUAUUCCAUUUAGGAGUAGAUGCUCCUAUAUAUUUAGCAUUAAGAGAUACUAGACUCAAAAGAUAUAAAACUUCUUUACUUUCUAUGAUUCAAACUAAUGUAUGCAAUGGACCCAUAUAUUUUAACUGUACUCCAAAUUUCUCAAUAGAUCUAACAGACCCACACAUUCUGAAGUCAGUCAUAUUAGAUAUUCACCUACAAGGAAAUCAAUUUGAAAAACAUACAAAGAAUUUUGCAAUAAUAGAUAGAAUAUAUUAUAGACCCCUAUCUUCACAUUUAAAUUCUAAAUUUAUAAUGACUCCAACUCUUAAAGAAGAAACAACUUUAUUACAAGUAGAUGCAGAUAGACCCACAACUUAUAUUCCAAAAAGACUAAAAUGGAAUGAAAUAAAUAUACCUAGUGAAUUUGAAAUUAAAAAUCCACAAAAAGCAAGAAAUAUAGAACAAACCACUGCAGAAGAUAUUAUAGAAAAACCUGAUGGUAAUACUUUAAUAAGAUUUUCAUCAUUAAGAGAAAAAUCUGAUUCAACUUAUUCUUGGCUACCAGCUAGACAUUCUAAUUAUGAAUCAACUGAAAUUAAUUUUCCUUUAGAAAGUAUCUCAAAUUUUAAGUAUAAAACUCCUAUUCCAGAAGUUAUAAAUCAAAAUCAAUCAGAAUAUUCUCCAAUCCAUUCACAAAUGAAAGGAGAAAUAAAUGUUAUAAAUAAACCAUAUAAAAUAAAUCAUAAAUAUUUACAAGAAGAUUUUGAAGAUAAAGAAAAUACUGAAAAAAGAAUUUGGUUUUUUCAACUAGAAUCUGAAUAUAAAAGAAAAUUAAUUCUAGAAUGGAAAAGUGAAUUAGAAAAGCAAAAAUUUGAUUUCCCUUUCUUCACUUGGUUAUCAUACUAUACUGAAAAAAUAGGAAUAAAUGAUAUAUAUAAUACACCUCAAAUAAAUGUUCAAACCAUUUAUACAAAAAAUGAAAAUUAAAAGAUGAUCAAAUAAUAACAUCUAUACAUCCUCCAUUACAAGAAAUAAAAAUUAAUAUAGGACAAGGAGAUAUAAUAGCCUCACCUUUUAAAAAGGGUAGAGAAGCUGAAUCGAGUUCAAAUAAUACAAUAAAUUUAGAAGAUAUUAAAAAGGUUUAUCAACAAAAUAAUUAUACCAAUCAAAUUCUUCAUACAAUUUCUCAACAUAUGGAAGUAUUAAAUGCAAAAAUAGAUACCAUAAAGAAACCAGAAUUAAAAUUCUCUAAUGAUAUUUCAGCACCUCAUUUUCAACUUAGAAGUUUGACAAGAGAAAAAGAACAAGAUUUGGUUCAAAAUAUUAAUAAUAAAAAAAUAAAUAAUACAGACAAUAUAUUAAAUAAAAUAUCUCAAGCAUUACAAAACUUAAAUACAGAAGUAAAACCUCCAAACUAAAAUAAGAUUUUUAGGACAUGAUAUAUAUCAAGGAACGAUAAAACCAAUUAAUAGAGCUUUAGAAUUUGCUACUAAAUUUUCAGAUGAAAUAAAAGACAAAAAUCAAUUACAAAGGUUUUUAAGAUGCUUAAAUUAUAUAGCAGAUUUUUUCCCUAAAUUAAGACAAGAAUGUUCUAUAUUAUUUAAUAGACUAAAGAAAAACCCAAAACCUUGGACAGAAGAACAUACUCAAAAAAUAAAAUAUUUAAAAGAAAAAAUUGACUCAUUACCGUGUUUAUGUUUACCACAUCCUAAAGCAUUCAUGAUAGUUGAAACAGAUGCAUCAGAAUUAGGAUAUGGGGGUAUAUUAAAACAAAGAAUAGAAGAAUCAAAAGAAGAAUUAGUUAGAUAUCAUUCAUUAUAUUUUGAAAUUCUGAUGGUGCAUUUUUUAAUCCAAAUGGCAUUACAUUCCAUUCAUAAUGACCAAAAGGUGUUGUGAAUGUUGUUUUAUAUCUAUCUUUUAGUGUUAUUAAUAUUUGCCAAUAUCCUGAUUUUAGAUCAAACUUUGAAAAGAUUUUUGCUUUAAAUAAUCUAUUAAGCAAAUAUUUUUUAUUAGGAAUUGGAUAUCUGAUCCAUUGUAAAACUUUAUUUAAUGGUUUGUAAUUUAUUACUAAUCUUGGAACUCCUCUUUCUUUUUCAGCUUGAUUCAUUACAUAAAAUGCAGCACAACUCCAAGGUGAUUUUGAAGGUGUUAUUAAUCCUUUAUCUAUUAAUGAAUUUAUUUCCUUUUUACAAAAUUCUAAUAAAUCAGAAUUCAUUUGUAUUGGUCUUGCUUUAGUUGGAAUAUUUUUAUCAUUAAAACCUGUUUCGUAAGGUAAUUCUAUCAUAUGUUGUUUUCUAUCCCAAAAAACAUUAGGAAUAUCUGCACAAAUUUCUUUUUGUUAUAGUUAUUCUAAUUCUGAGAUUCUUUUUAAUAUUUUACUUUCUUUUAAUUGUUCUUCAAUUUUUAAAUAAGAUUUUUCUUCCUUAAUAUAAUUUAUUUGUUGUUGUACUCUAGUAAUACUAUUUAUUGUUUUGUAAAUAGAAGAUGUUUGUAAUGUCUGUAAUUCUCUUUGUUUUAUUGGAGUUAGAAAUUUAAAAAUAACAGUUUUUCCCAUUAUAUUUAUUGAAAUUCCUUCAUGACUUACUGAAAAUGGGUAAAUUUGAAUUAAAAAAGGUGUUCCUAAUAUUAUAUCAUGAUUUAUAUUUUUUACAAUUAUAAAAUUAUGUCUAAUACAAUAUUCAUUGUUACAUAUUGAUUCUUUUGUAAAUUUAUAUUUUACUUGUAAAUUUUCUCCAUUUGUUGCCAUUAAUGUUUCUUUUGUUCUUUCACAAUAUUUAGUAGGAAUUAUUCCUUCUUUAAUACAACUUGAAUCAGCUCCACUAUCUAUUAAAGCUACAUAUGUUUCUUUGAAAUCUUCUACUGUAAUAGUUACUAAAGCAUACCAUUUUUGAAAUAUCAUUUUCUCUAUUGUAUUUAAAUAUUGAAUUUCAUCUGUUGGUCUUUCUGAUAUACUUAUUUCUUCUGUUUUAGAAUUGGAAGUUGAAGGUUGAUUUUCUAUUAAUGUUAUUUUUGCUUCUAUUUCUAAAUCUUUUGUUUUUAAUUCUAUAAUUUCUCGCUGUAGUUGUUUUACUUGUAUUUUAAGAUAAUUAAUUUCUGUUUGAAGGUCUUUGGUGGUUUCUUUUUUCAUUAUAUUUAUGUUUGGAUAUUUAUCUAUUAAUUUAGAAAUACUAAAAGAUUCUAUUAUCUUUGGCAUUUUGUCUUCUUGUAUAAUUAGACUUUUUAAUCUUUCUAAAUAUUCUUUUUUAGCUAUUGGGUCAUCAAUUUUUUCUAUUAUAUCUAAUAAAAAUUCUUUAUCCUCUUUUUUAGUUAUAACAUUUAUGUAUUUUGAAGUAUUAGCACAAUUAUAAUUUUCUUCACUUUCUGAACUAGAUAUAUCAUUAUAAUAAUCAUCUUUAGAACUUUGAUCUUUUUCAUUUAUUAAUAAAUUUAUUAAUUUAUUUUUAAUUUCUUCGUCUUGUGUACAAAUCUCCGUAAUUUUUUCUUUUAAUUUAUAUUUGUUUGCUUUAUGUCCUAUUUUUCCGCAUUUGUAAUAGACUAUUUUGUUCUUAAUAAAUCUUUUCUUCUUUUCUGGUUUAUCUUCUUUAGAUCUUUUGUAUCUUAUUUUCUUAUUAUAUUUUUUAACUUUCUUUUUAUAUGCAGAUGGUAAUUUAAUUCUUUUAAUUCCAAAUGCAUCACAAAAUGAUCCUACUUCUUUUAUUUUUGAACCAUAUUUUAUUUGUAAUUUUAAUUCUGAACAUAACAUUAAUCCUUCUUUUUUCACAAAAGCAAAUAAUUGUCCAAAAGUAAUAUUUUCGAAUGAAAUUACAUCUGUUCCCAUUUCCCUUUGUAAAUUAUCCAUUAUUCUUUGUGAAAAUAAACUUGGUAAUCCUAUUAUGAAUCUUUCUUUCCAAAAUGAAGCAUUGCAAUCUGGUCUUCUUAAUACAUUAGUUAAAAACAUAUCUUUAUACCAUCUAAAGUUUGAUAAUGUUGGACAUCUUAAAUUUGUUAGAAAUGUUUUAUUAGAGUUUAAUUCCUCUUUUGGGUUUCCUAUAAAAUACAUUACUAUUGUUACAAUUAGAAAUUCUGCAGCAUCUGAUUGUAUUUGAAUAUUUCCUUGAUCAUCUUCAAUUUCUUGUGUAUGAUCUAGUAUUGAUAAUUUAUCUUGUAAUGUUAAAGCAUUAUCCCACCAAUUUUUUAAUUGUCCAGUAAAUCCUGAAACUAAUAAUGUUGCAAUAUUUCUUUCUUGAAUAUUUUUAAUUUUAUAAGCUAAUCUAGCCAUUCCCAUUUCUUGUAAAUUAUUUAAUACUUCAUAUUCUGCUUUGCCAUCUAUGUUCCAUUCAUAUAUUGAAUCUCCAUCAUAUUUAGUGGUACGAAAUUUUGAUCUUUCUUCAUAUUGAAUGUCUGGAGGACUAGGUUUUGGAUAAUAAUUUCUAUUACUUAUCAUUUUCCAAUCUUUAUUAUUUUUAUUAUAAAUUCUUUUUCUUCUUAUUUUAUUCAUUUGAUUGGUAUAAUUAUUUUGUUGAUAAACCUUUUUAAUAUCUUCUAAAUUUAUUGUAUUAUUUUAACUCGAUUCAAGUCAAUGCCAUUGCUUCAAGGAAGAGUUGUACUCCAUCACAGCAAGCAUUGGCCUGGGUCCAUCACCAAGGCAAUGAUGUUUGUCCCAUACCUGGCACUACCAAGAUUGAGAACCUCUAUCAGAAUAUAGGAGCUUUGUCUGUAAAACUGUCAGCAGAAGAUAUGGCUGAACUUGAAUCUAUUGCAUCAGCUGGAGUCAAGGGUGAUAGAUAUGAUCCUGGCCGUGGUACUUGGCGAACUCCUGAAACUCAUGAAGACAUACCUUUGUUGAGGCAUUAAUUCCUUCUAGCAUUCUACCUGUUGGUGAUUUCACUGUAUUGAGAGUUGAGCGAGUUGUAUUUGUUCCAAAAACUUCGUCAUACUAUUGUCUCGAGGGUUAAGACACGUAAAGUUUUAAGAAAAUGGUGUUUCUUUAGAGUGCUUGUAAUGAAUAAAGAUCUGGUCAUGUAAAAGUAGAAGCCAACAUACCAACAAUGUCAUUGUAAACUACAUCAUACCAACAAAAAGUAGAAAAUGGUCUAAAGUGAAUAAGAAAUCAACAAAAACUAUGUAAGCACCAAUGGAAAGCAGAAAAGUUCUUGAUACCAUAGUAAACACCAAUGGAAAGCUAAAAAGUUCUCGACGCCAUAGAAAUUAGGGAUUCGUUGGGCAAAAAAGUUCUUAACGCCAUACUCUAUAGACGCAAGGGAUCUAUAGAGCAGGGAUCCAGGUUUGGGCAUCUAGCUAAGUAGAACAGGUAAAGGAAAGCUACAUCACAGAUGUAGCAAGUAGUUCCAAUGUCCUUGCCAAUUGUAUAGGCUUUCUUGCUUCCAACAUGGUCUCGAAAGUGCAGAUUAGAGAAGGAUAUCAAAGCCGGCCAGCUGCGAAUCCUGUGGGGUGAAAACCAUACGUUUGAAAAAAUAAACAAAACAGAGCUGCCUGAUCCUCAAUUUAAGCAUUAUACUAGAGAAGGACAAUACAAGCAUUCUCAAUGUUUGAGAAAAUAAACUUUACAUGCAGAAAGCAAAUAAAUGCUUGAAAUUACACAAUGGAUGGAUGUUGAAAAGAAUCACUAAAGAAUAUGUCUAGAAGAUCGAUCUGUUAAGCAUGGGAAGUUCAAAGAGUAGCAUUUUUUUUGAGUCUCAGAAAAAUGAAGAGUCCAACAAUUUAGGGAAUUCAAACUCUAUUUGUGAAUAAACUGCUUGUAUUUUUCCUUUUUCUAGUGUAAGAUUUAAGGAAAAGUUAAAAUCACUUGACCCCUGAUCAGUUCUUUACCAAUUCAUUGAUUUUGACUUCAAUCAUGAACAAAUAAUUCAGAUUAAGACUGAAUAGUUAAUAAAUUGAAAAAAAAUCCAGUCCUUCUUACUUUUCGUGCCUUUGGCCCAGUGUUGCAAAAGGCCUUGCCUGAGGUAAGGCAUUUGUCACUAAUCCAGCAGCACCAAAGCCUUGGAGCAUGGGUUAUAAUUCUCAUGAAUUUUAAAAUUUUUGAAUAUUUUAAAAAUAUUGUAAUAUUUAUGAAAAAUAUUAUUAAAAAACAUAUAACUAUAAUAAAAUAUGUAAAAUUUAAAAAUUAUAGAAAAAUAUAUUAUCAUGAUAUGCGGUAGUAAUGACAGUAUAGAAAAAAAAAAUAUGGCAAAAAUUCAACGAAUACUAGUUGUGGGCAUCUGAAAAUGGUUAUAGAUGACAAGGGACGAUGAUUUUACUUGGAAACUUGGGUUUUUACAUUCUUGUGGUAUGUAUUACUAUACAAAAAUGGUAAAAUUAAAACAUAACCAAGUUUUGGGGUUAAAUAAGAAAUUUGAGAUAACAGGUUAGCUAAAUUUUUAAAGUGAGCCAAAGCACAAGGACUUAAUACUACAUGUUUUACUAGAAUGGGACCCACAUCUCUAAAUUCAGGCCUGUCAAGUUCAUCGAGGUGCUUCGUUCGCAAACCCAUUUGUCAGCCCAAAUCAUCAAACGCUUCCUUCCUCCCCUUUUUAUUUACUAUAAUAAACCCGAUACGACUUCCUGAUUAUUCCAGGAUCCAACAAUUAAAACUUUACAUACAAAUAAAUGGUCAAAUUCACUUAAAAAUUGUGGGGUCAUCUUCCACAUUAAACUUUUGUACCAUCCAAGUUUGUUUUAAUUCCUUUGGGAAAAUCAAACAUCGAAUGCAUUCCCCAAAAAAAAAACAAAAAAAGGGAAAAGGAAAUGGCUUACCUUUGCCCUUACGUAUCCAAUCCCAAUUUGAACAUUACAUCAUCCAUCCAAUUGAAACAAACUCCUAUGGAGAUUUUUUUUUUUUUGCUUUAUUUUGUUGUUAGAUCUGAAUUUUUUUUUUCCCAUGAGCGCUAGUGCUCUGUGGGUCUCUCCUUGCCCGUGCAAGGCCCCUCCUUCCCUAGAUGCCUAGUGGAAGUUUUUGUCCUCUUCCCCCUCCUGCUGCUCUGUUUUUUCCCCGCUAUCUCUAUCUAUUCGUUUGCUCUGGAAUCUUACUUCGUCGGCAUUAUUUUCAAUUCCUUUCCUCUACAACUUUCUGGGCUUCCCCUCCCUCGUCCCUUUUAACCUUGGCUCUCUUUGUAUUUUGCAGGCACGCAGUUUAAAUCACUCAACCUUGGCUACCCUGUCCGCCUCUGCGGGCUGAAUCAAUUCUCACGAGGCCAUGGCUGAGGAGUUAGAAAGGCUGUGCCAAAAUCUUGCGCUAAGGGAUGAUGAGGAGGAGGUGCUGUUAUUGCCCGAUGACAAUGACGGUGGCUCCAAUUUUGACGGCGAUUUGUGCAUUCUCGGAAAGCUGUUCAGUCGGAAGUCCUUCAACGCAGAGGCUAUGAUGGCUACCAUGAAGAAAUCUUGGAACCCGGCUAAAGGCCUCGAGUACUCGGCAGUUGGGGAUAACCUUUUCCUCUUCAAAUUUAACGACAUUGUAGACAAAAGGAAGGUUAUGGCAGGAUGCCCUUGGGCUUUUGAUGGAAGUUUGCUGGUUGUCAGUGACUAUGUUGGUAACAUUCAGCCGUCCAAGGUAAAAUUGGAUCACUGCUCUUUCUGGGUUCGAGUAUACAACCUCCCAUUGGGAUGGAUGAACGGAAGAACGGCGGACUUUAUAGGGAGCAAACUUGGCACGUACGAGGGAUUUGAUGCAAAGGGUGGUCUCUCUGUGGGUAAGUUUUUGCGCAUUCGGGUUAAGCUAAAUCUCAAUAACCCUCUCAAACGACUGAUGAAGCUUCUAAUCGAGGGUGCGGUUUGUGAGGUUCACUGUCGUUAUGAGCGCCUUCCUAUGCAUUGCUAUUUUUGUGGUCGAAUUGGACAUGGAGAAAGGGAUUGCGACGACAAACUAGAUGUUACUGUGGUAAACAACGGCGAACCUCAAUAUGGUGGGUGGCUUAGGGCCACCAACGACAAAAAAUUCGCCGGCCCGCAACUUUCGUCUCGGACGGCAACACCACCGACGAAAGGGGGCCAGUCCCUCCCUGCUGCCGAUAAGGUCGCGUCACCUAAGGAGGUUGUUAGUUUUGAACAUCCGAAUUACCAGGCCUCAGAAUCUCCAAGUUUGGUUGGCAGGCCUGAUCCUACCCAAAGACCAGACGUCCGAGUUCCUAGCACCUUGGUAGCACCCCAGCGCAGACCUUUCUCUCUGGAUAACGGCCAACCAAUCCUUUCAACGGCAUUGGUCACUGAUAGUUCUCCAACAGCGCAGGCAACUUCCACUUCCUUACCCUUAACCACACAUUCCCCCCACUCAAUUGUUCAUGAUGGGCCCUCAAGCUCGGCCAAUUCCAAAGCAAAUGCUCUUGGCUCGAAGCCCAAUGAACACCCCAAAAUCCCAGUCCCUAGCAAACCAAGUCCGCCCAAUACCAUCACCAGCCCCAAAUUCUCUCUAAUCAACCCCGCCACAUCUCAGCAAGAACGUUCUCCUACUUCACAACCUUCUGUCAUGCCCCCCAUACCUUCACAGCCUUUUCACCAAGCUAUUCAAAUAGCCACCCAUGCUUCAUUGGAAAAUGUACACCCCAACCUUGGCCCCCUUUUUCGCCCCUGCGAUGGCAAGCCCAAACCCAGUCAUACAACCACUAACCCCAGCAUACCAUCCAUGCAAUUGUCUAUCACAACAUCUACAGAGCCAACCAUGGAGGAUGUGUUUCUAGUUGAUGCCACCUUAACGCAGCAAAAGAAAUUUUCCGACAUCCACGACAUGCGAACUAUCGCUUCCUCCAAAAAAAUGAAAGGAUGCAAUAUCUCCCGCAGGAAAUCAACACCUUCAAAAUUGGCCCUACAUCCUACUAAUGUUAUAUCGGGUCACAAGACAAAAAGAGAGGCCACGGAUGCUUCUUCUGCAGGGGAGGGAGAUGCUAGUGGUUCGGCCCCAAAGAAACCGAAACAUGCUACGCUGCCCGCACCUCCUCAAACAACCUCUAUAGCGGCGGAGACUGCCUUGCAGUCCCGCCGAGAACCAUGAAUUGCUUGAGCUGGAAUUGUCGGGGGUUAAAGGGUUAAACAACCCUCGGACAGUUCGGGAGCUCCGAAACAUCAUCCGGAGAGAUAAAGUUUCAAUUAUUUUUUUAGUAGAGACGAAGUGUUCGGAUAAAGUAAUCGACAAGCUAAAGCAGGAUAUCAGAUGGUUUGGUUUAGGGGUUGACUCACGAGGGAACUCGGGUGGCUUAGCUCUCCUUUGGAGGAAGGAUCUGGGUGUUGAACUUAUGCGUUUCUCGGAUUGUUUUGUUGAUGUUAAGGUGCAUAUGACUGAUUCCUCCUGGCGUUUGACUGGUUUCUAUGGUCAUCCAGAGGCGGCUAAAAGAAAAUAUACUUGGGAUAUUAUGCGCAAGCUCAGUACAUUAUGCUGCCUACCAUAGGUCUGCAUGGGUGACUUCAACGAGGUACUCACUCAAGAGGAAUUUCAGGGCGCGACAUGGAGACCGAAUUGGCAAAUUAUGAACUUUCGGAAGGCACUUUCGGACUGUAAUUUGUUUGACUUAGGCCAUGAAGGUAAUCACUUCACUUGGUGUCGGAAUAGGUCGGCUCCUGACACAACUAGAGCUCGUCUGGACCGCGCAUGCGUCUCCCAUGACUUUCUCACCUUGUUUCCUGAUGCCAGGAUCUAUCACUCACAUGCUCUUUUUUCCGAUCAUGUUCCUAUUGUCUUAAGAUUAUCGUGCUCGCAUGAUCUCUUAAAAGCUCGCAGCAAAUCUAGGAGGGACAAAUGCUUCAUGUUUGAAGCAAUGUGGAUCAAAUCAGAAGACUGCGAACGCAUUAUCCAAGAUUCUUGGGAGUAUAGCUCGACAGAAGAUGCUUGUGCCAACCUGGUUAUGAAGACUAAUAGUUGUAGGUUAGGCCUUCUCCAAUGGAGCAAACAGUCCUUCGGCAACCAUACUAAGGCUGCGGAUGAUCUUUGGCAAAGGAUUUCUCGCCUCCAACAAGGCGUUUUGACGGACUCUAUCAAAGCUGAGAUUAGUUCUUUAACUACCCAGCUAGAGGAGCUUCUGGACAAGCAAGACAUCAUGUGGAAACAGCGAAGCAAAGCACAGUGGUAUAGAGAGGGUGAUCGAAACACAGCUUACUUCCAUGGCCUGGCUUCCCAGAGACGGAAGCAUAACCAGAUUGUUGGCCUUUUCGAUAACAAUGGUUCUUGGUGUCAGUCACAGGAGGGUCUAGAAUCUAUUAUCAUGGAACAUUUUGGCACAAUCUUUUCUACUUCACAGUCUACUUCUCUGGCAAUUGAUGCAGUCAUCCAGCGAGUGCGGGGAUGCGUUUCCAAGGAAAUGAAUUAUUGUCUCCUGCGUACCUACACUACCAUUGAGGUAACAAAGGCUUUAAGUCAAAUGCAUCCAUUUAAAUCUCCCGGGCCGGAUGGCAUGUCACCAGUCUUCUACCAAAGAUAUUGGCAUAUUGUUGGUCGAGAUGUCACUCGUUGGGUUCUUACUGUCCUAAACGAGGGCACCUUACCUACGAGUCUUAAUCACACCUAUGUUGUCCUUAUCCCUAAGUGUCACAGUCCAUCCAGUAUCACCCAAUUUCGUCCCAUUAGUCUUUGCAACGUAGUUUAUAAGCUAGCCUCUAAGGUCUUAGCUAAUAGGCUUAGGAACUGUCUUCCCAAAGUCAUCUCACCAUGUCAAUCAGCGUUCAUCCCUGGGCGCUGUAUCACUGAUAAUAUCCUAAUUGCUUAUGAAGUCAAUCAUUCCCUUAAGCUGAAAUCCUAUGGGCAGGAGGGAUUGAUGUCCAUUAAGUUGGACAUGAGCAAAGCAUUUGAUAAGGUCGAGUGGCUUUUUCUUCGACAUAUGAUGAUAGCUUUAGGUUUCCAUUCCGCUUUUGUGGACAUUGUUUUUCGCUGCAUUUCUACUGUGUCUUACACUUUCCUACUUAAUGGGUCCCAACUUGGGAACCUACAACCCCACCGUGGUAUCAGACAGGGGGAUCCAUUAUCACCCUACUUGUUCUUGAUCUGUGCCGAAGGCUUUUCUUGUUUAUUGCAGGAAGCUGAACGUUGCGGAAGCAUCUCAGGUUUUCGGAUCGGCUCACGCGGACCCAAACUAUCUCACCUAUUAUUUGCCGAUGACACCUUAUUAUUCGGCAAGGCUGUGAGAACCCUGAAAAUGUAUAUACAAAUAUCAUUUCAUAUUUCAUUUGCAAUUUUAGCACCUCCACAUAAAAUAUUAAAGCAUUUAGUUUUAUUAUGUUAAAUUAAUAUCACCUGAGUAGAUUAAUUUUACUACCUUAAUAUAAAUUACUUGAAGUCCAAUAAUUCAUUCUAAUUAGUGAAUAGCGUUAAAUACUACCAAAAAUUCUCACGAUAGGAAGAAGCCGAUAAAUUUUAGAUAAAAACAAUACACAUAUACUAAAUAUGUGUAGGACGUAAAAAUUUCGAUAAAUGAAAUCUUGUGAGAUUGGUGUAUCAUUAGGAGUUUAAUUUACAUUCGGAAUAAAUUUUUGGUGUUAAGUUAAAAUCAAGGACUCAAGUAAGGAUUAGUAGGGCAAUGUGAAAUGUCUAAACCAACCUUCACAAUAUCACAAAAUCACCAUGCAAUUCCAAAACAUUUCCGGACAGCAUUAUGAUCAACCUCACCAUUCGACCAAUGCUCACCUUCACCACCUACACACUCAACCUCUUCCUACACUCCAACACCCUCCAAAACCGCGGGUCAUCUCCCCAUUUUUCCCCCUCAACCCCGCAACAUCACCUCCCUUAACUCUGCAACAUCUCACCUCAAACACAACUACACCUGAUAACCGAGAGCAAGGAGAGAAACAGUGAGCUGCGAUAGUUUGCUGUUCCUGUCCGAGAAGGAGAAGCGAGAGGGAGAUAGAAGGAGAGAACCGUGUGUGAGCUUCCGUCUGCAUUUUUUUAACUCCAAACAACUGCACUUCAGCACUCCUCACUGCAACACCAUUCCAGUCGCAACCACUGCAACCAAAACCUGUGCGAGCUGAGAGCCGAGAGGGAGAACAGGAAAUUUUUCAGAUUUCUUGUGAGUGAGCUGCAAUUUGAGGUAACCUCUGAGCUAGAUUAAACUAAUUAGAGGUUGUUUGAGUUAAUUAGGAGCAUGCAUAUAGAGUUAAUCGAUCGGAUGAUGUACUGGAAAAGAAAAGAAAAAUUUACUGCGCGAAGGGAUAAAUUUUGGCCAUGAGCUGAAAUCGGAAAUGCAGCUCCGAAAUUGUUCACUCUUAGCAAUCUGAACACCUAAAUGUAAUUAGCCGAGUGAAAACUUGAUGAUUAAGAUCAUGCAUGUUGAUUUGUGCGUUUGGAUGAUUAAAUUAGAAGCAUAAGAAACCUUGAUUUGGAAAGAAAUGGACUGCCGAGUAGCUGAAAUGAAAAGGCAGCACUAAUCUGUUUAUCUGGUAACAAUUUGAACUGAUGAAUGUGAUUACCUCACUAAUAAGAAGGUAAUUAAGUCUUGCAUGAGGCCAAGUAACUCGGCUAACCAAGAAAAUAAAAUGAAAACAGAAAAAUUGUUUCAUGCAUGACCAUCCGAGACUAGUUGAUAUAAUUUCUAGAUUUUAGCGAUGUUUGUAGUAUUAAAUGAACCCGAUGUUGAACUAGAAAUGUUAAUCAAGUGGUUAAGCAGUUGCAUGCUGAAUUUGAGUCCCUAAAAUACUGAUUUAACCAAGGGAAAAGCUGGAUUAAGAACAUACAAUUGCUGGAAAAUUUUUGUGAACUGCGGUGAGUUUGAACCUGGAAAUUUUGAGGAUUAUAACAGCUGUUUAAAUUUAAUUUCGAGCUGGAAAUGUUAACGGUCUAGCCAAGUAAUUGCAUGAUGAAGCUGAGAGUUUAAUAGCAUGUCUUAGCCAAGGAAAUAUUGAAUUCAUGAACAACGAAGUACUGGAAAUUUAAAUGACCGAGAGGUUGAGCUGAAAAUUUUAAUUGGUUUUUGGAAUUUUUCCUUGGAAGAAAAUGGUUCAGAAAUGUAUGAAAAAUGUGUACUUAAGCCAUGUAGGUGGUUUAGCUAUGAAACAUUUGUUAUAUUGGAAGUUUGGACCAAAAGGUUGGAAUGUAAAUGCUGAACAUUUUUGUUAGUAGCCGAGAGACUUGGAUUGGAAAUGUUAACUUGUUUCUGGAAUUUUUCUUAGAGUACAAUGGUUUCGAAAUGUAUGAAAAAUAUGUAUUUUAAGCUGUGUAAGUUGUUUAGCUAUGAAACCUUUGAUAUUUUGGAAGAUUUGAUAAAAAAUGUUGAAGGGUAGACCUGGAAAAUUUUCAAGUGAGUUGAUAGAGGAAGUAAAGGAAUUUUUCAGAUUUCUUUUGGCGAAUUUUAGUUCUAAAAAUGCUGUUUUGAGCUGUAAAAUAUUUCAUGCUUAUUGACCUCACUCUAGAGUAUAUUAAGAGGGCCGUGCAUGUGAAUUUUUGGGGUGACCAUUUGAUUUUUAUCAUGGCUACAAGAAUGAGAUUUUGGUUGAAAUCUUGGACAAAAUAGGGUUGCAAAAUCUUGCCUUACGUUCAUACACCUGUUAGUGAUUCCAAACGUUCGAAAUUUUGGCUUUGUUGCAAUAAGAAAUAAUUGUUGGGUGCUAAGGGCUAAUGAUUGAUGAAACCCUUGGCCAUUUGAAUGAUUUUAUAUAAGUGUUAAAGUUUGAAGAAAUUAAAUUGCUGGAAUUGCUUGGAGGCCUUAUGUUUAUUUUGAUUAAGUUGAGAUAGGAUAUGAGCUUGCCAAAACCAAGAGCUAAUGAUUGACGAAACCUUGGUCACUUGUUUCAUUUUUCUAUCAGAAAUGAACCUGUUGAAAACUAGGGCGAAUGAUUGACAAAGCCCUAGUGAUUUGCUAAAUGAAAUGUGAUUUGGCCAUGUUGACAAAUUUGAGCCGUAAUGUGAUUUCGAAAUGAAAUCGAAAUUGUGAAAGUCGUUUCGACCCUGUGAACUCGAGCAAUUCUGAGCAAACGAAUCAAAAAUAUUUUUCGCUAGUAUUAGACGAUGAAAUUCAGUAUUUAGUAUUUUGCCCUAAAUUUUGCUAACUCGACAAUUUUUUUGUAGCUUGAACUAGCCUUAAUAGUUAUAGAAAAUAAUUUUUAUAGCUUUUAAAACCCUAAGUCUUGUUCUAAUUCCUUUUCUUUCUUUAAGAUUUGCCUUUGGCUAGUUGUCUAUAGGAAAAGUUCCAAAAUAAGAAUUUUAAUAACCUUAAGUUAAAAACUUAGAAACUUGCUCGGCAAGAAACUUUAGUUUUGGUAAAAUAGUUUUAGUGACAAUUUUUGCAAGAACCGUAACUUUAAAGAAAUUUUUCAAAGUAUCUUUCCAGCUUUGAUAUUAAGUGGUUUAUCGACUUAUUUCAAGAAAAUAAUACUAGUUACCUUUUUUAUAAGGAAAAGUAUCUCAAGGAAAAACUAUAAAAAACAUUUUUACUACUUUUGUCAAGUUUCAACCCAAGUGGAUUUUUAAAAUUUCUCUGAGAAGGUAAACUAGUAAUAUAUUAGAUAAUCCUCUAUAUGUAUAAGCUUAAAAACUGAAUAGAAGACUUAUAGUUUUAAAACUUGGUUUUCUAGGGUACAGCGAGGACGUGGAACUUUAAUUUCCCAGCUUGAUCAGUAACUUCACUCUCGGUGAGUGUCCCUGCUUGUUCCAUGUCUACGUGAUUAAAGUGCUUUGUUGACUUGAUAUAUGAUAAUUGUGAAAUGGUUUUGAUCCAUCGAAGUGAGCAGUGUGUACUUUAUCACACUAGCCUUUCGAGUGGUGACUUGCGUGAAAUAUUUUAGUGAAUCCAAGUGUUGUGACGUCGCUGGGUGAAUCCCUCGACCAAUUUCUGAGGGUAUACGCAAGUAUACUGCUCCCAAUUUCUGAAGGUAUACGCAUGUAUACUGCUCCCAAUUCCUGAGGGUAUAUCUCGAGUAUACUGCUUCCUUAGUUGGUGUUCGGGCCCGGGACAGGGGUAUGAAUGGUGACGGGUUAGGAAACAAAAUGAGAUACUCUACAUGGAUCAUAAGUAGUGAGAGUUGACGGAGGGUCAACUACGAUGGUGUUUGGUCAAGCGAGGAAUCGGCUCCUGAGAGCCCCUGUAUCCUACCUUGUACUGUUAUACGCUUUUCUAAUUGUUGAAUUUAAUACUUGUUACUUGCCUUAUGUGAUUGCAUGUUUUGGGGCACCACUGAGUUUUAGCUCACCCCACAUUUAUUUGUUUUCCUUGACAGGUUUUGACGUUUGAGAAAUUUGAGCCUACUUAUAUUUGCUUAUGAAUGUAUUUGAACCUUGUGACUUGGAUUUGCAGUUCGUAAUGUAAUUCGAAUAAAACAAUGUACUUUUGUCUUGGGUUGCCACUUGAAGCUGGAAAAGUGUAAAACCCAGAUUGGUUAUGUGGCUUGUGUAAAUUUGUUACUUAGCUUGUAAUUCUGAUAUUUGGCUUGUAUGAAUUUGUGAGAUGGGAUUGUUUGACUUUAUUCCGUGGUUUGUAACGCGUAAGGUAUUUAAGAGUCGACAAUUGGUUUUUUUUAAAGAUGCUGUUAUCUCUGAAGUUAAUGGGGUUUUAGUCAUCAGCCUAUUUGGAAGGAAACAGUGUUGUAAUAGUUUAGGUUAUUCUUCGGAAUGAUUUGGAUAGAUUGCUUGCGUGAGUCCUGGCGAGAGUUAGGCAGACGGCCCGCCAACCCUUUGGUUCGCCUUAGGGGAAAGUGGGGUCGCCACAAAGGCAUCGCUGCAGGAAGCUCAGCACAUAAAGACAGUCCUUGACCUUUACAAAGCAGCUUCAGGUCAGGAGGUUAACUUUGAUAAAUCAGCAGUGGUCUUCAGCAAAAACACAGACCCCACAGUUCGUCGAAGUAUCACACAGCUUCUUAACAUCAAGGAAGUUCCCACUCACGACAAAUAUCUUGCCUUCCUACUGUUGUUGGUUGUUCCAAGUCUGAAGUUUUUUCAUCUGUAAAGGAGAGAAUCUGGCAGAGGAUACAUGGAUGGAAUGAACAGCGCCUCUCAACGGCAGGUAAGGAAAUCAUGAUCAAGGCUGUUGUCCAGGCCAUUCCAACAUACUCAAUGUCCUGUUUCAAGUACCCGGACUCCUUGCUUUCCGAUAUUCAAUCUAUGAUUAGUAACUUUUGGUGGGGUGAUGGCACAAAACAGAGACCAAUCCACUGGGUGAGUUGGAAUAGAAUGUGCUCGUCCAAAAAUGAUGGGGGCAUGGGCUUUAGACAACUUAAGGCUUUCAAUUUAGCUUUAUUGGCUAAACAGGCAUGGCGCAUUGCAACUCAGCCAUCUACUCUGCUUCAUCAGGUUUUUAAGGCUAAAUAUUUUCCAACGAAGGACUUUUUUCAUGACGAGCCUACUUCCAGGCCUUCUUUUACUUGGAGGGGAUUGUGCGUUGUUCGAAGAUAUUUACUCUCUGGUAGCAGAUGGCGAGUUGGAAAUGGGAACCAUGUCAGAAUCUGGAAGGAUAGGUGGAUUCCACGCCCUUCUACUUUCAAAAUUAUAUCCCGUUAUGAUGUGCUGCUGGAUGAUUCCACUGUGGAUUGUUUAAUUGACGGAAAUAGCAGGAAAUGGAAAGUUGAGUUGCUUCAGGAGCUUUUUUGGCAUGAUGAGAUUGAGUUGAUUAUGGGUAUUCCAUUGGGUGAUAGUCACAAUCACGAUAAGCUCAUCUGGCACUACUCUAAAAAUGGCUCAUUCACAGUGAAAAGUGCCUACCACCUUAUCAAAACACAAUCUACAGGCUGGCAAGAUGUAGCUUCAGGGAGUAAUGGUUCGGUGCAGGAUAUUUGGCCUCGCCUGUGGAAGCUCAACAUACCAAACAAAGUUAAGAUAUUCUUGUGGCGUAUCUGCAAGGGUAUUCUCCCUACAUCUUCCACGCUGAAUAGCCGUGGAGUCCACCUUGACCCUAUGUGUCUUUUAUGUAAGACCCCUGUUGAAGAUGUAACUCACCUCUUCUUGUGCUGUCCGGUAGCAGUUCAGGCUUGGGCCCUCAGCUUUCUUACACUAAAGAUAAGGUUAGACUCCGCCAAGCAGGUCUCUUCUUGGUUGCCUGGCCUUCUGAAUCUCUUGAAGAAGCAGGACAUGGAAUUGGUAGCCAUAAUUCUUUGGAAUCUAUGGCUUAACCGAAAUGGUGCUUUAUUCGAUGGUUCAUAUCGGGACCCGCUCAGUCUAGUCUCUCUCUCUAUCAAUUUCUUACAGAAGUACCGGGAAGCCAACACAUCUCCAAAUACUCCAAUCCGCACUUCCAUUGCUCCACUCCACUGGACAAAGCCCCCUGUGGGCUUCCUAAAGGCGAACUUCGAUGGCGCAGUUUUCUCCGAAUAUGGCUACUCUGGUGUUGGAGUUGUUGUGAGGGACGAGCGGGGCAAUUUUGUUACAGGAACUUCUCACAAAAUCUCUGGUAUCUUUUCCCCUGAGGUCAUCGAAGCCUAUGCUGCGAGAACUGCAAUUUCCUUGCUGCUUCAAUGGAAAGUGCCCAACAUUAUUUUGGAGGGAGACUCUUUGAAGAUCGUCAACAUGCUUAAGCUUAUGGAGUCUGAUGACUCCGCUUAUGGGGUGCUGUUAGAUGAUAUCUUUGUUAGGUUACAGAACUUCGCCGCUUGGGAGGCUAAUUGGGUCCCUAGGAAGGCCAAUGUGCCAGCACAUUUAUUAGCUAGAAAUGCUCGCUCUAUUUCAGAUAUCUGUAGUUGGAGUUAUUCUCCACCACCUUUUCUUCCCUCCGCAAUUUCGGCGGACCUAUCCUCACCUUAAUGAAAUUUUCUAGUUUGCUAUCAAAAAAGAUCUGAAAUUUUUUUCAAAAUUUGAAUCUAUUUUAACAUAUCUCAUUAUCAUUAUUGAAACUUAAAACCAUUUAUUGACAAAUCUGGCAAUUGCCAUAUGCACAAAAGGGAGACACUUUAAAAUUCUUUAUAUUUUAUUAGAUGUGUUUGUAAUUUUCAAAUCUAUUGUAUUAGUUAAAUUAUAAUCUGUAAUUUUUAAUGCAGGCUUGACCUGCCAUUAGGGGAGUUAUGUAAAUCAAAUCAUGUUGGACGAUUUUCAAAAAACAAAAAAAAAAACUUAACCGUCAAUUACUCUUCCCCGUUUUAUUUGUCCACUUUUCAAUUGUCAAUAACUCUUUUAAAAUAUUUUGCAAUACAAAAAUCAACUGAAACCAGUAGACAUUGUAAUUAAUAGCAGUAUUCAAUUCAUGUUUUUGUAUGUUACUCGUACAUCUAAUUAGUCCAAUUUGGAGGAAAAAAAAGAUGAAAACAAAAACAUAUAAUAGUCACAAAAAACACAGAUCUAGCUCAAAAUAUGGCAGUGACCAAUUGUUCUGCAAAAUUAGUGGGAUAAGCAGUUGACAGAUUCUAUAAUCCCUUUUGGUCAAAUAUUAUUUUUAAUAUUUAGGUCGUUACAAUUUCAAUCAUUUAAAUUACCCGUUACUAUCAUCAGUGGAAGAAGCACAUUGAAGGAAUGAUACUUUAAGAUGACUACAGAAUUUUUCUAGUUGGUCAUACAACAUAUUAAUAUUUGAAAAAAAAUUCUAAUCACACAAUUGUAUUUGAUCUCAACCAACCGCCACUACUUUAAAUUAAUUUGGAUCGUAAGUAAUGUCAUUACUUUAUGUGAAUAUCAAAUAUGAAAAGUGCAUUAUAUAUAUGAGGAAAGAAAAUAAAAUGUACUAGUUUUCAAUUUCUUUAUGUAGAAUAUUUUCUUGAAUAUUAAUUUUUGAUAUAUCUUAGUCAAGGUCAUUAAUCAACCCGGACCUAAUCAACUCCAAACCCAGGGCAAAUUUCUUUAAAAUAUUGCCAAAAAGAACUUCGAAAAAUAUUGUUGAAAAGUUGAGUAUUUUUCUAUCCAGGCUCGUUGUAUCUCUGACAUGCGGUGGACUAGUUCACUAGUUCCAUUUUCUUUGUAUAAAAGGAGUCUGUUUGCCAGACACAUGGUGAGCCACAUUUAAAAAUUGGUUUCUAUCAUAAAGCCUAUCAUGUCCGGACAGAAGAUGGACUGUUUUUUAAAUUUUUUUUUGAAAGCAAGUGAAAAGCGUUGCAACUCAGGAUUUGGAUAGUAAUUUUAAAAUUUAAUGGUGCACCUACCUUUUAACAUUUCGUGUGCUUUUAAGGUAUCAAAUGGGAAAAAAAACCAACACCAUAUAACUUCAAAUGCAAGAUGGUACGAAAUUUGUCAAUAUGUAGAUGUUAAUAUACAUUGACAUGUAAAAAGUGCACCAUUCAUCACAAAGAUAUUUAUCCUAAUAUUAGAUUCAUUUUUUCAAAAAUUCAACUUUUCAUGCAAACAUGUAAUCAAUAUGCAUAAAUAGAUAACAUUAGAUGAAUUUAAACAAGUAGCCUUAAAAUUUAAAAAUAUUUGAUUUCGUAAAUGUGCAUUCGCAAUUUAGAAAAAGUACUUUUCAAAUGGCAACUCUAGAGAACAAGAAAUACUCCUACUUUAUUUUGAUUUCAAAUCUUCUUUUGACUUGUCAAAAAAGUGAAAACACGAAACCAAUAAUGGGUCAGAUAGAGAGAAGUAUUAGAAAGAGAAAUUUGUCAAAUUGGUCCCUAAUAUUUACACAAAUCAGCCAGAAUAGUUAUUAACAUAUAAAUUAUGAUUCAUUUUGGUCCUAAUGCUCGUAUUUGCUCAUUUCUUUGACUAAAAAUAGCACGCCUCUCUCACGUGGGCAUAUUUUCAAGGGCAAAAUUGAAAAACACAAGCUUUUCUCCCCUUUUCAAGGAUAACAUUUUAGCAUAUUUUUCUUUCCAUGUUCUGAAAUUAGGGCUUUUCUCCCCUUUUGCUUCUGGUCAUGGACUCUUUGCUAUCGAGCUACAUCUCUUCCGAUGAAGAACAAGAAGAUAAACCACAGCUCUCAAAUCCCAGUUCCGCUGGAUUCCUCUUCUCACUGCCACCCCCAAAAUCUUCAUCAUCAUCUUCUUCCUCAUCCAUCUUCUUUCCAUUUCCCCCAACCCAAUCCCACCCCCCAAAGCCCCCCGUCUCAUCGUCUUCCUCAACCCUGAAUCCACAUAAAUCUAAUGAACUUCAAGAAGAGAGGGAUGGGCAGCAAUUGCUAAAAAAUCGGGAAAGUUCGAGAUUUUUUAUAUCGCUUCCAAAACCAUUGUCAUCUUUGUUCGCUUUGUUUCCUCAACCCAAAUCAUCUUCCACGUCAUCUCUUUUCUCUUCUCUUCCGCAGCCCACCAAAACCCACAAUCUUGAUGCCCGGGUUUCGCCUCCUGUGCAAUUUGCUAGAAAGAAGGUGGUGGUGAUUCCUUGGCAGUCGGAUCACACAACUUUAAUGGAAAGGUGAUGGAAUCAAGCUCGCCGGGUUUAUUGGUGGUGGUUCCUUGGGGGAUCAACAGCAGCAGCCACACCGCUAAAGGGAUCAAGCCUCAAAUUGACGCGGGUGCUUUUCAGUUUGGGGAGAAUAUACUGAAGUAGCAGCAGUAGAAGCUUCAAUUCCACGUUUACACUGAAAACAAUAGUGUUUUCUAGUUUUGUCCUUGAAAAUAUGCCCACAUGAGAGAGACGUGCUAUUUUUAGUCGGAGAAAUGAGCAAAUACGAGCAUUAGGAUAAAAAUGGAUCAGAAUUUAUAUGUUAAGAACUAUUUUGGCUGAUUUUAAAUGUUAGAGACUAAAAAAGUUUUUUGUGUAAAUGUUAGGGACUAAUUUGACAAAUUUUUCUAUUAGAAAUUUGUUUUCUAGAUUCUUUGGUUUCCCAAUUUUUUCAACGGGUCAACUCGACCAUUAUCACAUGCAUGUGAUUGUAGGUCUACCACGCUUCAUAGUCCAUAACGUGGCACCACAAAAGAUGGUGUCAAAACACUUUUCUAGUUUAGUAAGAUCUGUGUAUGUAUUAGUUCCUAACACAAGUCUCUUUAGAUUUUCUCUCCUUUGUAAUUUAGAAUAAAAUAGGUUAUACAAUUGUUAUCGUCUUCAGAAAAAAAAAGAAUAAGUCCCAUCCUAUUAUUAUUAUUUUUCUUUUAUCAAUCAACAACGCCUAUUCUACACCUAUUUGACUUCUAUUCUAGGGGAAAGGGAGGUCCAAUUGGAAAAUUAAUGGUGAUUGAACCACAAUUAGACCAAAAACUUUCUAGAUAAAAUUUGAUCUAAAAAAUAAAUAAUAAUAUAUUAACUUAUUAUUUAAUAUGAUAUAUAUUCAAAUAGAUUAAAUUUAAUAAUUUUAAAUUUUAAAUUUUACAUUUUAAAUUUUAAUUUUCAAACUUCAAUGUUGCCAUACUUACAACAACAACCUCUAGAUGGUCAACACUUAGAGUCGUAGCCCUUGCUUUUGGCAUUCCCCGGUCCAUAUGCUAUGUUGUUCUCAAUGAGGAAGCAAAUGUCCGCUAUUAAUUACACGAGCCAUCAGUCAAAUCAGUCAAAAGAUGUUAUUGAUUGAACCAAGUGGGCAAAUUGAAUGAACCACCAGCUCCACUAAGCCCUUAAGGCUGUGUUUUCAAACUCGGACCGGACCGGCCGAUCUGAUCGGUUGAACCGGGAACCGGUCGAGUGUCCGGUCCGAGUUGAUCAUCAAAACCGGGAGAUUCAAAACCCGGUCAAUUCCGGUCAAAACCCGGGUUUGACCGGUACAGAACCGGAAAAAUCGGUCCAACAGGAGAUUUUGUAAAAAAAGUUCAAACUUUUUUAAUAUUAUGUUUUGGCCCCCUAAAUUGUGAAAACUUAUUAAUAUAUCUCAAAUAUUUCAUACUUUAUAAAUAUUGUCCUAAAAUUUGAUGUUAUUUUUCAAUUAAAUCCAUAAUUUUAAUUCUAAACUUGUUAAUGUUUAUUAAAUAAUAUAAAUUGUUACUUGAUUGUUCUAUUUCAAGUAUAUAUGAAUAUACCUUUAUUAAUAUCAAUAUGUUAUUGGAUAUUUUAUAUACAAUAAUUUAAUUUUUAAAUAAUUUUUAUUUAUGACGUCAUCCGGUUCGACCCCUAUCGACCCCCGAUCUAACCCAUUGACCCCUGACCCCUGACCUCGGCCGAGUCGAUAUCCGGUCCGGUUCUGAAAACAUAGCCUUAAGGCUUUGGUAAACUUGUCUCCCAUCAAAAUAUCAUUCUUGUGGCUCUUCUUAAAAUUCAGAAGGGUGUAUUGUGCACCUGUCUGAUCCAGUGGUGAUUCUGUUCUCAUCGAUCUUUCGUAGGUUCAGUUGAGCCUUCCUGUAAUUAGAGUAGAUGUAGGAGUAGGGAUGACAAUUGAAAAAAAAAAAAAAGUGGGCAAAUUGAGUGAGGAUGAGUAAUUGACCUGUAAGUCUUGGCAGACUUGGAGGAAUCAAUCAACAUUCUCUGACUUGAAUGAGGUAAGCACAAAGGUGAGCAUUUUCCAUUUUUAUUUUGGUUUUCAUUUCUUGUAUACUCUAAAACUUUUUUCAUUCUACCCCACGCACAUAUAAUAUAUAAUGAAAUGUAAAUUUUUUUAUGAAAACAUAUAAAAUAUAUAAAAUGUAAAAUAAAUUUUUUAUAAAAACAUAUGUUUAUAUUUAUCUUUGUAUAAUGAAAAUAUAUAAUUCAUUCUACCAAUAUAUACGCAUAUAUAUAUAUAUAUAUAUAUAUAUAUGUAUAAUGAAAAAUUAAAUUUCUCCUUCAUCUUCAGGGCUGCACCUACAAACAACAAAACUCCGCUCCACUCAACUCUUUCCUUCGUGUUUUGUGUUUUUUUAUAAAAAACAUAUAUAUAUAUAUAUAUAUAUAUAUAUAUAUCUUUUAAAUUUCACUAAUUAUUUUAGCUCUUAAUGUUUUUUAUUUUUUUUACUAAUAUUACCUCAUGAGAGGUAAAAAGGGUAUAAAUGGAACAACAUUAUUAUCUCACUUUCCAAAAGACUUUUUUAAUGGUACUUUUUCUAACAUGGGUUGAAGCUAUUAUCAAAAUCUAGUUUAGGAAAAAUUAGUGCUAUUUUUCAAAUUUUAGGAAAGGUGAGUACAACUGUUAGAAAUCUCAGGGACGAUUUUUGCAAUUAUCCCUAAAAGCAUAGACCAAGACUACACUAAUCUCUAAAAAUUUGACACCUAUUUCUUAUAACUAUACUAGAUAAUUUCAUAAUUGUAUAGAAAAAUAAAUCAAAAUUUAUUAUACAAAGGUAUUUUUGGAUAUUUAUUUAAAAAUUUGAUCAAAUUAAUAUUAUUUUAAAGCUUUAUUACAAAAACUAUCAAAUCAAAGGAAGUAAGCGUAAUAUUUCAAACCUUACAGUAAAAUUGUUAGAAACCUCAUAGAGGUUCCUGAAAUUAUCCCUAAUAUUUUUUUUUGUACAAAAAACUCCAAAAAAUUGGCAGCUCAAACGGGGCCAACAAUCUACUAUGUUUGCCUGUUCUCCCGCCGGACCCACCAGCCGCCGGCGGCCAUGGGUCAUCUAUAAAAGCAUAGAUCAAGACUACACUAAUCCCUCAUCUGUCCAGUCCAUCCAUAAUUGCAGAAACUGGUAGGUUUUGUAUUUAACAAAAAUAUGAGACUUUGUAGAUUUUGAAGUUUAAGGAAUGGAUAUUUGAAGUUUAACGAUCGUUAUACAACUUUCAAAACAAAUAAAUUCAUUUUAUUUUUUUUUUGGAUAAUUUCAUAAAUCAAAUCGUGGUCACUUUCGCAAAAGUCAUAUUUUCCCAUAAAAGACCAGUUCUUUAUGACUUUCCUCCAUUAUAAGAACAGAGUACCCAUUUUUCCAUAAACAAAUUUAUUUAUCGAAUAAAAUAAAAAUAAAUCCGUUUUUCAAUAAAACACCAGUUCUUUAUGGUUUUCUUCCAUUAUAAGAAUAGAGUAACCAUUUUCCCAUAAACAAAUUUAUUUAUCGGAUAAAAUAAAAAUAAACCCGUUCUCCAAUAAAACAUGAGCUCUUUAUGACUUUAGAAUGAAGGGUUACUCCCUCUUGUUUGAUAUAUCUGAACCUCUUGUUUAAUUUAAAAAUCACCACCAUCAUUCUUGUUUGAUAUAUCUGAACCUUUCACAUUUUUACCAGUUUUUUUGCCCUUUUAUUUUUCUCUCUGUCAAUUUCCUAAAGAUUGAUGAAAUCUUUGCAGGUCCGAAUAAACCAAAGAACGAAAAUCCAAUCAAAAAGUUCGAAAUUUAAAGUUUAAAGGAAUGGCAACCUCAGAAGUCGUUCUCCGGUGCCUCCCUAGUCCCUCACGUCGCAGUAGUCACCAAGUCUUCAGCAGUCAACAUCCAAAGCUUAUAAAGUAGCACAAAUACUAUUGUAUAUAAGAACUUAAAUUUUGCAUCCGCGAGGGCGGCAGAAGUCAAUACUCCAGGAGGGACUAGGGGCAGAGGGCGGCCGCCGCCGAGGGAAGUGGGAGCUGGCUAUAGAAGGUCAUCGGGCGGUGGACUAUGAGGAGAGCAAAGGAAUAUCAAUUGAGAGUGCAGCGUGUGAUGGAGAGAAAGAGAGGGUAUGUCCGUCGUAAAUGUUGUCUGAGGGAAUAAGUUGAGGGUUUUGUCCAAAACUUCCCAAUUUGCUCGAGAAUGGGAUAAGUCAGAUUUUUUAGAAAUGAUUCCAAAAAUUACAUUCCAAUAGGCUUAAUCCAAGCAACAAAUAAGGGGUUUAUUCCAUUCUGUGAUUCCCAAACCCUUUAACCCAAUAGCCCCUUAAUAUUUUUUUACUAAUAUUACCUCAUGAGAGGUAAAAAUGAUAUAAAUGGAACAAAAUUAUUAUCUCACUUUCCAAAAGACUUUUUUAAUGGUAUUUUUUCUAACAUGGGUUGAAGUUACUAUCAAAAUCUAGUUUAGGAAAAGUUAGUGCUAUUUUUCAAAUUUUAGGAGAGGUGAGUACAACGGUUAGAAAUCUCAGGGACGAUAUUUGCAAUUAUCCCUAAAAGCAUAGACCAAGACGACACUAAUCCCUAAAAAUUUGACACCUAUUUCUUAUAACUAUACUAGAAAAUUUCAUAAUUGUAUAGAAAAAUAAAUCAAAAUUCAUUAUCCAAAGAUAUUUUUAGAUAUUUAUUUAAAAUUGAUCAAAUUAAUUAUUUUAAAUUUUUAUUACAAAAUCUAUCAAAUCAAAGGAGGUAGGCGUAAUAUUUCAAACCUUACAAUAAAAUUGUUAGAAACCUCAGAGAGGUUCCUGAAAUUAUCCCUAAUUUUUUUUUGGUACAAAACCCUCCAAAAAAGUGGCAGUUCAAACGGGGCCAACAUUCUCCUAUCUUCACAAGUCCUCCCGCUGACCCACCAGCCGCCGGCGGCCCUGGGUCAUCUAUAAAAGCAUAGACCACGACUACAGAAAUCGUCCAGUCCAUCCAUACUUCUUCUUCAGGCCUCAGCUACUAAACAAUAAACUCUGCUCCACUCAACUUGUGCUCAAAAUAUGACAGUGACCAAUUGUUCUACAAAAUUAGUAGGAUAAGCAGUUGACAGAUUCUAUAAUCCCUUUUGGUCAAAUAUUAUUUAAAUUCAUACUUUAAUCUUAAAUUUAUAGUUGGAUGGUCCAGGAUGUGGUAAAAUUUUUCAUUCAAACUAACGAUAGUGCGAAAAAAAAGACUAAUUAAUAAAAAUACGAUCUCGAAAAAUUUUUAAUUCACAUUCACAAUAUGUGAAUUCAUGAUAAAUACAAAAAAGUAUGGUACUUUGAUAAUACAAUGAAGGAAAGCCAUAAAGAGCAUGCCAUUUACGAGAAAAGUUUUCAUUAAUAAAAAUACCAACUCUUCACGGCUUUUUUAACGGUCCUUCAACGUAUGAGCAAAGUGCCAAUAAUUAAAUUAGUAAUUUUUUCGAUUUAUACAUAAUUAAUUUUUUUUUGCAUUUCCACAAAAAACAAAUGAAAAUUUUUUAUCAGAAAGCACAAAAGUCAAAAUGAUUGGUUUAAAAGGGAAAGGAAUAGCAUAUAUGUACAGUACUUGUAUUUCACGUUCGAAAUACUACAGUGCUGUUUGAAAAACACCCCCAACAAUAUCUAAUCCAAACGGAACCAAUCUUCAGUAUUUAAAAUACCAAAUUUGUGAAUGUGUUUUAACUGUUAUUCAUUGGUAUCCUAAAAUGUCAUUUUCCCAUCAAAUACCAGCUCUUUAACACCCAUUUUCCCAUAAAUAAAUUUAUUUAUCGGAUAAAAUAAAAAUAAAUAGCUAUUUCCAAUAAAUAGCUGGUGUUUUAUUGGAAAACCUGUUUUCCAAUAAAUAGCUAUUUCCAAUAAAUGGUUGGUGUUUUAUUGGAAAACGGAUUUAUUUUUAUUUUAUCCGAUAAAUAAAUUUGUUUAUAGAAAAAUAUGUCCUCUGUUAUAAUGGGAAACAAAGUACCUAUUUUAAACAUUUCCCAUUGAAUUUGUUUUGGAUAUUUAUUUAAAAAUUUGAUCAAAUUAAUAUUAUUUUAAAACUUUAUUACAAAAACUAUCAAAUCAAAGGAAGCAAGCGUACAGUAAAAUUGUUAGAAACCUCAUAGAGGUUCCUGAAAUUAUCCCUAACUUUUUUUUUGUACUAUAAAAGCUCCAAAAAAGUGGCAGCUCAAACGGGACCAACAAUCUACUAUGUUCGCCUGUUCUCCCGCCGGACCCACCAGCCGCCGGCGGCCAUGGGUCAUCUAUAAAAGCAUAGAUCAAGACUACACUAAUCCCUCAUCAGUCCAGUCCAUCCAUAAUUCUCCUAUCUUCACAAGUCCUCCCGAUGACCCACCAGCCGGCGGCGGCCCUGGGUUAUCUAUAAAAGCAUAGACCAAGACUACAGAAAUCGCUCAGUCCAGUCCAUCCAUACUUCCUCUUCAGGCCUCAGCUACUAAACAAUCAACUCUGCUCCACUCAACUCUUUCCUCUGUGUCUUGUGCUCUUGUCCGAAAAUGGCGGCGUCAGAAGAAGUGAAAGUGCCAAGAAUCAAGCUGGGCUCGCAAGGUCUUGAAGUUUCAGCUCAAGGGCUGGGCUGCAUGGGCAUGUCAGAAGCCUACGGGCCGCCGAAGCCCGAGCCUGAUAUGAUCAAACUCAUCCACCAUGCUAUUUGCAGAGGUAUCACCCAUCUUGACACCGCCGAUAUGUAUGGACCUCACACCAACGAAAUACUCAUUGGCAAGGUACCGUAUUUACAAAUUUUCUGCUGUUGUGUGCUGUGCAUAAAAUCUUGUACUUUUAAUUUCUAAAAGAGCAUAUUUGUAAUAUUUUAUUUGGGUAUAUUAUACUUGACCCCCUGCACUUCAAAACUUGUCUCCCUUUGUGCCCCCUUAAUUUUGUUUGUGAGCACUUGAACUCCAUUUGUUUAAAUUGUAAGUAUUAUUAGUCAAAUAGGACAUUGUUCUUCUUUUCUUUUGCUUCAUUUUUUCAUGUUACUGCCUUUUCAGUUUGUCCUCCUUUAUAGACAUGGGAUGAAUUACUUUGAUUUUGAUUUUGGCGCAAUUUUGUAUAAAAUGAUUUUUGCUAUGAAGUUAUUGAUUUAUUAUGAGCUAUGCGUUGUAUAUUUACACAAAUUCUGCUAGCUAAACAUUUACUUGAGCAAGCCUUCCAUACAUGAGCAAUAUAAUACUCUAUGGGUGCAUUUCGUAAAAUUGAAGUUUGAAAAUUAAAAUCUAAUUUAAAGUCUAAAUUCAUAAAGUUAUUAAAUUGUUAAGUACUAAAUUUGAUAUGUUUGAGUGCAUGUCACAUCAAACGAUCAGUGAAUAAUUGAUCAUUUAUUUUUUAGAGCAAGUUUUGUUUAAGAAAUUCAAUGCUAUUUAAUUAAUUCAGAUAUUCAUUUUUUGGUUAUCAAACAUGUUUGAAUAUGAUAAGAUUUGAACCUAUUAAUUUUAAGUGUUGAAUUGGAUUAUCAAAUAGGACCUAUAAUUAUUAGGUAACCAAGCAGACAACAUGUUUAGUGUAUAAUAGUAAUUAACGUUCAAUUUGUCUCGUUAUUCUUUGGUAAAGAACUCUUUGAAUAUUAAUAAUAAUUUUCUCAUCCACGGGAAUCAAAAUAAUUGAAGUUUUAUCUCUACCAUUGAGAUAUGUUACCUUCUAAAAGAAAGGAAAGGGAAGGAAACAUGGGGGAAAAAUAGGGAAAGGGCAAAGUGAUGAUAAAUAAAAUUGGAAGUAGCAAAAUGAGACAAGUGAAUUAUUGCAAGGGGUUAAGUGUAAAUUAUGUUUAUUUUAUUAGACUAUUUAACCAGAAAGACUGGACUCUUUUAAGGCACCAAUCAAAGGUUCCAAUUGCUGGAAAUAACAUGAAAACCUAGACUUUGGUUUGGCGUUUUUGGAGGUGGUUCAUGAAAAUUUUAUUGUAGUUUUUUUUUUCUUCUUGAAAAAUAUAUUUGUAAGAGAAAAAAAGUGGUUGAAAAAAAAUUGAGAGUUUUUUUUAAUAAAUUGUUUUCUAAAUAGUUCAGUCACCCAAAAUUUUCAGUAUUCCGACAAUGGCAUCCAUGUGGUGUCAAUUGUCAAACGUGCAACAAAGUUGAGAAGAGAAGGUCGCAGGUCUAGCGCAUACUUUGAAUAGCUACCAUCUCUUUAUUUUCUUUUUUUUUUUCCGUCAAAAUUCUACAUCAUAAUGGAGUUGGUAAAAUAGUACUAUUUUCGUCUUUGAUGUUAAAAUUUUCAUCAUUUUAUGGAAAGUUUACUAUUUCUCUGAUAAGAGAUAGUAAAAUUUACUUUUUAUGAGCAGUAAAGUUUUAAAGAUUAUGAAAAGAGAAAUGUAUGAAGGAAUAGAAGGGAAAGAAAGGUAAGAAAAUGGAUGGAUUGUAUUUGGAUUGAUUUUGAGAGGGGAAAGGAGAGGAAACGGAAAGAAAAGGAAAUGGAUGUAUUGUGUUUUGCUCAGACUCAUUUCCAUACAAAAGUAGACGGAAACAGAGGGAAAGAAAAUCUUGUUGAUGAUUUUCUAGUAAAAUGCCUCAAGCACCCAAAUAAAUUGUGGGAUGCAACAGCAGGCUAGGAAUGUUUGACGAAGCAACUUAUGUAAAUAUUUUAUCGUUAAGUAAAGUUCCUCUUUUGCUGUUAAAAAAAAAAAAAAAAAAGAGGAAAACUAUUCCUUUCAUGUCUGUCAUUCUACCAAACAGUAUAUUUAGGUUUUCUUUCUUUUCCAACCAUAUCUGAUCCAAAUAAGACAAAUGAGAACUAUUUUCCUCUGCUCUCCUUUCCUUUCUUUUUCACUAGGAUGUUUUAUUUAUAUAUUUAUCCUUUCCUUUGAUCCAAAUGGUUCCUAAAAGGGCCCUAAAUAAUUAUUCUACAUUGAUCAGUUCCCUAUUUUUGUACUAAUUUGCAUGUGCACGAUUCUGUGUAUGUUCAUGUUGUGCAUCAAAUCUUGUGAAUGACAAAGCUAGAGUGUAAAUUUAAGCUGAAGAAAUAUAAACCAAAAAAAAAAGAAAAUGGAUUGGCUCCGUUAAAGAAAAUGGAUUACAUACUUUUCAUAUCCUUUGCCAUACAAAGAAGUGGCAUAGCCUUAACAAUGAAGUGUUGGUAAAACUCCAGAAGGACUGUGCCAUCCAUGAAAUCACAAAUCCACUUGUUAUACCAUGCAAUAAUGUGUAUGUCCUUGAUGAUUAAUAUAAUGAAACCAUGGUUCUAGGCCUUGAAGGAAGGAAUAAGAGCGAAAGUGGAGCUAGCAACCAAAUUUGCAAUCAGUUUUCAGGAUGGGAAGUGAGGAGGUGAUUUUCGGUUGGUAACUAGACCGACCUGGAUCAGUCCUCUCUGAGAUGAAGUGAGGUGAACUCCUGUGUCCGAAGUGAACCUCGGUGUCCGAAGUGAGUGGCGGGGCUUCUCCCCUGGGAUCACUCCGACGAUCAAGUUAGUAUGAGAACGAGAAUAAUGAGAAUGAGUUAAUGAACAGUGUCCGCUUACUUGUUGGGAGUGUGUCUGGGGUAUUUAUAGAAGAGAGGUGGUCAAGACGGAAGGCUCAUGCUAGCGGGACCCACUCUCUGGCAUUACGGCUCUGUCUCCUGUCAGGAGGUCUGACUCUGACACUGUAGCCGCCUGGGAGUGAUGACGGAGGAUAUGGUGCAGGUGCCAUUAAGUGCCUCCAGUGCUUUUCAGAUAAAGUGCUGGUCCUGGAUGAUGUCAGGUGGGUUGACAUCAUCAGCGUGCAGCUGAGGCGGGGGUGCCGAGGUCGGCUACACAGUAUGCUAUGGAAACGGCCGAGCCCGAGCUCAGGGAUGAUGUCCGGGACACGGAUGAACUCCGAUGAGGGACGAGGUGAGUCCACCUCGGCCACUCGGGAUGGCCGAGGUGAGCAUCCUCAGGAAGUUUGAUGUACGUGGUGAUCCAGCCUAUGUGAGGGCUUGUUGUGAAGCAAGUUUGAAGCGGCUUGAUGUGGACUGCAUUGAUCUCUAUUAUCAACAUCGCAUCGAUACAAGUGUGCCCAUUGAAGUCACGGUUUGCUCCAUCUUGCCUUUCUUUUAUUUUAGCUCCACCUCAUUCUUGAUGAAACAAAAGUUUGAUCAACUCCAAAUUUAGAAUAAUUCAGUUUCAUGUCCGUUUCAAUUCUUCAAAAAUUGCACAGAAAAGUUAGUCAACCUUAUGGUCUCGGCUAAUCAGUAGUAUGGUAUAGCUGAUUUUGCACAAGGCAUCCUGAAAAGUGAAAACAAUGAAAAUGUCUUGUAUUAGCUUGACAGUCCUGCUGAGGGAUAUACAGAUGGAUAUCAUGCUAUACAUUGUACAGCUUUCCUUUAGAACCAAGAGACCUGAGCAUUCUCUUUCAUUUGAGAUAGGCUAUUUACUUACAUUGUCAUUCGUUUUCAGUCGGUGCCAAAAGCACUGCAGAUAGACAUUUAUUAUUGAUAUCUAAAAAACAUGGUACUCAUUUUGUUCAGAGCACAGCUUUUUGUCUAAUUGUGAAAGCCAGCUGCAACUGCCCCAUUGACCUCUCCAAGCAAUUCAAAGAUUUCAGCAGCUUGCUUACAUUAAGCUUUUAUGAAACGAUUUCUCUGUCUUCUUUUUCUCAUGUAAUCAGCAAAGAAUUGUCUUGUUUUCCCUGAGUAUUAGGUAGAAACUUUCUUGCAGUUUAAUCACUCAAAAUACAGGCAAGUAUAACGGAAAUCAAGCAAAAUUGGCAACUGAUAAUUGAUAUGUACAGCCAUCAUUAUAUAUAGAAGUCAACAAUGCCAUGUAAUCAUAUUGGAGGAGCAUUAUGUUGGCAUGGUCCAGUAGAACUAAGUCCUCCGGUUGGCUGUACAUAGAGAACUAUCACUGGAUGCUUAUUGCCAUUUUCAUCAAUUAGUGAUUUCAGUUUGAUGUAUACUUUGUCCACAACUUCGUUGAACUAGUGCAACUUUUACUUUUUGCACGUAAUAUUUCGAUUAUCUGCCUAAGUGUUGAAUGUAAUAAAUCAGCUUAGCAUCUUCUUGUCCAUUGAAAUUCUCUAGAUAGGAGAGCUCAAGAAACUGGUUGAAGAGGGUAAAAUAAAGUAUAUAGGUCUGUCUGAGGCCUCAGCUUCAACAAUUCGAAGAGCACAUGCUGUUCACCCAAUAACAGCUGUACAGUUGGAGUGGUCAUUGUGGACCAGAGAUGUCGAGGAAGAGAUUAUUCCCACUUGCAGGUAGUGCAUAUAUUCUGCUGAAUUUUCUAAAUGGUCUAGAAGAAAUAUGAAGUUCUCAAUUCAGUUUUUGGUAUAAUCUUUCAGAGAGCUUGGCAUAGGGAUUGUUGCAUACAGUCCACUUGGACGAGGUUUCUUCUCAUCAGGUCCAAAGCUGAUGGAGAAUUUGGCUGAAGGUGACUUUCGAAAGGUUUGUACAUAUGUUUUUGAGUAUAGAUUGUUUAUAGUUCGAAUAAGUUUCUCACUCAUCUACUUUUACCAGAUUCAGUGGCAAUCUUGCUUGAUAUCCCUAUUGUUGUCUAUCUGUUAUAUGUUGCUGCACUUUUUGAUAUCCAAUAAUUUGAUUAAGGCUUGUAAUAUGAUCACAUUUAAUAAAAUUUCUAUUAAACAUAGCAAUUCAACAGGAUUUUUUUUCCCUCUCGAACAAGUCUUGGAGUCUUUAGUUGAUUCAAUGAAUGCAUAUUUUGGUGUCCUCUGUAUUUAGUUCAAAUUAAGAGAUAUAGCACAAGCUUUGUCAAAUUUAAGAUCUUAUAUUAAUUGAAGGUUGUUAUUGCUUGCUGGAAAUUUAUAUAGUGGACAACAAUCACAAGCAAUGGGUAGUAUCAAAUUUUAAAGUGCAAAGAUGUCAAAACAUGAAAAAACUACGUCAUUUUUUAAGUGAACGUCUCUUUACAGUUUUGAGGGGAAAUGGACCUUAGACUUCAGUUUCAUCAUUUAGUCUCAGGCACAGAACUUAUGUUGUCCUGUGAAACUAUCAUUUUUCCUUUACCAUCAGUCCUAGAACUGAGUUUCAUUGGUCAGAAAUAUACUUCAUAGUAGUACCUCCUCCAUCGUUCUACAAACAAACAAAAAUUAGUUGAUUUGUAUUUAAGUUUCCUCUUUGAUGGGAAAUGUGUCUCAGAACUUAACUCCAACAGUUGAUGUUUCCUACUUGGAGUGUUCAGUCCACCUUGAUGCAUUGUUCUUUCCCCUGAACUUGUGCCCUUCAAACAGUAUUUCUGAUCAUCUUGAAGUAAUUAGUACCGUCUGUUCAUUGCUCCCUCCCGAUAUCUUGCAUUAUAGUUUCCUCCUCUUUAAUGGGAAAUGUAUCUCCGGAUCUACCUUCUACAAUUGAUGUUUCUUAGAGUACUCAGUCCACCUUACUUGAUUGUUCCUUCCCCUGAACUUUGUACACCUCAGACAAUACUAUCGAUCAUCUUGAAGUUAUUCAUAUUGUCUUCAUUUGUAGACGACACAUGCUUCACUCCCUUUUGCAUUUCUGGCGUUACAGUUGCUUGAAAUUUUGAAAUUCAUACAAUGCAGGGUUUGCCAAGGUUCAAGCAGAGAAUUUGGAGCACAACAAGAAGUUGUAUGAGCGGGCCACUGCCAUUGCUUCAAGGAAGGGUUGUACUCCAUCACAGCUAGCAUUGGCCUGGGUCCAUCACCAAGGCAAUGAUGUUUGUCCCAUACCUGGCACUACCAAGAUUGAGAACCUCAAUCAGAAUAUAGGAGCUUUGUCUGUAAAACUGUCGGCAGAAGAUAUGGCGGAACUUGAAUCUAUUGCUUCUGCAGGAGUCAAGGGUGAGAGAUACGGACCUGAAAUCAGCACAUGGCAAAAUUCUGAAACUCCACCAUUGUCAACCUGGAAGAGGACAUGAAGACAUAGCUUUGUUGUGGCAAUAAUUCCUUCUAGCUAUUUGCCUGAUGGUGGAUUUCACUAUAUUAAGAGUUGAGUGAUAUGUAUUUGUCCCUAUAAAUUUCGUCAUACUAUUGUCUCCAGGGUUAAGGCAAGUAAAGUUAUAAGAAGAAUGGAGUUUCUUCAGAAAGGUUGUAAUGAAUAAAGAUCUGGUCAUGUAAAAGCAGAACAUAAUUUUCCUUGCAGUUGAAUGCAUUAAAGGUUAUGUAUUGUACUUUUGAAUGCUAAAGUGGUCCAUUUUUUAUGUGUUACUGCUACGAGAGUUAUAGAUUGUUGGACAUCAUUUUUUGGUUGGAAUGUUUACAUCAAAGCGUCUCCAAGGACAUGUCAUUCUAAAGUUUAAACUACAUCAUACCAACAAAAUGCAGAAAAAGGUCUAAAGUAUGGGAUGUUUGUAAAUUUUCACGGGAGGCUUUGUUGGGUAAAUUGUAAAGGACUAGCAAAUAUUGUAACAAGAAUUGGCUUCAAAUCGUGAUAGAAAUCACUUUCCUUUAGGCUUUAUUUGUCCGGUAUAACGUGCAAUAACCUUAGACAAAUAUCCUUUAAGAUAAGAUGAAGUUUUGUUUGUCUUAAACUCUUGCACAAAGCAAGACAAACCCUUUGUGAACUAAGGAGUGCUUUUGAGAGAGUAAGGAUAGUAGGAAAGUGAUUUUCUGCAGCAAACUACUCUCUACUUGACCUCUUUAUAUAGGAAGAUUGUUUGGGAAACAAAAGAUCUCAUUAAACACUUGUAUGAAUAGAUUCAAAGUAUUGUGUACACAUUCAUGCACUUUAAUUCAUGCAUCUCAUGAUCAUUUAGAUCAAAACAUGAAUCUAUCCUUUCAUUCAAUAAUUCUCAUAUACAUGAAUACAUUCAUAAAUGAAUGUACUUUUAGGAACAUUCACAAUACUAUACAUGUACCAAAAAUUAAUGAAUACAUUAAUUACAUGUAUGUACAUCAUACAAAUUUUGAAAAGUUUCCAACAAUCCUCCGCCAUUUUCAAAAUUUAGAAAAUGGAUUUCUAAAAGGUCACCAAGUAAUCUGACACUCAUAUGCAUAAAUAAUGGUGUCUUUCGAUUGAACCACUAUCUUAGUGAAGGUUCUUUGAAAUCAAUCCUUCAAGAUGGUAGACAAGCUUUGAACCACUUGGACAUUGGACCAACCUCAUAAACACAUCACACACUGAGCAAUGCACAACCAUAAGUUCUUCAACGAUACAUUUUACGGCCUUGUAUCACUAUCCUUUCUUGAAUGUUUACAAAGUAAAGUCCUUAAUUUUGUGGUUUGCCAAAAAUUAACAUUCAUAUAGGCGACAUCUUAGUGCCCCCGCCAUAGAUAGCACUUUUAAGAUUCGUUAAGAGUCCAAUGACUCAUCCUUACAUUUGCACUGGCGAGAAUAACAUGCACUAUUCAACAUUGGGAUGUCUAAACUUCACAUAGUGCACCAACCACUAGAAUGGUGUACUUUCACUCAUUGAAUUCAAGACUAGACGUUGUAUUUAGCGUUGAAUUGAGGUUCCACCAUUAGCGAUAAAAAAUUUUGGACUUUAAACCAAUUCCCCUUGAUGUCUUUGACACCAAAUUUCUUGAUAAUCCUUUUAUCAAAGGAUCACUUAAAUUUUCAUUUGAUCUCACAAAGUCAAUUGAUAUGACUCCAUUUGUAAUCAAAUCUUUGACAUAACUAUGUCUCAAACCGAUAUGUCUUGAUUUACCAUUAUACACUUGACUAUAUGCUUUAGCAAGUGUAGCUGCACUAUCACAAUGGAUUGAGAUAGGCGAUAAAGGUGUUGGCCACAAUGGUAUAUCAUAAAGUAAAUUACGUAGCCAUUUAGCUUCUUUACAGGCCGAAACAAGUGCUACAAACUCUGCUGCCAUUGUUGAAUCGGUGAUACAAGUCUGUUUCUUAGAACCCCAAGAAAUUGCACCUCCACUAAGCAUAAAGAUUCAACCACUUGUCGACGAGUGAUCAUCUUUAUUGGUGAUCCAACAAGCAUCUGAAAAUCCUUUUAAAACUGAAGGAUAACCGGUAUAACAUAUACCAUAGUUCUUAGUGGCCUUUAAAUACUUUAAAAUUUUGGUUACACCUUGCCAAUGUAACCUACUAGGGUUGCUUGUAUAUCUGUUCAAUAUACCAACUGCAUAUGCAAUAUCAGGUUUAGUACAAGUCAUUGCAUACAUUAAAUACCCUAUAACCUUGGCAUAUUCCAUUUGAGAUUUUAGAUCCCCCUCAUUUUUCACAAAAUUUAUUUUAGAAUCCAAUGGUGUUGAGGCUGGAAUACAAUCACUUUGAUUGAAUUUGUUAAGAAUCUUUUCAAUAUAAUGUGUUUGAGACAACAUUAUAUUGUUAUCAUAUUUGAAGAUUCUCAUACCAAGAAUGACAUCUGCCUCACCCAUGUUUUUCAUGUCAAAUUUGAUUGAAAGCAAAGUUUUUGUGACUUCAACUUGUUCCAAGUCAGUCCCAAAAAUCAACAUGUCAUCAACAUAUAAACAAAUUAUGACACCUUUGCCAUAAUCAAACUUGCUAUAAAUACAUUUAUCAGAUUCAUUUAUUUUGAAUCCACUAGCAAGAAUAAUUUGGUCAAAUUUCCGAUGCCAUUGCUUCGGUACUUGUUUUAGUCCAUAUAAAAACUUUACAAGUUUACACACCUUAUGCUCUUGACCAAGUAUCACAAACCCUUCGGGUUGCUCCAUAUAUAUUUCUUCAUCCAAAUCACCAUUCAAGAAUGCUGUUUUAACAUCCAUUUGGUGAAUGACUAGAUUUUGGAUAGAAACUAUAGCAAGUAGCACUCUAAUUGUAGCAAUUCUAGCUACUGGUGAAUAUGUGUCAAAAUAGUCCACACCAUACUUUUGUGUAAACCUUUUGGCAACCAACAUGGCCUUGAACUUAUCAAUAGUUCCGUCGAUCUUCAUUUUCUUCUUAAAGAUCCACUUACAACCAAUUGGUUUUGAACCAGGUGGUAAAUCUACUAAUUUUCAGGUUUUAUUAUCCAUGAUUGAGUCCAUCUCAUCAUUAAUAGCUUCCUUCCAAAAGGGAGCAUCUUGUUAGUUCAUUGCUUCUUCAUAGGUCUUGGGAUCAGUCUCAAUAUUGAAGCAAUAUGAGAUUUGGUUGCUCACUGUAUCUCUAGUUCUUUCAACUAGAUACAUAUAAAAGUCCGAACCGAAGUCUUUUGAUUUUCUAGCUCUUUUGCUCCUUCUCAAUUCAAUGGUUUCAUUUUCACCAUCUUUUGUCAAUUCACUUGAUUUUGGAAUAACAUCUUUUAUAGAGGUGAACCUAUUCUCUUCAAAAAUAGCAUCUCUAGACUCAAUUAUGGUAUUAACCGAAAUUGAAUCAUUAGGUUCAAUUACCAUGAACCUAUAUGCUUUGCUAUUUUGUGCAUAUCUUAAAAAUAUACACUCCACACCUCUUUCUCCCAAUUUCCUUUUUUGAGGUUCUGGGAGUUUUACAAUAGCUCUACAACCCCAAACUUUCAAAUAGUUUAGGUUGGACUUCCUUUUAUUCCAAAAUUUAUAAGGGGUUAUAGAACUUCUUUUAUUAGAAACUCUAUUUAGGAUAUGACAAGCCGUUAACAAGGCUUCACUCCAAAAUCCUUGACUUAAACCAGAUUUUGACAAAAGUGCAUUAACCAUUUCUGUCAAUACACGAUUUUUCCUUUCGGCUACACCAUUUUAUUGUGGUGUGUAAGGAGCAGUCACCUCAUGUUUUAUCCCAACAGACUCAAAAUAGGUAAUAUCAUAAUAUUCCCCACCUCUAUCUGUUCUUAGACAUUUGAUAAAGGAUUCACAAUGAAGUUCAACUUCUGAUUUGUAUGCCUUAAAUUUUUGCAAAGUUUCACUUUUUGAGUGUAACAAGAAAACAUGACAGUAUCUACUAUAAUCAUCAAUAAAAGUCACAAAGUACUUUUUACCACCCAAAAUAGGAGUACCAUGCAAAUCACGUACAUCACUAUGAAUCAAAUUCAAGAUUUUAGAUGAUCUUUCAACUUUAGAAAACGAAUUUCUUGUGAUUUUCGUUAGCAUGCAUGUUUUGUAUUUUCCUUCAAUUUUAUCACAAUAUGGCAGCAAAUCAAGUCUCAUCAUUUCAUGCAUUCUUUUGUAAUUAACAUGACCAAUCCUAUUAUGCCACAAUUUAAAAGAAGACUCAACCAAAGACGCAGAAAUAAUAUCACUCUUAUUAUUUCUAAUAGCGAGUACAUUCAACUUAAACAUCCCACUGCAAAGAUAACCCUUGCCUACAAACAUACCACCUUUAGACAAAAUAAAUUUGUCAGACUCAAAUAUAAGUCUAAAGCCAAAUUUAUUUAACAGCUCAGCCGACACCAAGUUCUUCCUAACUUCCGGUACAUAAAACACAUUUGUCAAGGUUACAACAUUUUCGAAAGUAAAUUUUAAUUCUAUUUCUCCAAUGUCUUGAACCGGAAUUGUAGCAGAAUUUUUCAUGUAAACAACGGUGCUUUCAUCCACCGGUUUCAUGGACUUGAAGAACGUUCUAUUGUUGCACACGUGUCGCGUAGCUCCAGAAUCAACCCACCAAGCAAAAUUAUCUUCAAUCAUAUUGAUUUCAGAUAUCAUUGCUACAAGAAUUUUGCUUGUGGUUUGGGAAGACUCUUGCUUCUUCUUCUUGUUUUGAAGAAUCUUGCAAUCGGACUUGUAGUGUCCCUCUUUCUUGCAAUAGAAGUAUUGUCCCUUCUUUCUUUUCUUGGAUUGAUUCUUGGGUUGUUGGCCCUUCUUACUUCCUUGAGACUUUUCAGUUUGCCUCUCUUCAAUCACAUGCACUUUUGAAGUAGAAUCUUUGUUCUCUUCAAGGAUUUGACUAUCCUUCUUUUCUUGCAUGCGAAUUUCCUCUUCUACUCGAAGAGAUUUAGCAAAAAUCUCAAGAGAGAUAUCAUCUUUUUUAUGUUUGAGGUCUCUUUUGAAAUCUUUCCAAGAAAGUGGUAACUUAUCUAUUAUAGAGCAAACAAUAAUGGCUUCAUUCAUGUGUAGAUUGUGUUGUGUGUAGUGAUUAAGAAGCCUUUCAAUCUCACUAAAUUGCUCCAAAACAGACUUAUUAUCUACCAUUUUAUAAUUAUUAAAAGACGAGACAAGAAACUUCUUACUUGUAGCAUCUUCUUGCAUGUACUUGGACUCCAAUCGAUCCCAAAGUUCCUUGGCAGUAGUAAUUGAAUGGUAGACAUCGAACAGGUUGUCACUCAUGGUAUUGAGGAUGUGACCACGGCAUAUUUCAUCGUCGUUCUCCCAUUUCUGACGGUUUCAGAUGUGUUCAAGAGUUUCUUCAUCGGGAUUGAUCAAUGAUUUUGGUGUGAUCAAAACAUAGACCACUUUGAGUGCAGUGAGAAGGAAAUGAACACGUUUUUGCCAACGAACGAAAUUUCCUCCAUCAAACCGCGUGAGCUUGACAAUAUUGGAUGCCAAAUCUUUCAAGGUACCAUCCAUUGUAGAGUAUAAAUAAAGCCUAAAAAUUGUUGGGUAAAUUGUAAAGGACUAGCAAAUAUUGUAACAAGAAUUGGCUUCAAAUCGUGAUAGAAAUCACUUUCCUUUAGGCUUUAUUUGUCCGGUAUAACGUGCAAUUACCUUAGACAAAUAUCCUUUAGGAUAAGAUGAAGUUUUGUUUGUUUUAAACUCUUGCACAAAGCAAGACAAACCCUUUGUGAACUAAAGAGUGCUUUUGAGAGAGUAAGGAUAGUAGGAAAGUGAUUUUCUACAGCAAACCACUCUCUACUUGACCUCUUUAUAUAGGAAGAUUGUUUGGGAAACAAAAGAUCUCAUUAAACACUUGUAUGAAUAGAUUCAACGUAUUGUGUACACAUUCAUGCACUUUAAUUCAUGCAUCUCAUGAUCAUUUAGAUCAAAACAUGAAUCUAUCCUUUCAUUCAAUAAUUCCCAUAUACAUGAAUACAUUCAUAAAUGAAUGUACUUUUAGGAACAUUCACAAUACUAUACAUGUACCAAAAAUUAAUGAAUAUACAUUAAUUACAUGUAUGUACAUCAUACAAAUUUUGAAAAGUUUCCAACAGGCUUGUGAUAGCAAAAACUUCAGGAGGCUUCUGAAAUUAUCCCUUAAACUAAACUAAAGGAGGUAAGAUUUUAAGCAGAUCUCGGUAAGUUAAAAGGUUAAAACUUUACAUACAAAUAAAUGGUCAAAUUCACUUUAAAUUUGUGGUGUCAUCUUCCACCUUAAACUUUUGUACUAUCCAAGUUCGUUUUAAUUCCUUUGGGAAAAUCAAACAUCAAAUGCUUACCAUUUAUUGAAACAUUACAUCAUCCAUCCAAUUGAAACAAACUCCUACGGAGUUUUUUUUUUUUUUUUUUGCUUUAUUUUGUUGUUAGAUAUGAAUUUAUUUCACAUUUGGUUGUCAGAUCUAAAUUUUUUUUUCAAAUUUUAAAUCUAUUUCAACAUAUCUCAUUAUCAUUAUUGAAACUUAAAACCGUUUAUUGGCAAAUCUGGUGAUUGCCAUAUGCACGGAAGGGAUGCACUUUUAAAAUUCUUUAUAUAUAUUUUUUUAGAUUUGUUUGUAAUUUUCAAAUCUAUUGUAUCUGUUAAAUUAUGAUCUGUAAUUUUUAAUGGAUGUUUGGCCUGCCAUUAGGGGAGUUAUGCAAAUCAAAUCAUGUUAGAUGAUUUCCAAAAAAAACUUAAUCGUCAAUUACUCUUUCCCAUUUUAUUUGUCCACUUUUCAAUUGUCAAUAACUCUUUUAAGAAACUUUGUAAUACAAAAAUCAACUGAAACCAGUAGAAUAUUACUUUGUAAUAUUUUUUUUGACAAAAAAAAGUAGAAUAUACAAUUAAUAGCAGUAUUCAUAUUAUGUUUUUGUAUAUUACUUGUACAUCUAAUUAGUCCCAUUUGGAGAAAAAAAAAGGAUGAAGACAAAGACAAAAACACAUAAUAGUCACAAAAAACACAGAUCUAGCUCAAAAUAUGGCAGUGACCAAUUGUUCUGCAAAAUUAUUAGGAUAAGCAGUUGACAGAUUCUAUAAUCGCUUUUGGUCAAAUAUUAUUUAAAUUAGCUGGAUGGUCAAAUAUUACUUUUAAUUUUAAUCAUUUAAAUUACCAGUUACUAUCAUCAUUGGAAGAAGCACAUUGAGGGUCUGUUUGGAUUGUGAAUUAUUAGAGAUAUUUUUACUGUAGCACUUUUUAUGAUGUGAUGUAUGUGAGAUAAAAAGGUAAUUGGAAAGGUAAAAAGGUGUAUUGGAAAUUGUAAUAAUGAUGUAAGCAAAUAAAUUUUGAGAAAUAAAGCCCAAUCCAAACAAAGCCUGAAGGAAUGAUACUCUAAGAUGACUACAGAAAUUUUCUAGCUGGUUAUACAACAUAUUAAUAGUUGAAUGUUGACCUCACCAGCCAUCCCUCAUUCCUUGUCGCAUCCUUUUUAUGAAUUGGAUUCAUCUAUUUGGUGUUCUAAAAUCACAUUUAAAAGUUUUUUUUUUUUUGCGAAAGUGUUAUUAUUCAGGAUGUGUAUGAUAAUUUAAAAUUUUAAUAGUGGACCUAAAAAUAAAACUUGUAAAUUUUACAUAUGAGCCUACCUACUUUUAAAAUAGAGGGAAAAAAACAUCACAUAACUUCAAGUCCAAGAUUGUAUGCAGUUUGUCCAAUAAAUAGAUAUUCAUAAUUCAUAAUUUCAUAUACACAUGUUAACUAGAGAUGUCAAUCACAACCCAAUUAUAUUGAUCCGUUCAAAACCGUUCACUAAUAACCCAUCCAAAUUCACUCAUUAAAAUUUAAAUGGGUCUAAGUGAGUACCUAAUUAAAUCCAUUUAAUUGGUGGAUAGUUGAUUGAUUUGACUCACCCAUUUAUAACCAUUUAAAAAAAUAUAUUUUUAAACUCAAUUUUUACUAAGUGUUAAGAAGAUAAAUUUGAAUUUCCUACAAAUCUAAUAACAAUAAAAUAUCAUUUUUCUUGUUAAACGACAUGCAAAAAAUUUUAAAAAAAAUAGAAUUUCAAAUCAGUGUAAAUGGGUAAUUAAGUAUUUUCAUAUCCAUUUAUUAAAUAGAUAUAAAUGGAUUGAUUCAAUUAUAUCUAUUAUCCAAUUAAAAUUUGCUCAAACCUGUACAAGUCACUCAUUUUUAUGCUUCUAAUGUUAAUAUAUAUUCACAAGUGAAGAGUGCAGCAUUGACAAGGAAGAUAUACUUAUUUAUCCCAAUAUUAUAGUCAUUUUUUUCAUUACAAAAGUAUUGAUAAUUUCAUAAUUUCAUCAUCAGUGACAUAACAUUACAUGAAUUUCAACGAAGUAUGUAAUCAGUGACAUGACAUAACAUGUCAUCAUUAGUCUUCAGCGGUGAAUCUUAUCACGAGGCUUCUUUUCGAAGCUUUGAUUAUGGCAUACACUUCUGACAAUAUGUCCCUUUUAGAAUAGGGAUAAGUUUCUGUGACCAGGCUUCUUUUCAAAGCUUUGAUUAUGGCAUACACUUCUGACAAUGCCCCUUUUAGAAUAGGGAUAAUUUCAGAAACCUCCCUAGGGUUUGUAACAAUUUCAUCGAACUUUCUUGAAAUUUUUAAUAUUACACUUAUCUCCCUUUAUGAUAGACAAUAAUUAUAAUAACCUUCAUAAUUUUUUCAAAGACAAGCUAUUGAUAAAAAAGAUAAAAAAAAAUGAAAACAAUUCUUCUUGGCUAAGCCUCAUAUUGUGACUAAAUUGUUUCACCCAUAACCACUAAAUUGUAAUUUCUAUUACUCAGAAAAGAAGCAUUUUGGUAAUUGAGGGGCUUGGUUGUUUGAGUGGGAAAAGGGUAAGAAUUGUGAAUUUUAUGAUUGACGGUUUGGUAGACAACAUAUGGAAAAAACUUAUAGAGAGGUAAAAAUUAUAAAGAUAAGAAUUAUGAUGAUGGAUUUUGACAUCUAAAAUAUCGAGCUUGUUCGAAAAAAGGAAGAAAUGAUAAGAUCGAGUUUGAAAACUUGGGUAGAUGUAGAAAAUUAUGAGAUGAAAAAUAUUAGGACAUUGUCUAAGUAAUAAAACUCAUAGGUUUAUAGUAUACAAGUGUAUUCUUGAUUUUUGAAAAAUUUUAAUGACUAUUCAUAUUUUGAAAAUUAGAUAAGGGCAAUUUUGGACAUUCAUAUAUUUUUCUGGUCUUACAUCAUCAAGGUGAAACUCAAACCUAUGUUUUAGUAAAUGUAUGUGUAAUUUUCAAAAAGUGAGGAAAGCUGUCUGAAAUUAUCAGAAACCUCAGGGGUGAUUUAUGAAAUUAUCCCUAAUUUUUUUUUUGGUACAAAAAACUCCAAAAUAAUAUGUCCCACACUCUGUGCCACACUCUGUGCCACUUUUUAUUAUAUUGCUAUUUUUCCUACAUAAAUAACAUGUUUUAAUUCUUUUUUGCUUUCUUAAGAUCCAAUAACUAUUAAUUAAGUAAAAAAUAAAUACAACAACUUCAAAAAAGCAAUAUAUAAUAGAAAAUUAAAAAAUACAGCAGAAAAUUCAUAAAAAAUCUCAUUUUUUAUAUAUUUUGAUUUUUUGACUUUGUUAAAUUUUGUGUAUUACUCAAUUAAUAGUUAUUGGAUCUUAAGGAAGCAAAAAAGAAUUAAAAUAUGAUGUUUAUGUAGGAGAAAUAGUAAUAUAAUAAAAAAUGGGACAGGCACAUGGUGUGGGACAAAAGGUCCGUUGCACCAAAAAAGUGGCAGUUCAAACUGGAACCAUCUCCUAUUUUCGCAAGUCCUCCCGCCGGCGGCCCUGGGUCAUCUAUAAAAGUAUAGACCAAGACAACACUAAUCCCUCAUCAGUCCACUCCAUACUUCUUCUUCAAGCCUCAGCAACGAAACAAUAAACUCUGCUCCACUCAACUCUUUCCUCUGUGUCUUGUGCUCUUGUCUGAAAAUGGCGGCGUCAGAAGAAGUGAAAGUGCCAAGAAUCAAGCUGGGGUCGCAAGGUUUUGAAGUUUCAGCUCAAGGGCUGGGCUGCAUGGGCAUGUCAGCCUUCUACGGGCCGCCAAAGCCCGAGCCUGAUAUGAUCAAACUCAUCCACCAUGCUAUUUGCAGAGGAAUCACCCAUCUUGACACCUCCGAUAUCUAUGGACCUCACACCAACGAAAUACUCAUUGGCAAGGUACCAUAUUUGCAAAUUUUCUGCUGUUGUCUGCUAUGCGUAAACUCUUGUAAUUUUAAUUUCUAAAAGAGCAUAUUUUUAAAUAUUUUAUUUAGGUAAAUUAUACUUAAUCCCUUGCACUUCAAAAUUUGUCUCCCUUUGUGCCCCCUUAAUUUUGUUUGUCAGCACUUAAACUCCACUUGUUUAAAUUGUAAGUAUUAUUAGUCAAAUAUGACAUUGUUCUUCUUCAUUUUUUCAUGUUACUGCCUUUUCAGUUUGUCCUCCUUUAUAAAUAUGGGAUGAAUUACUUUGAUUUUGAUUUUGGUGCAAUUUUGUAUAAAAUGAUUUUUGCUAUGAAGUUAUUGAUUUAUUAUGAGCUAUGCGUUGUAUAUUUACACAAAUUCUGCUAGUUAAACAUUCACUUGAGCAGGCCUUCCAAACAUGAGCAAUAUAAUUCUCUAUGGGUGCAUUUGGUAAAAUUGACGAUUGAAAAUUGAAAUCUAAUUUAAAGUCUGAAUCCAUAAAAUUAUUAAUUUGUUAAGUACUAAAUUUGAUACGUUUGAGUGCAUGUCAUGUCAAGUGAUCACAGAAUAACUCAUCACUUAUUUUUUAAAGCAAGUUUUGCUUAAGAAAUUCAGUGCCAUUUAAUUAAUUUAGAUAUUCAAUGUUUAAUUAUCAAACAUAUAUGAAUAUAUUAACAUCUGAAUCUAUUAAUUUUAAGUGCUGAAUUGGGUUAUCAAACAUGACCUAUAAUUAUUAGGUAACCAAGCAGACAACAUGUUUAGUGUAUAAUAGUAAUUAACUUUCAAUUUGUGUCGUUAUUCUUUGGUAAAGAACUCUUAGAAUUAUUAAUAAUAAAUUUCUCAUACACGGGAAUCAAAAUAAUUGAAGUUUUAUCUCUACCAUUGAGAUAUGUUGCCAUCUAAAAGAAAGGAAAGGGAAGGAAACAUGGGGGAAAAUAGGGAAAGGGCAAAGUGAUGAUAAAUAAAAUUGGAAGUAGCAAAAUGAGACAAAUGAAUUAUUGCAAGGGGUUAAGUGUAAAUUAUGUUUAUUUUAUGAGACCAUUUAGGCAGAAAGACUGGACCCUUUUAACGCGCCAAUCAAAAGUUCCAAUUGCUGAAAAUAACAUAAAAACUUGACUUUGUUUGGUUUGGCGUUUUUGGAGGUGGUUCAUGAAAAUUUUAUUGUAGUUUUUUUUUUCAUCUUGAAAAAUAUACUUUUUUCAUCAAUUUAUGGAAAGUUUACAAUUUCUCUGAUAACAGAUGGUAAAAUUUACUUUUUACGAGCACUGAAGUUUUAAAGAUUAUGAAAAGAGAAUUGUAUGAAGGAAUAGAAGGGAAAAGAAGGGUAAGAAAAUGGAUGGAUUGUGUUUGGAUUGAUUUUGGGAGGGGCAAGGAGAGGAAACGGAGAGAAAAGGAAAUGGAUGGAUUGUGUUUUGCUCAGACAUCAUUUCCAUACAAAAGUAGAUAGAAACAGAGGGAAAGAAAAUCUUGUUGAUGAUUUUCUAGUAAAAUGCCUCGAGCACCCAAAUUUUACAUAAACUUGCCAUUUGUGAAACCUGCUUUAGAUAUGAAUUGUGGGAUGCAACAGCAGGCUAGGAAUGUUUGACGAAGCAACUUGUGUAGAUAUUUUAUCGUUAAGUAAAGAGAAAAACUAUUCCUUUCAUGUCUGUCGUUCUACCAAACAGCAUAUUUAGGUUUUCUUUCUUUCCCAUUCAUAUCUAAUCCAAAUAAGACAAAUGAGAACUAUUUUCUCUACUCUCCUUUCCUUUCUUUUUCACUAGCAUGUUUUAUUUAUUUAUUUAUCCUUUCCUUUGAUCCAAAUGGUUCCUAAAAGGCCACUAAUUAUUCUACAUUGACCAGUUCCCUAUUUUUGUAUUAAUUUGCAUGUGCACGAUUCUGUGUAUGUUCAUGUUGUGCAUCAAAUCUUGUGAAUGACAAAGCUAGAGUGUAAAUUUAAGUUGAAGAAAUAUAAAACAAAAAAGAAAAUGGAUUGGCUCCUUUAAGAGUAUCAGACUUCUAAACCCCAAGGAUUACAUAAUUUUCAUAUCCUUUGCGAUACAAAGAAGUGGCAUAGCCUUAACAAUGAAGUGUUGGAAAAACUCCAGAAGGAAUGUGCCAUCCAUGAAAUCCCAAAUCGGCUUGCUGUACCAUGCAGUAAUGUGUAUGUCCUUGAUGAUUAACAUAAUGAAAUCAUGGUUCUAGGCCUUGAAGGAAGGAAUAAGAGCGAAAGUGGAGCUAGCAACAAAAUUUGCAAUCAGUUAUCAGGAUGAGAAGUUUGAUGUACGUGGUGAUCCAGCCUAUGUGAGGGCUUGUUGUGAAGCGAGUUUGAAGCGGCUUGAUGUGGACUGCAUUGAUCUCUAUUAUCAACAUCGCAUUGAUACACGUGUGCCCAUUGAAGUCACGGUUUGCUCGUCUUGCCUUUCUUGUUUUUUAGCUCCACCUCAUUCUUGAUGAAACAAAAGUUUGAUCAACUCCAAAUUUUGAAUAAUUCAGUUUCAUGUCCGUUUCAAUUCUUCAAAAGUUGCACAGAAAAGUUAGUCAACCUUAUGGUCUCGGCUAAUCUGCAGUAUGGUAUAGCUGAUUUUGCACAAGGCAUCCUGAAAAGUGAAAACAAUGAAUAUGUCUUAUAUUAGCUUUGGCUGUCCUGCUGAGGGAUAUACAGGUGGAAAUCAUGCUAUACAUUGUACAGCUUUCCUUUAGAACCAAGAAACCCGAGCAUUCUCUUUCAAUUGAGAUAGGCUAUCUGGUUGAGUAAUGAUCUGCUAUUUACUUACCUUGUCAACCAUUUUCAGUUGGUGCCUAAAGCACUGCAGAUAGACAUUUAUUAUUGAUAUCUAAAAAACAUGGUACUCAUUUUGUCCAGAGCACAGCUUUUUGUCUAAUUGUCAAAGCCAGCUGCAACUGCCCCAUUGACCUCUCCAGACAAUUCAAAGAUUUCAGCAGCUUGCUUACAUUCAGCUUUUAUGAAACAAUUUCUGUCUUCUUUUUCUCAUGUAAUCAGCAAAGAAUUGUCUUGGUUUCCCUGAGUAUUAGAUAGAAACUUUCUUGCAGUUUAAUCACUCAAAAUACAAGCAAGUAUAAAGGAAAUCAAGCAAAAUUGGCAACUGAUAAUUGGUAUGUACGGCCAUUAUUAUAUAUAGAAGUCAACAAUGCCAUGUAAUCAUAUUGGAGGAGCAUUAUGUUGGCAUGGUCCAGUAGAACUAAGUCCUCCGGUGGGCUGUACAUAGAGAACUAUCACUGGAUGCUGAUUGCCAUUUUCAUCAAUUAGUGAUUUCAGUUUGAUGUAUACUUUGUCCACGACAUCGUUGAACUAGUGCAACUUUUACUUUUUGCACGUAAUAUUUCGAUUAUCUGCCUAAGUGUUGAAUGUAAUAAAUCAGCUUAGCAUCUUCUUGUCCAUUGAAAUUCUCUAGAUAGGAGAGCUCAAGAAACUGGUUGAAGAGGGUAAAAUAAAGUAUAUAGGUCUGUCUGAGGCCUCAGCUUCAACAAUUCGAAGAGCACAUGCUGUUCAUCCAAUAACAGCUGUACAGUUGGAGUGGUCAUUGUGGACCAGAGAUGUCGAGGAAGAGAUUAUUCCCACUUGCAGGUAGUGCAUAUAUUCUGCUGCAUUUUCUACAUGGUCUAGAAGAAAUAUUAAGUUCUCAAUUCAGUUUUUGGUAUAAUCUUUCAGAGAGCUUGGCAUAGGGAUUGUUGCAUACAGUCCACUUGGACGAGGUUUCUUCUCAUCAGGUCCAAAGCUGAUUGAGAAUUUGGCUGAAGGUGACUACCGAAAGGUUUGUGCAUAUCGAAAAAGAUGGAGUUUUUGAGUAUACAUUGUUUAUAGUUCGAAUAAGUUUCUCACUCAUCUAUUUUUACCACAUUCAGUGGCAAUCAUGCUUGAUAUCAAAAGAGGAAGAAACUAUGUCACUUUUUAAGUAAAAGUCUCUUUACGGUUUUGAAGGGAAAAGGACCUUAGACUUCAAUUUCAUCAUUUAAUCUCAGGCACAGAACUUAUGCUGUCCUGUGAAACUAUCAUUUUUCCUUUACCAUUAAUCCUAAAACUGAGUUUCAUUGGUCAGAAAUAUACUUCAUAGUAGUACCUCCUCUAGCGUUCAUCGUAGUACCUCCAUCGUUCAAACAAACAAAAAUUAGUUGAUUUGUAUUUUAAGUUUCCUCUUUGAUGGGAAAUGUAUCUCAGAACUUAACUCCAACGGUUGAUGCUUCCUCCGUGGAGUAUUCAGUCGAACUUGAUGCAUUGUUCUUUCCCCUGAACUUGUGCCCUUCAAACAGUAUUUCUGAUCAUCUUGAAGUAAUUAGUACCGUCUGUUCAUUACUCCCUCCCGAUUUCUUGCAUUAUAGCUUCCUCUUUAAUGGGAAAUGUAUCUCAGGAUCUACAUUCUACAAUUGAGGUUUCUUAGAGUACUCAGUCCACCUUACUGGAUUGUUCCUUCCCCUGAACUUUGUACACCUUAAACAAUACUAUCGAUCAUUUUGAAGUUAUUCAUAUUGUCUUCAUUUGUAGAUGACACAUGCUUUGCUCCCUUUUGAAUUUCUGGCAUUACAGUUGCUUAAAUUUUGAAAUUCAUACAAUGUAGGAUAUGCCAAGGUUUCAAGCAGAGAAUUUGGAGCAGAACAAGAACUUGUAUGAGCGGGUCAAUGCCAUUGCUUCAAGGAAGGGUUGUACUCCAUCACAGCUAGCAUUGGCCUGGGUCCAUCACCAAGGCAAUGAUGUUUGCCCCAUACCUGGCACUACCAAGAUUGAGAACCUCAAUCAGAAUAUAGGAGCUUUGUCUGUAAAACUGUCAGCAGAGGAAAUGGCGGAACUUGAAUCUUUUGCUUCUGCGGGAGUCAAGGGUGAUAGGUAUGGGCCUGGCCUUGGUACUUGGCAAACUUCUGAAACUCCACCUUUGUCAACCUGGAAGAGAACAUGAAGACAUACUUUGUUAUUGCAAUAAUUCCUUCUAGCUAUGUGCCUGAUGGUGGAUUCCACUAUAUUAAGAGUUGAGUGAUAUGUAUUUGUUCCAAUAAAGUUUGACAUACUAUUGUCUCUAGGGUUAAGGCAAGUAAAGUUAUAAGAAGAAUGGAGUUUCUUCAGAGGUUGUAAUGAAUAAAUAUCUGGUCAUGUAAAAGCAGAAUAUAAUUUUCCUUGCAGUUGAAUGCAUUAAAGGUUAUAUAUUGUACUUUUGAAUGCUAUAGUGGUCCAUUUUUUAUGUGCUACUGCUACGAGAGUUAUAGAUUGUCGAACAGCAUUCAAUUCAGGACUUAUUAAACAUAAGCAUAUAAACAUUUUAUGCUCGGAAUAUUUACAUCAAAAGAAACUCCAAGGUCACAUCAUUGUAAAGUGUAAACUACAUCAUAUUAAUAAAAAGCAAAAAAAAAGGUCUAAAUGAGGAAAAAAAUGUACUAUAGAAGAAGUCAACAAUGUCAUGUAAUCAUUUUAUCCUAAAAUUGAGAUUCAAAUUUAGUUGAUUUGUAUUUUGAGUUUCCUCUUUGAUGGGAAAUGUAUCUCAGAACUUUAACUCCAACAGUUGAUGUUUCCUACUUGGAGUACUCAGUCCACCUUGAUGCAUUGAUCUUUCCCCUGAACUUGUGCCCGUCAAACAAUAUUUCUGAUCAUCUUGAAGUAAUUAGUACCAUCUGUUCAUUACUCCCUUUUGAUUUCUUGCAUUAUAGUUUCCUCUUUAAUGGGAAAUGUAUGUCAAGAUCUACCUUCUACAAUUGAGAUUUCUUAGAGUACUCAGUCCACCUUACUAGAUUGUUCUUUUCCGUGAACUUUGUUCACUUCAAACAUUACUAUGAUCAUCUUGAAGUUAUUCGUAUUGUUGUCUUUUGUAGACGACACAUGCUUUACUAAUUACUGCACUUUGAAUUUCUGCAUUGCAGUUGCUUAAAUUUUGAAAUUCAUACAAUUUAGAAUAUGCCAAGGUUUCAAGUAGAGAAUUUGGAGCACAACAAGAAGUUGUAUGAGCGGGGUCAAUGCCAUUGCUUCAAGGAAGAGUUGUACUCCAUCACAGCAAGCGUUGGCCUGGGUCCAUACCAAGGCAAUGAUGUUUGUCCCAUAACUAGCACUACCAAGAUUGGAAACCUCAAUCAGAAUAUAGGAGCUUUGUCUGUAAAACUGUCAGCAGAAGAUAUGGCUGAACUUGAAUCUAUUGCAUCAGCUAGAGUCAAGGGUGAUAGAUAUGAUCCUGGCCGUAUCAAGGGCAGAGGUUAUGGGAUCUGAUUAUGGGCAACUGAUUAUGGAAUCUAUUCUAUCAUAAUUGCAAAGAUUAUGACUGAAAUUAUGGGAUCUGCUCUAUCAUGUAUAUUAGCUGUAUAUUAGCAUAUGUGUCAUUAAUAUAUCAGAUAGGUAGAUAUAUUCUUACAUAGAAUAGAAUGUACAGAGUUUCUAUUUAAUGGAAAAGAUGCACAAAAGACAGCAUUCAGUCUUUGAUCUAGAAAAUUGUCAUGGUAUCAGAGCUGGUUAUUUGAAUUUCUGUGUCUUUCAAAAUUUGCUGAGUUGUUAUUCUUCUUGGGUUGAUUAUUUUGAUCAAUCAUUUGGUUUCAAGAUAUCAUUUUGGGUCAAUCAUAUUGUGGUUGGCAGCCUUUCUUGUAAUUCAGAUCUUUGUUUUUUUGAAAGUAUGUCUGUGGCAAACUCUUUGGGAAAAACACAUACGGAAUCUUUGUCUAUCAAGUUCAUUGGGAAAAAUUAUGCAGCAUGGGAUUUAGAAUGUUUCUAAAGGCAAAGAGCUUUGGAGUCAUAUUGAUGGGUCUUCUACAGAACCUAGAGAUGGAAAAGAAUUUAGUCAAUGGGAGGCAAAGGAUGCUAGAAUUAUUUCUUGGAUUCUAGCAUCUAUUGAAGCUCAUAUGGUGAAUAAUUUACACUCCUUUAAUACAGCAAAGGAGAUGUAGGAUCAUUUGAAGCGUGUAUAUCAUCAAGAUAAUACAGCAAGAAGAUUUCAACUUGAAUUGGAAAUUAGUAACUACGGCCAAGAUAACCUCUCUAUUAAGCAGUAUUAUUCUGGAUUUUUUAAUUUAUGGAGCGAAUACUCUGGUAUAAUCUAUUCUAAGGUACCAAGCGAAGCCUUAGCUGGUAUUCAAGCAGUUCAUGAAGUUAGUAAGCGUGACCAGUUUCUAAUGAAACUAAAGCUUGAAUUUGAAGCGGUCAGAGCUGGAUUGUUAAAUAGAAAUCCAAUUCCUUCUUUAGAUGUAUGUCUUGGUGACUUGUUGCAAGAAGAACUGAGAAUGGCUACACAAACUAUCAUAGGUGCAUCGAAGGAGAUAUCCGAAGUUGUCAAUAUUGCCUAUGCUGCUCAAGGGAGGAAUCGCGAAAAGGGACAAGUACAGUGCUUAAAAGCAGUCUGUUUGCCAGACACAUGGUGAGCCACAUUUAAAAAUUGGUUUCUAUCAUAAAGCCUAUCAUGUCCGGACAGAAGAUGGACUGUUUUUUAAAUUUUUUAUGAAAGCAAGUGAAAAGUGUUGCAACUCAGGACUUGGAUGGUAAUUCUAAAAUUUAUUAGUGCACCUACCUUUUAACUUUUGGUGUGCUUUUAAGGUAUCAAAUGGGGGAAAAAAAACCAACACCAUAUAACUUCAAAUGCAAGAUGGUACGAAAUUUGUAUCCAUUGACAUGUAAAAAGUGCACCGUUCAUCACAAAGAUAUUUAUCCUAAUAUUAGAUUCAUUUUUUCAAAAAUUCAACUUUGCAUGCAAACAUGUAAUCAAUAUGCAUAAAUAGAUAGCAUUAGAUGAAUUUAAACAAGUAGCCUUCAAAUUUAAAAAUAUUUGAUUUCAUAAAGGUGCAUUCGCAAUUUAGAAAAAGGACUUUUCAAAUGGCAAAUCUAGAGAGCAAUAAAUACUCCUACUUUAUUUUGAUUUCAAAUCUUAUUUUGACUUGUCAAAAAAGUGAAACACGAAACCAAUAAUGGGUCAGAUACAAGGCUAAUUACUCAGAAUAUCGAUGUAAAAAAUAUUGGACAUAUAUGAUUUUGACAAUGGGCAUGUAUAAAACUAUUGCUGUAAGGUUGUGUCAGCCCGGCAGCAAAAGAGGGUUUUUUUUUAAAGCCUGCCAUUGCCACCGAGCUGACACGGCUCGGCAGCAAUAGUUUAAUUUUUUUUAAACGCUGCCGGGCCUUGUCAGCCAGAUAGAACAAAAAAAAAAAAUUUUUUUUUAAACACAGCCCGGCAGCGGGCAACAUUUGCAAAAAACUUUAAAAAGCUGGCUGCCGGGCUACGACAGUUCAAAAGAUUUUGCUAUCCGCCUACAACACCAGGUGAUAAAGAUAAGGGCAAAGGCGUACCGGGCAUUGAUAUGAUCAUUUCCGGUGCAUGUUUUAAAAUUUCAAAUAUUUGAAUAUGGGGAUUUAGCGUUAUUUUAAUCUUUUAUUAUUAUAAUGCUUGUCGUUAUUUUUAAAUUUCACAAUUUCAGCAUGUCAUGUUGUGCAUUUUUCCUUCUUUUUUUUUUUGCCUAUUUUGUUUUUAUAUUGCACAAUAACUUUAUAUUUAUAAAAUUAUAUUGUACAUUAAAAAUUACAUAAUAAUUUUAACAAACAAUUUUCCGGUACAAUUUGAAAACUGCAUCUUAUUGUAAAAUGAAAGAGAUUUUUUGUUUAAAAAACCUUUUUUUAGUUUUUUUACCUAUCGGAGUAAUUAUUAAUUUUACAAAUCUGUUUUCAUCUUUUUCUUACGUUCCAACUUUGAAACGUAAUUUAAUUAACUUAAAAGACUGUCGGGUUUAGUAUGUCAGGUAUCACACUUGUUGUAAUUAAAAAAAAAUUUUCUUCUUAUUUUUCAUUUUUUGUUUUUAUAUUGCAAAAUAAAUUUAUACAUUUUUUCGAUUUUUCUAUACAAUUUAUAACAAAAAAAAUAAUAUCAAAUAUUAUACAUUGUAAUUUUAACAAUUAUUUUGCAACGGUUUAAAAAACCUUUUUUUAGUUUAACAUCCUAUAUAUUUUACGAAAAUGAUUUGAAUAUUUUUUAAUCAUUUAAAGAAAAGAUAGAUUUCUACAAUUACUAUUUUUUAAAUUUUAAUCCUUAAGAUAAAGAUUUUUGCGGGAAAGAUGAAGAUUUAAAGAAACAAUAAAGAGGCAAAGAAAAUAAAAGAGAAAAAUAGGAGAGGUAAUUUUGUCCAAUGGAGGAUAUAAUGAGACAGAAAAAUUCCGAUGAGGGAUAAAGUAAAAAAAGAGAUAUAUUUUAAGGACAUUAAUUGUGAUUAACCCUAUUUCUUAUGCUCAAUUUGUAACUGGUCCAAAGCAUCAAAAGUAGCGUCCGCCUCCCAGGUGAUGAAUUCAUGGUCUUGAAUGUCCAAUAACCUAAGAAGAGUAAAAAGAUCACUUUAAAGUUGCUCCACACCCUACAAAUGCUUCUGAUACUAACUUUCUCGUCAUAUUAACAAAUGCUCCGCACCUUAAUGCUUCAGCACCCGUAAAAAACGUGUUUUUGCAACUGGUCCAAGAGUUGAACCCUUCGCUCAGAGUUACUUCUGGAUGUUGAAAAAAACAUUUCGAUCACUUGAAUCUAACCUCCCGCGUCUAAUCAAGCCAGAAGGCCAGCUUUUUUUUCACUGACCCUUCAACGUGAACCUUCUGAGAACUUAUCUCAAGGGAAACUUUUAGUGGUUCAGUAGAAUUUUUUUUAAUCCUCUUACAUGUUUCAUUCGUAUCUCCUACUUCAUGUCCGUGCAUUGUUGAAUUCUGAAGUGCAGGUCUUCUUUCGCCCGUAUUGUUAACCUUCUUUUUCAUGUUCAUUGAAGCACAGCAUUCUUUUUUCAGGUUUGAAAUUUUUUUUUUAAAUUGGACUAGCUGCUGGACUGAGCUUUUUAAAGUUUUUUGCAGAUGUGCGUCAGCCCGGCAGCCAGCGAAUUAAGAAAAAAAAAAAUUUUUUUGAGGCCCGGCAGCGUUUAAAAAAAAAAAACUAUUGCUACCGGGCAAGCUUUAAAAAAAAAAAAAAAAAAACCCUAACAGCAAUAUUUUUAUACAUGCCCAUUGUCAGAACCAUAUAUGUCCAAUUUUUUUUUCAUCGAUAUUCUGAGUAAUUAGCUGAGAUAGAGAGGAGUAUUAGAAAUUUGUUUUCUAGAUUCUUUGGUCUCCCAAUUUUUUCAACGGGUCAACUCCGAUCAUUAUUAUCACAGUCAUGUGAUUGUAGGUCUACCACGCUUCAUAGUCCACAACGUGGAUUGGCACCACAAAGGAUGGUUUCAAAACACCAUUUUAGUCUAGUAAGGAUUGUGUAUAUAACACAAGUCUUUUUAGGUUUUCCCUCCCCUGUAAUCUAAAAUAAAAUAAAAUAGGUUAUACAAUUGUUAUAGUCUUCAGAAAAAAAGGAUAGGUCCCACCCUAUUAUUAUUAUUUUUCUUUUAUAAAUCAACAACGCCUAUUCUACACCUAUUUCAACUUCUAUUCUAGGGGAACGGGAGGUUCAACUGAAAAAUUAAUGGUGAUUGAACCACGAACGGACCAAAAACUUUCAAGAUAAAAUUUGAUCUAAAAAAUAAAUAAUAAUAUAUUAACUUAUUAUUUAAUGCGAUACAUAUUCAAAUAUAUUAAAUUUAAUAAUUUAAUAAAUUUUAAAUUUUACAUUUUAAAUUUUAAUUUUCAACCUUCAAUGUUGCCGUACUUACAACAACAACUUCUAGAUGGUCAACACUUAGAGUCGUAGCCCUUGCUUUUGGCAUACCCUAGUCCCUAUUUCUGUUGUUAUCAAUGAGGAAGCAAAUGUCUGCUAUUAAUUACACGAGACAUCAGUAGGUUUGUUUGGAUUGGAGGUUAUUUGAAAUAUUUUUUUGAGAUAAUUAAUGUAGUACUUUUUGUGAUGUAAUGUAUAUAAGAUAAAAUUGUGAUUGGAAAUUGUGUGGAUGCAAAACAAAAUUUUGAAAUUUUUUUUUGAAAACCUUAAUAUUAUUGGCUGCACUACAAAUCAGUCAAAACUCAAGAGAUGAUAUUAAUUGAAACAAGUGGGCAAAUUGAACGAGGAUGCGUAAUUGACAUGGAAGUCUUGGUAGACUUGGAGGUAGGCUUGUCAACGGAUUGGGUCUGGGUCGGAAUUCAUUAUUCUGGACCCGGAUCCGACAUACUAUAUUGGACUCGGAUUCGACCCAUUUAUUCGACGGGCCUUCUACUCUAUAUUCUGAAUCCGGAUCCGACGGGUCUCGGAUUCGGGUCGAGUCUACCCGAAAAAAUCUAUCAAAACUUACAAAUUCUAAUAAAAAUGAGAAAAAAAUAUAUUUGUAAACCAAUUUUUAACUAAUAAAAAAAAUCAAAUAAGAAAAAAAAUCAAAUUGACUUUACUCAAAUACAUCACCCUAAUCAAAUUAUAUUGAUAAAUAUAUAUAUAUUUAAAUUGUUAAUCCAUUUAUAUCCGAAUCCGGGUCUAAUACGGGUCGAAAUAUUAUAUUCCGUAUUCGACCCGUUUUUUGUUUGAUAAAACGGAUCCGGAUCCGGGGUCCGAGUAAUGGAAUUAAAUCCCUACUCGUACCCACAAUAAUUUGACGGAUUCGAUCCGGAUCCGGAUCUAGACUCGAACUGUUGACAGGCCUACUUGGAGGGAUCAACAUUUGAAUCUGACUUGGAUGAGGUAAGCACAAAGGUAAGCAUUUUCCAUUUUUAUUUUGGUUUUCAUUUCUUGUAUACUUUAAAACGUUUUUCAUUCUACCUCACUCACAUAUAAUAUAUAAUGAAAUGUAAAUUUUUUAUGAAAACAUAUAAAAUAUAUAAAAUGAAAAAUAAAUUUUUUAUAAAAACAUAUGUUUAUAUUUUUCUUUGUAUAAUGAAAAUUUAUAAUUCAUUCUACCAAUAUAUACGCAUAUAUAUAUAUAUAUAUAUAUGUAUAAUGAAAAAUAAAUUUCUUCUUCAUCUUUAGGGCUGCACCUACAAACAACAAAACUCAGCUCCACUCAACUCUUUCCUUCAUGUUUUUUUAUAAAAAACAUAUAUAUAUAUAUAUAUAUAUAUAUAUAUAUAUAUAUAUAUAUUAAGUUACACUAAUUGUUUUAUCUCUUAAUAAUUUUUAUUUUUUUUACUAAUAUUACCUCAUGAGAGGCAAAAAGGGUAUAAAUGGAACAAAAUUAUUAUCUCAUUUUCCAAAAGAAUUUUUUAAUGGUACUUUUUCUAACAUGGGUUGAAGCUACUAUCAAAAUCUAGUUUAGGGAAAGUUAGUGCUAUUUUUUAAAUUUUAGGGUAGAUGAGUACAACUGUUAGAAACCUCAAAAAGGGAUGGUUUCUGCAAUUAUCCCUAAAAGCAUAGACCAAGACUACACUAAACACUAAAAAUUUGACACCUAUUUCUUAUAACUAUACUAGAUAAUCUCAUAAUUAUAUAGAAAAAUAAAUCAAAAUUCAUUACACAAAAGCAUUUUUGGAUAUUUAUUUAAGAAUUUGAUCAAAUUAAUAUUAUUUUAAAGUUUUAUUACAAAAACUAUCAAAUUAAAGGAGGUAGGGGUAAUGUUUCAAACCUCACAGUGAAAUUGUUAGAAACCUCAAAGAGGUUCUUGAUAUUAUCCCUAAUUUUUUUGGGUACAAAAACCUCCAAAAAAGUGGCAGUUCAAACGGGGCCAACAUUCUCCUAUCAUCACAAGUCCUCCCGCUGACCCACUAGCCGCCGGCGGCCCUGGGUCAUCUAUUAAAGGCUUAAAGCAUAGACCAAGACUGCAGUAAUCCCUCAUAUACACAUGUUAACUAGAGGGGUCAAUCACAACCCAAUUAUAUUGAUCUGUUCAAACCCGUUCACUAAUAAUCCUUUCAAAUUCGCCCAUUAAAAUUUAAAUGGGUCUAAGUGAGUACCUAAUUAAACCCAUUUAAUUGAUGGAUAGUUGAUUGAUUCAACUCACCCAUUUAUACCCAUUUAAAAAUAAAUAUAUGACAGGGUGUCGAGCCUGUGCAAUAAUAAUUAUCUACUCAAGAAAAACACAAAUUCUGUAUAUAGCAGUGAGUAGAGUCGAAUCCACACGGACUGUAGAUAAUUCGUUUCUUUUAGAGUCCAAAGUAUGGGGGGUUUUGGAGAAUAUAAAAUAACUAAUUAACUAACUAAUAAAACAACUAAUAGAAAUAAAUAGAAAUUAAUCAAUAACCAAUAUGACUCUAGCCAAAGGUGCAACUUUUCAGACACGGUCCAUUCAACUGAUCAUCGAUGCAAAGAUAAUUCAAUUACUCAUUACUAGAUUGGUUAUAAUUGUCAUACACGCGAUGAACAACCAGCCUUUUCUUAAUUUCUCGAUAGUUAAAGUACGACCGUUAACUAUUUCUCUAACCAAGUAAUAACCCUAGGUACGACCAUAGGAUUUAAUUACUCGAUUACAUUAAUAAUUAGAAAAACCCAACCCUAACCAACAAACACGCUACGAGGGUUUGUUUAAAUUAGAUCAUACGUUUCCCUAACAUGAAACCAAUCACGCUAGUCGCCACUGGUAUUAAUCAAUUGAACAAUUACGGAUUCAAUCAAUUAAUUUAGCAUUAGAUCAUUAAGUUAAUUUGAAUAUCGGGCCCUUGACAUUCAAAUAACAUAACAAACAUAAGCAAUUAAAUCAGGAAACGUAAAAAUACCAAUGAAUAAAAGAAAUAAAUAAAAUUAAUUCGAUCUCACAGAUAUUUGGAACCGCGCCUUCAAAUUGGCCUUCGACUAGAUGAAAGGUUUAGUUCAUCUACAUGGAGGAAACCCCAUGUGAAAUUGCAGAAGUAAUUAUUCUAAAACAAAGCUAUGUUUUCGUCCUCCAUUGAAGAAAACGGCAAAGCUAUAUAUAAAGUAAUGAAUACGAAGGAACUACCUAGAAGCAAAAACAAAACGAAGCUCUCCUAUUCUAAAACAAAAACUACUUGUCUAGUGGUCCCCGCCGAAUUUAGAUAAAAGGGUGCAAUCCGUCAGAUCAAGCUUUGCCGACUUUUUCUCCUCUUUGUUGCCUAUUGCUAGGCAAAGACUUCAGUGCCCAGACCAUUCCUAAUCAGUGAAAAGAAAAUGCACUCCCUCUGCCGCACUCUGUGGGCCAGGUUGUUGAAGCUCUUUGGAGUCUCCUAUGUGUGGAGCUGUUUUAUCCUUCAGAUGGUCUCGCUCUUUUUUUUCUUUUUAUUUUCUUUUGUGUACUUUUCUGCUCCAUUCCUGAAAUGAGAUCCAAAUACCAAAUAUAAAUAUAUAUUAACAAUUAAACAAUAUUUAGUAAGGACAGAGGGGAAAUUAAUAAUAAAAUAAUCAAUAAUUAACACCCUAUCAAUUCCCCCCACACCUAAAUCAUACUUGCCCUCAAGCAUGGGGACGACAAAUAACACCAAAAUUUGAAAAUGGGUAUUGCCCCAUCUACCCUAUUGUCAAGAUACCAAGGAAAACAUCUAUCAAGCAUCAGUGAUCAGGGUUCAAGAAACAUCACCCCAAUUAGCUUCUAAACCACAAACUCCUCCAAUUUAAGACAAACUAAUCUAAGAAAAAGGAAUGGUUGCUCACAUUUAUCAACAAAUGGUCCAACUAUUAACUAAAAUCUCGAUAUUAAGAUCACAAACCGGCAAGCUGACUUAUUCACAUACUAACACAAUCUUUACUUUACUUCUUUUUUUUUUUUUUUUGAAUAACAAAAGACUUAGUCUAUAGCCCUUAGAGCCUUUUGACGCGAACUCCAACAUUUGCCAGAUGGAGAAGCCCGGUUUCUCAGCUCCAAUCGCUACGGGACCACGCACUCAUAGUAACUACUACCUUUUGAGGCGAAAAUCGACACUUUAGGUCAAGAUCCCCGAUCACUCAGUAGUAACCACUAGCGGAGUACAGUCAACUCUUAUUUACAACCAUAUAGCACGAUAACUAAAAAUAACAGCAGGCAGCCUCAAAUUUCCAAACAUGGAGAACUAAAAUUAAUAACUGGACCAAUUCACAUGAAAAAUGCCAACAAUCAUUCCCUAUGCCUAGAAAAGUUAACCAAAAAUUAGAAAAGUCAAGCAAUUACUGAUAUUCACAUGAAAAGUCAAGCAGAAGUAAGCAAAAGAGCAACUGUACUUCCCUGAAAUCACGGGGGGCAUGGCGGGGCCACAGCAGUGGGUGAGGCCGGAAAUGGUUGAUUUGGGUUGGGGUAGGCUAAGGUCGAGAGGUUCCGGACCUAGAAGAGGACUUUGAUCUCACCAUCGUCGCUAACAGGUAACCCAAUCAACAGAAACAAAAUUGCCAACAGAUAGAGGAACAAGUAAAUCUAGAUCAAUAGAAAUCAAUAUCCUCAAGUGAAGUCAACAAUCAACCCAAUAAGCACAGGUAUCUUCCAAUUUAAAAGGGUAGUGCACAAUAAAUGGCCCACCAAAUUUGCAAUGUAAAGCCCUGAGCAAUUCAAUCAAUACCAGAAAAUCGCCCCAAACAAUGUAACAGUUAAACUCCAUGGGCCAUGGACGUCCAACCAAUUUCACUCGAACAAACUAUGAGCAGUGCGAGUGACGAAACAAAGCAACAAAUUUCAGCAAUUAGACACAAUUCCACUCAAAAUCUCAACAAAUAUCUCCAAUGGACAGUCUUACACAACUUAACCAACUGGAAUUAGCAAAUAUCCCCAAGAAACUGACAAAACAAGCAAUAGUAGUUCAAAAUUUGGACUACAACUAAAUCAAAAUGUUGUUUCAGUUUUCAAUCAGGUAGCCAACCAAGUAGAAUCAAUAAAUGUAGACAAAAUACCCCAACCAGUACCACUGGUGUAUUCCACAGAAAAGAAUUAAUUCAAAUGCCAAUCCAAACGACUGAGAAACCCUAACCAAGACCAAACCGUACCAGAAAUUAGAAGAAAUGAAAAUGGGAAUCAAUUGGCAAGCAACUCCCAAAUCAACCCCAAAGAACUCCCAAAUAAAUGAAUUAUCAGAGGUGCCUUCAAAAACCAAAUACCAAAAAUGCAUAAAAACUCCCAACCAAUUCAACGGGAAAAACAAAAUUAAGCAAAUCACCUCCUGUGUUUAUCCAUCAAGGAACCCAAAAGCACAAAUUCCAGUAACUGAGGAUUCAGGAAAAAUGCCAAAACAAGGGUAGAAAGUUAAUACCUCCACCUGUCAAUUUUGACAGGUAGUGAUGCGCGGCAAGGAGGUGGCGCACGAGGUGGUGGCCGCGAGCUUUGGAAGAUGAGUUGGCGAUAGAGGCUGUCAGCUACGCGUGCGACUGUGCGCACAAUGGGAGGAGAGAGGCGCGGCGAGCUGGUGGACAGCAGCAGCGGCACGGGCUGGUGGCAGUGGCUGUGGAGCGUGGGCAGGCGGCGGUGCGCAGCUGGUCAACGAAGGAGGAGAUGGGCGGCGCUCGGGCUAAGGAGAGAGUGAUUUGGGGGCUGUGGCGGCGUGGGGUGGAGUUGCGGCGGCGGUCAAAGGCACUGGUGAGUGGAGGUGGCGGGGAUGGAGCUUGGAACGGAGGAGCUCAGCGAGCUGUGGGUGGACGGCCGUGGGCAGGGGAGCAGCGGCGGCCUUUGGAGCUGCUGAAGGUGGUCCGUGAGGUGGAGCUUGGAGCUCGGAGGCGGCGGCGAUGGAAGCUAGUCAGCGGCGUGCGGCAAUGGAUGAGAAAGGGAGACUGGUGGCGUCGGGCUAAGGAGAGAGUAAGGGAGAUGAUGGCGGAUGAGCGAAAGAAAAGAAGGAAAGGGAUACAGGGCAGCGAGGAAGAAGAGGAAGAAAAGGGAAAGAAAGGAAAGAAAAAAGAGAAGAAAAAGGAAAAAGAAAAGAGAGAAAGAAAAAAAGAAAAUAAAAUGGUUUUGGGGUUUUUUUUUCAAUAUUUUUUUUUCAAUUUUUUCCCUAAUUUAAAUUUUCAAAAUUUGAAUUUUUGAAGAAAAAGAAAGAAAGAAAAAUGCUCUUUGAAUUUUUGAAUUUUCUCAAUGUGAAAUUUUAAAUUUUUUUUUGGUUUUGGAUCGUCAAACACCGCGUGAGCACGCCAAGAUUACACUUCCUGGUCACAGUAGAGGAAAAUAUUAAGACCGACUACCACCCAAAUGAGAAAUGACAAAAUGAAAGUAAUGAACAAUGAAAAACGAUAAAACUAAUAUUUGGGUUGCCUCCCAAAAAGCGCCUUUCUUUUAUGUCUUUGGCCAGACAUUGCCAUAUUUGUUUAGGGAGGAUAAAAUCUUGUACCUCGGUUUAAUGUUUCAUCCUCUAUAUAGUCCUGAUAACCCUCGUAAAUAGAGUAAUUCUUGAACACAUGAGCUACGGUCUUCCCUGGACUAGUAAAUGGUGCCAAACAAGUCAACAAUAAGUUGAAUUUUCCAUUCACUCCUCCAUCACUUGCAUUUAUUGGUUUAAGAUAUCUUGCCAUCGCCACUCUUAAUUUAUUUCUGUCAUGAAAUUCGAAAUUUUCUGAUAUAAUAAAAUCAAUUUCAUUAACAGGAAUUGAAGAAUAAGAGUUAGAAGAAUAUUGAUGAAGGAAUGGAUGCGAUGUCACCGCAUUUGAAGAUUGUUCACUGGUUUCAUUCACUUGAACGAGUUGAUACUGGGGCAUUAUUUCUUGCACUUCACCUUUUUUUUCAACUGCAUCUUUAGAUCCGUUUUCUUGAAACUCUUGCAGUUCCAUGUCAUUUGACGGGAUAACUGCACUCUCAUCCUCUUCAAGGUUGAUAUUGGUUUGUGAGGGCAAUUCUUCAAGGUGAGAAGCUAAUCGCUCUAUCCUGGAUGUCAAUUGAUUCAUUUGAUCCGCCGGAUCCCUAAUGCUCGCUUGUGUCUCCUGAUGAAAUCGAUAUGUAUUAGUAGCAAAUAAUUCAAUCAAUUCCUGAAGAGACAUACCUGACAUGGAUGAUGGCUGUUGAGAUUCUUGCUGUUGAAAAUCCAUUGGCCCGGUCGCAUAAUUAAAAUUGGAAUCAUCCCACCAUCCUUGAUCAUACCCGUUUGAAUAAGGAUCGUACCACGUUUGAAAUCGAGGUGAAAAAUCUCCAAAAGUAUCAAUUGGAGCACUUAGAUUAUCUUGAAAUGCGGGGCAUGUGUCGGUUGAGUAACCUGAGUCAAAAUAAGUUCCACAAUUUGCAACAGUCCAUUGACCAUUAGGAAAAACUCGAGUCUCAUAACCUCAUUCGGGAAUAAAGUCCAGUCUAUCAUCAAAAUAUGGAAUGUUAGCUACCAUAAACUAUAUAUAACAAAAAAGAGAAAAAAAAAAAACAAGAUGAACUAAAAAAAAACAAAUUAAUUAGGCACCAGUCCCCGGCAAUGGCGCCAAAAAUUGACAGGGUGUCGAGCCUGUGCAAUAAUAAUUACCUACUCAAGAAAAACAUAAAUUCUGUAUAUAGCGGUGAGCAGGGUCGAAUCCACAGGGAUUGGAGAUAAUUCGUUUCUUUUAGAGUCCAAAGUAUGGGGGGGGAGUUUUUUGGAGAAUAUAAAAUAACUAAUUAACUAACUAAUAAAACAACUAAUAGAAAUAAAUAGAAAUUAAUCAAUUACCAAUAUGACUCUAGUCAAAAGUGCAACUUUUCAGAUACGGUCCAUUCAACUGAUCAUCGAUGCAAAGAUAAUUCAAUUACUCAUUACUAGAUUGGUUAUAGUUGUCAUACACGUGAUGAACAACCAGCCUUUUCUUAAUUUCUCGAUAGUUAAGGUACGACCGUUAACUAUUUUUCUAACCAAGUAAUAACCCUAGGUACGACCAUAGGAUUUAAUUACUCGAUUGCGUUAAUAAUUAGAAAAGCCCAACUCUAACCAACAAACACGCUACGAGGGUUUGUUUAAGUUAGAUCAUACGUUUCCCUAACAUGAAACCAAUCACGCUAGUCGCCACUGGUAUUAAUCAAUUGAACAAUUACGGAUUCAAUCAAUUAAUUUAGAAUUAGAUCAUUAAGUUAAUUCGAAUAUCGGGCCCUUGACAUUCAAAUAACAUAACAAACAUAAGCAAUUAAAUCAGGAAACGUACAAAUACCAAUGAAUAAAAGAAAUAAAUAAAAUUAAUUCGAUCUCACAGAUAUUUGGAACCGCGUCUUCAAAUUGACUUUCGACUAGAUAAAAGGCUUAGUUCAUCUACAUGGAGGAAACUCCAUGCGAAAUUGUAUAAGUAAUUAUUCUAAACAAAGCUAUGUUUUCGUCCUCCAUAGAAGAAAACGGCAAAGCUAUAUAUAAAGUAAUGAAUACGAAGGAACUACCUAGAAGCAAAAACAAAACGAAGCUCUCCUAUUCUAAAACAAAAACUACUUGUCUAGUGGUCCCCGCCGAAUUUAGAUAAAAAGGUGCAAUCUGUCAGAUCAAGCUCUGCCGACUUUUUCUCCUCUUAGUUGCCUAUUGCUAGGCAAAGACUUCAGUGCCCAGACCAUUCCUAAUCAGUGGAAAGAAAAUGCACUCCCUCUGCUGCACUCUGUGGGCUAGGUUGUUGAAGCUCUUUGGAGUCUCCCAUGUGUGGAGCUGUUUUAUCCUUCAGAUGGUCUCCCUCUUUUUUUUCUUUUUAUUUUCUUUUGUAUACUUUUCUGCUCCAUUCCUGAAAUGAGAUUCAAAUACUAAAUAUAAAUAUAUAUUAACAAUUAAACAAUAUUUAGUAAGGAUAGAGAGAAAAUUAAUAAUAAAAUAAUCAAUAAUUAACACCCUAUCAAUAUACAUUUAAGCUCAAUUUUUACUAAGUGUUAAGAUGAUAAAUUUGAAUUUCCUAUGACUCUAAUAACAAUAAAAUAUCAUUUUUCUUGUCAAACAACAUGCAAAAAACAAAAAAAGGUAGAAUUUCAAAUUAAUCAUAAAUGGGUAAUUGAGUAUUCUCAUGUCUAUUUGUUAAAUUGAUAUAAAUGAAUUGAUUCAAUUAUAACUAUUACUCAACUAGAAUCCGCUCAAACCCGUUUAAGUUAAUCAUUUUGACACCCCUAAUGUUAAUAUAUAUUGACAAGUGAAAAGUGCAGCAUUUAUCACGAAGAUAUACUUAUUUAUUUUAAUAUUAAAGUCAUUUUUUCAUUACAAAAAUAUUGAUAAUUUCAUAAUUUCAUGGAAGUAUGUAACCAGUGACAUAACAUAGUCGCCAGUGGCGAAUCUUGUCACGAGCCUUCUUUUCAACGCUUUGAUUAUGGCAUACACCUUUAACAAUAUGCCCCCACGUUGUCUUUCGAUCACUUUUUUUUUUUUUUUUAACCUCACAUUCGUUCGUUAUGUAUGUAUAAUUUCUUUACAAAAAAGUGAAAAACUCCAAAAACGUGGCAGCUCAAACGGGGCCAACAAUCUACUAUGUUCGCCUGUUCUCCCGCCGGACCCACCAGCCGCCGGCGGCCAUGGGUCAUCUAUAAAAGCAUAGAUCAAGACUACACUAAUCCCUCAUCAGUCCAAUCCAUCCAUACUUCUUCUUCAGGCCUCAGCUACUAAACAAUAAACUCUGCUCCACUCAAUUCUUUCCUCUGUUUCUUGUGGUUUUUGUCUGAAAAUGGCGGCAUCAGAAGAAGUGAAAGUGCCAAGAAUCAAGCUGGGGUCGCAAGGUUUUGAAGUUUCAGCUCAAGGGCUGGGCUGCAUGGGCAUGUCAGCCUUCUACGGGCCGCCAAAGCCCGAGCCUGAUAUGAUCAAACUCAUUCACCAUGCUAUUAGCAGAGGCAUCACCCAUCUUGACACCUCCGAUAUGUAUGGACCUCACACCAACGAAAUACUCAUUGGCAAGGUACCGUAUUUGCAAAUUUUCUGCUGUUGUGUGCUAUGCAUAAACUCUUGUACUUCUAAUUUCUAAAAGAGCAUAUUUGUAAGUAUUUUAUUUGGGUAUAUUAUAUUUAACCCCCUGCACUUGAAAUCUUGUCUCCCUUUGUGCCCCCUUAAUUUUGUUUGUCAGCACUUAAACUCCAUCUGUUUAAAUUAUAAGUAUUAUUAGUCAAAUAAGACAAUAAUAUUCUUCAUUUCUUCUUCUUCUUCUUCUUCUUCUUCAUUUUUUCAGAUGUUUGUCCUCAAUUGUAAGAGAAGGUCGUAGGUCUAGCACAUACGUUGAGUAGCUGUAUCCGAUUAGAAGGAUUUAGAUCAUAAUGGAGUUGGUAAAAUAGUACUAUUUUCGUCUUUGAAGUUAAAAUUGUCAUCAAUUUAUGGAAAGUUUACUAUUUCUCUGAUAAGAGAUGGUAAAAUUUACUUUUUACGAGUACUAAAGUUUUAAAGAUUAUGAAAAGAGAAUUGUACGAAUGAAUAUAAGGGAAAAGAAAGGUAAGAACAUAAAUAGAUUGUGUUUGGAUUGAUUUUGGGAGGGGCAAGGAGAGGAAAGGGAAAGAAAAGGAAAUGGAUGGAUUGUGUUUUGCUCAGACAUCAUUUCCAUACAAAAGUAGACGGAAACAGAGGGAAAGAAAAUCUAGUUGAUGAUUUUCUUAUAAAAUGCCUCAAGCACCCAAAUUUUACAUAAACUUGAGUAACCAUGUGUUUCAUAUCUGUAGAACUUGCCAUUUGUGAAACCUGCUUUAGAUAUGAAUUGUGGGAUGCAACAGCAGGCUAGGAAUGUUUGACUAAGCAACUUAUGUAAAUAUUUUAUCGUUAAGUGAAGUUCCUCUUUUGCUGUUUAAAAAAAAAAAAAAAAAAGAGAGAGAAAAACCAUUCCUUUAAUGUCUGUCAUUCUACCAAACAGCAGAUUUAGGAUUUCUUUUUUUCCCAUCCAUAUCUAAUCCAAAUAAGGCAAAUGAGAACUAUUUUCCACUACUCUCCUUUCCUUUCUUUUUCACUAGGAUGUUUUAUUUAUUCUUUCCUUUGAUCCUAAUGGUUCCUAAAAGGGCACUAAUUAUUCUACAUUGAUCGUUCCCCAUAUUUGUAUUAAUGUGCAUGUUCACGAUUCUGUGUACGUUCAUGUUGUGCAUCAAAUCUUGUGAAUGUCAAAGCUAAGAUUGUAAAUUUAAGUUGAAGAAACAUAAAAGAAAAAAGAAAAUGGAUUGGCUCCUUUAAGAGUAUCAGACUUCUAAACCCCAAGGAUUACAUAAUUUUCAUAUCCUUUGCUAUACAAAGAAGUGGCAUAGCCUUAACAAUGAAGUGCUGGAAAAACUCCAGAAGGACUGUGCCAUCCAUGAAAUCACAAUUCCGCUUGCUAUACCAUGCAUUAAUGUGUAUGCCCUUGAUGAUUAAUAUAAUGAAAUCAUGGUUCUAGGCCUUGAAGGAAGGAAUAAGAGCGAAAGUGGAGCUAGCAACAAAAUUUGCAAUCAGUUAUCAGGAUGGGAAAUUUGAUGUACGUGGUGAUCCAGCCUAUGUGAGGGCUUGUUGUGAAGCGAGUUUGAAGCGGCUUGAUGUGGACUGCAUUGAUCUCUAUUAUCAACAUCGCAUUGAUACACGUGUGCCCAUUGAAGUCACGGUUUGCUCGUCUUGCCUUUCUUGUAUUUUAGCUCCACCUCAUUCUUGAUGAAACAAAAGUUUGAUCAACUCCAAAUUUCGAAUAAUUCAGUUUCAUGUGCGUUUCAAUUCUUCAAAAAUUGCACAGAAAAGUUAGUCAACCUUAUGGUCUAGGCUAAUCUGCAGUAUGCUAAAUCUUAUUUAGCACCAGGCACCCUGAAAAGUGAAAACAAUGAAAAUGUCUUAUAUUAGCUUGGCAGUCCUGCUGAGGGAUAUACAGGUGGAUAUCAUGCUAUACAUUGUACAGCUUUCCUUUAGAAGCAAGAGACCUGAGCAUUCUCUUUCAUUUGAGAUAGGCUAUCCAGUUGAGUAAUGAUAUGCUAUUUACUUACCUUGUCAUUCGUUUUCAGUCGGUGCCAAAAGCACUGCAGAUAGAAGUUUUUUAGUCAAUAUCUAAAAAACGUGGUACUCAUUUUGUUCAGAGUAUAGCUUUUUGUCUAAUUGUGAAAGCCAGCUGCGACUACCCCGUUGACCUCUCUAAGCAAUUCAAAGAUUGCAGCUGCUUGCUUACAUUCAGCUUUUAUGAAAACAAUUUCUGUCUUCUUUUUCUAAUAUAGUCAGCAAAGAAUUGUCUUGUUUUUCCUGAGUAUUAGGAAGAAACUUUCUUGCAGUUUAAUCACUCAAAAUACAGGCAAGUAUAAAGGAAAUCAAGGAAAUCGACAACUGAUAAUUGAUAUGUGCAGCCAUUAUUAUAUCUAGACGAAGUCAACAAUGUCGUGUAAUCAUAUUGGAGGAGCAUUAUGUUGGCAUGGUCCAAUAGAGCUAAGUCAUCCGGUGGGCUGUACAUAGAGAAGUAUCACUGGAUGCUUAUUGCCAUUUUUGUCAAUUAUUGAUUUCAGUUUGACGUAUAAUUUGUCCACGACUUCAUUGAACUAGUCCAACUUUUACUUUUUUGCACGUAAUAUUUCGAUUAUCUGCCUAAGUAUUGAAUGUAAUAAAUCAGCUUUGCAUUUUCUUGUCCAUUGAAAUUCUCUAGAUAGGAGAGCUCAAGAAACUGGUUGAAGAGGGUAAAAUAAAGUAUAUAGGUCUGUCUGAGGCCUCAGCUUCAACAAUUCGAAGAGCACAUGCUGUUCAUCCAAUAACAGCGGUACAGUUGGAGUGGUCAUUGUGGGCCAGAGAUGUCGAGGAAGAGAUUAUUCCCACUUGCAGGUAGUGCAUAUAUUCUGCUGCAUUUUCUACGUGGUCUAGAAGAAAUAUGAAGUUCUUAAUUCAGUUUUUGGUAUAAUCUUUCAGAGAGCUUGGAAUAGGGAUUGUUGCAUACAGUCCACUUGGAAGAGGAUUCUUCUCUUCAGGUCCAAAGCUGGUCGAGAAUUUGGCUGAAGGUGACUGCCGAAAGGUUUGUGCAUAUCCAAAACUAUGAAGUUUUUGAGUAUAGAUUGUUUAUAGUUCGAAUAAGUUUCUCACUCAUCUACUUUUACCACUUCAGUGACAAUCUUGCUUGAUAUCCCUAUUCUUGUCUAUCUGUCAUAUGUUGCUGCACUUUUUGAUGUCCAAUAAUUUGAUUAAGCCUUAUAAUAUGAUCACAUUUAAUCAAAUUUCUAUUAAGCAGAGCAAAUCAACAGGCUUUUUUUUUUCCUGUCGAACAAGUCUUGAGGUCUUUAGUUGAUUAAAUGAAUGCAGAUUUUGGUGUCCUCUGUAUUUAGUUCAAAUUAAAAGAUAUAGCGCUAGCUUUGUCAAAUUUUAGAUCUUAUAUUAAUUGAAGGUUGUUAUUGCAUGCUGGAGAUUUAUAUAGUGGACAACAAUCACAAGCAAUCGAUAGUAUCGAAUUUUAAAGUGCAAAGAUGUCGCAAGACAUCAAAACAGGAAGAAACUAUGUCACUUUUUAUGUAAAAGUCUCUUUUCAGUUUUGAGGGGAAAUGGACCUUGGACUUCAAUUUCAUCAUUUAGUCUCAGGCACAGAAUUUCAUCAUUUUGUCCUGUGAAACUAUCAUUUUUCCUUUACCAUUAAUCCUAAAACUGAGUUUCAUUGGUCAGAAGUGUACUUCUUAGUACAAACAUUAGUUGAUAUGCAUUUUAAGGUUCCCCUUUGAUGGGAAAUGUAUCUCAGAACUUAACUCCAACAGUUGAUGUUUCCUACUUGGAUUAUUCAGUCCACCUUGAUGCAUUGUUCUUUGCCCUGAACUUGUGUCCUUCAAACAAUAUUGCUGAUCAUCUUGAAGUAAUGUACCGUUUGUUCAUUUCUCCCUUCUGAUUUCUUGCAUUAUAGUUUCCUCUUUAAUGGGAAAUGUAUCUCAUGAUCUACCUUCUACAAUUAAUGUUUCUUAAGAGUACUCAGUCCACCUUACUGGAUUGUUCCUUCCCCUGAACUUUUUACACCUUAAACAAUACUAUCAAUCAUCUUGAAGUUAUUCAUAUUGUCUUCAUACCUAUCACCCUUUACAGUUGCUUGAAUUUUUGAAAUUCAUACAAUGUAGGAUAUGCCAAGGUUUCAAGCAGAGAAUUUGGAGCACAACAAGAAGUUGUAUGAGCGGGCCAAUGCCAUUGCUUCAAGGAAGGGUUGUACUCCAUCACAGCUAGCAUUGGCCUGGGUCCAUCACCAAGGCAAUGAUGUUUGCCCCAUACCUGGCACUACCAAGAUUGAGAACCUCAAUCAGAAUAUAGGAGCUUUGUCUGUAAAACUGUCAGCCGAGGAAAUGGCGGAACUUGAAUCUAUUGCUUCUGCGGGAGUCAAGGGUGAUAGGUAUGCGCCUGGCCUUGGUACUUGGCAAACUUCUGAAACUCCGCCUUUGUCAACCUGGAAGCGGACAUGAAGACAUACCUUUGUUAUGGCAAUAAUUCCUUCUAGCUAUGUGCCUGAUGGUGGAUUUCACUAUAUUGAGAGUUGAGUGAUAUGUAAUUGUUCCAAUAAAUUUUGACAUACUAUUGUCUCUAGGGCUAUGGCACGUAAAGUUAUAAGUAGAAUGGAUGGAGUUUCUUCAGAGAGGUUGUAAUAAAUAAAGAUCUGGUCAUGUAAAAGCUGAAUAUAAUUUUCCUUGCAGUUGAAUGCAUUAAGAGUUAUAUAUUGUACUUUUGAAUGCUAAAGUGGUCCAUUUUUUAUGUGCUACUGCUACGAGAGUUAUAGAUUGUUGAACAGCAUUCAAUUCUGGACUUAUUAAACAUAAGCAUAUAAACAUUUUAUUCUCGGAAUAUUUACAUCAAAAGAAACUCCAAGGUCACAUCAUUGUAAAGUGUAAACUAUAUCAUAUUAAUAAAAAGCAAAAAAAAUGUCUAAAUGAGGAAAAAAAAUGUACUAUAGAAGAAGUCAACAAUGUCAUGUAAUCAUUUUAUCCUAAAAUUGAGAUUCAAAUUUAGUUGAUUUGUAUUUUGAGUUUCCUCUUUGAUGGGAAAUGUAUCUCAGAACUUUAACUCCAACAGUUGAUGUUUCCUACUUGGAGUACUCAGUCCACCUUGAUGCAUUGAUCUUUCCCCUGAACUUGUGCCCGUCAAACAAUAUUUCUGAUCAUCUUGAAGUAAUUAGUACCAUCUGUUCAUUACUCCCUUCUGAUUUCUUGCAUUAUAGUUUCCUCUUUAAUGGGAAAUGUAUAUCAAGAUCUACCUUCUACAAUUGAGAUUUCUUAGAGUACUCAGUCCACCUUACCAGAUUGUUCUUUUUCCUGAACUUUGUUCACUUCAAACAAUACUAUGAUCAUCUUGAAGUUAUUCGUAUUGUUGUCUUUUGUGGACGACACAUGCUUUACUGCCUUUUUGAAUUUCUGCAUUGCAGUUGCUUAAAUUUUGAAAUUCAUACAAUUUAGAAUAUGCCAAGGUUUCAAGUAGAGAAUUUGGAGCACAACAAGAAGUUGUAUGAGCGGGUCAAUGCCAUUGCUUCAAGGAAGAGUUGUACUCCAUCACAGCAAGCGUUGGCCUGGGUCCAUGCCAAGGCAAUGAUGUUUGUCCCAUAACUAGCACUACCAAGAUUGGAAACCUCAAUCAGAAUAUAGGAGCUUUGUCUGUAAAACUGUCAGCAGAAGAUAUGGCUGAACUUGAAUCUAUUGUAUCAGCUGGAGUCAAGGGUGAUAGAUAUGAUCCUGGCCGUGGUACUUGGCGAACUCCUGAAACUCAACCUUUGUCAACUUAGAAGACUACAUGAAAACAUACCUUUGUUGAGGUAUUAAUUCCUUCUAGCAUUCUACCUGUUGGUGAUUUCACUGUAUUGAGAGUUGAGCGAGUUGUAUUUGAUCCAAAAACUUUGUCAUACUAUUGUCUCGAGGGUUAAGACAUGUAAAGUUUUAAGAAGAAUGGUGUUUCUUUAGAGUGCUUGUAAUGAAUAAAGAUCUGGUCAUGUAAAAGUAGAACACAACAUACCAACAAUGUCAUUGUAAACUACAUCAUACCAACAAAAAAGUAGAAAAUGGUCUAAAGUGAAUCAGAAAUCAACAAAAACUAUGUAAGCACCAAUGGAAAGCAGAAAAGUUCUUGAUACCAUAGUAAACACCAAUGGAAAGCUAAAAAGUUCUCGACGCCAUAGAAAUUAGGGAUUCGUUGGGCAAAAAAGUUCUUAACACCAUACUCUAUAGACGUAGGGGAUCCAGGUUUGGGCAUCUAGCUAAGUGGAACAGGUAAAGGAAAGCUGCAUCACAGAUGUAGCAAGUAGUUCCAAUGCCCUUGCCAAUGGUAUAGGCUUUCUUGCUUCCAACAUGGUCUUGAAAGUGCAGAUUAGAGAAGGAUAUCAAAGCCGGCCAGCUGCGAAUCCUGUGGGGUGAAAACCAUACAUUUGAGAACAUAAACAAAACAGAGCUGCCUGGUCCUCAAUUUAAGCAUUAUACUUGAGAAGGACAAUACAAGCAUUCAGGGAUAUUUGCAGCCCCAUCCUCAAUGUGUGAGAAAAUAAACUUUACAUGCAGAAAGGAAAUAAAUGGUUGAAAUUACACAAUGGAUGGAUGUUGAAAAGAAUCACUAACAAAUAUGUCUAGAAGAUCGAUCUGUUAAGCAUGGGAAGUUCAAAGAGUAGCAUUUUUUUUGAAUCUCAGAAAAAUGAAGAGUAAGGUACAGUCCAACAAUUUAGGGAAUUCAAACUCUAUUUGUGAAUAAACUGCUUGUAUUUUUCCUUUUUCUAGUGUAAGAUUUAAGGAAAAGUUAAAAUCACUUGACCCCUGAUCAGUUCUUUACCAAUACAUUGAUUUUGACUUCAAUCAUGAACAAAUAAUUCAGAUUAAGACUGAAUAGUUAAUAAAUUGAAAAAAAAGGGAAAGACAUCAGAACUUAGAUGUAACACACUAAUCCAUAACAUCCAGUCCUUCUUACUUUUCGUGCCUUUGGCCCAGUGUUGCAAAAGGCCUUGCCUGAGGUAAGGCAUUUGUCUCUACUGCAGCAGCACGAAAGCCUUGGAGCAUGGGUUGUAAUUCUCAUGAAUUUUAAAAUUUUUGAAUAUUUUAAAAAUAUUGUAAUAUUUAUGCAAAAUAUUAUUAAAACACAUAUAACUAUAAUAAAAUAUGUAAAAUUUUAAAAUUAUAGAAAAAUAUAUUAUCAUGAUAUGCGGUAGUAAUGACAGUAUAGAAAAAAAAAAAUAUGACAAAAAUUCAACGAAUACUAGUCGUGGGCAUCUGAAAAUGGUUAUAGAUGACAAGGGACGAUGAUUUUACUUGGAAACUUGGGUUUUUACAUUCUUGUGGUAUGUAUUACUAUACAAAAAUGGUAAAAUUAAAAUAUAACCAAGUUUUGGGGUUAAAUAAGAAAUUUGAGAUAACAGGUUAGCUAAAUUUUUAAAGUGAGCCAAAGCACAAGGACUUAAUACUACAUGUUUUACUAAAAUGGGACCCACAUCUCUAAAUUCAGGCCCGUCAGGUUCAUCGAGGUGCUUCGUUCGCAAGCCCAUUUGUCAGCCCAAAUCAUCAAACGCUUCCUUCCUCCCCUUUUUAUUUAAUAAACCCGAUACGACUUCCUGAUUAUUCCAGGAUCCAACAAUUAAAACUUUACUGGCUCUAAAAAAAAAAAAAACAAUUAAAACUUUACAUACAAAUAAAUGGUCAAAUUCACUUAAAAAUUGUGGGGUCAUCUUCCACAUUAAACUUUUGUACUAUCCAAGUUUGUUUUAAUUCCUUUGGGAAAAUCAAACAUCGAAUGCAUUCCCCAAAAAAAACAAAAAAGGGAAAAGGAAAUGGCUUACCUUUGCCCUUACGUAUCCAAUCCCAAUUUGAACAUUACAUCAUCCAUCCAAUUGAAACAAACUCCUAUGGAGAUUUUUUUUUUGCUCUAUUUUGUUGUUAGAUCUGAAAGUUUUUUCAAAAUUUGAAUCUAUUUGAACAUAUCUCAUUAUCAUUAUUGAAACUUAAAACCAUUUAUUGACAAAUCUGGCAAUUGCCAUAUGCACAAAAGGGAGACGCUUUAAAAUUCUUUAUAUUUUAUUAGAUGUGUUUGUAAUUUUCAAAUCUAUUGUAUUAGUUAAAUUAUAAUCUGUAAUUUUUAAUGCAUGCGUGACCUGCCAUUAGAGGAGUUAUGUAAAUCAAAUCAUGUUGGACGAUUUUCAAAAAAAAAAAAAAAAAACUUAACCGUCAAUUACUCUUUCCCAUUUUAUUUGUCCACUUUUCAAUUGUCAAUAACUCUUUUAAAAUAUUUUGCAAUACAAAAAUCAACUGAAACCAGUAGACAUUGUAAUUAAUAGCAGUAUUCAAUUCUUGUUUUUGUAUAUUACUCGUACAUCUAAUUAGUCCAAUUUGGAGGGAAAAAAAGGUGAAAACAAAAAAAUAUAAUAGUCACAAAAAACACAGAUCUAGCUCAAAAUAUGGCAGUGACCAAUUGUUCUGCAAAAUUAGUAGGAUAAGCAGUUGACAAAUUCUAUAAUCCCUUUUGGUCAAAUAUUAUUUUUAAUAUUUAGGUCGUUACAAUUUCAAUAAUUUAAAUUACCAGUUACUAUCAUCAUUGGAAGAAGCACAUUGAAGGAAUGAUACUCUAAGAUGACUGAUAGAGCGAUUUUUGAGCACAUUUUGUACUAUUAUUCUGUCCUAAUUUUGGCUACUCAUGGUGCUAAGAAUUAAGAUUUUGCUCAUAUUUGAUAUUUGUAUGAAUUAUAGGUGGUUGGCGUUAAAAAUGAUCUUGCGAGGCGAAUUUCUAGAAGACCCUUCAGGUCAAGACGUGCCCAUGCCAGAAGUAGUGGAAGGUUACCCAUAAAGUCGGACCCGCGGGCUUGGUAGCAAAAUAAGUCAACUAGGGAACCAGGUCCACGUGGAUCAAAGGCGGGGGAUUAGAACCCUUAGGCAAAGCUUGUUCCUUUUUUUGGAUUACUACUGGCGGCGCACAUGAAAAAUAUAAGAGACGAAGCCAGGUUCACGUGAAAGGAAGGAGAUAGCUUAGUUUUCUUUUCCCAAAUUUGUCAGACGUUUGUCUUGCUUUUCUCGGUAGAAAACAGAAGACAAGCCAGAAUCACGUGGGCUUAGUAGAUUAGUUUUCGUUUUCUUCACUGGCAACAAUUUCUUUCUCUGUUUUGACUUUUGAUAAAUUUCAUGAGAUUGCUCCAGUACGGACACGAAAUAAGAAAAGGAAUUAAGAGACUUUCUCUUCAUUAUUCCUCCGUUAGUUCACUUUUCUCAAUUCUUCGGCAAUUAAUUGAAUGUUUUCAAUUAAAUCACACGGGAUUGACAGGAUGAGGAGAGGCUAGUUCUCUCCUCUACCCAGAGGUCGACGCGAGGGCGCGGUCCAUAAUAUCAGUAAGAUCUGAUCAAACUUUCAUUAUUUCUUCCAAUUUGUUACUAUUCGUGCGUUUCUUGGAUUAAUUAUUCAUGGGUAUUUUAUUAAUUGAAUAUCAACGGCCGGGUAUUUAAUUUAAUUUAAUAGCCUACUGUCACAUUAACUAAAUUCAAUCCGUAAUUGUUUGUUUAGUUGAUAACUAGUGACAACCAGCAUAAUUAGCUUUAUGUUGGAGGAAUGCAAGAUCUAAUUUAAAUAAACUCUCUUAGCGUGUUUAUUGAUUAGGGUUGAGUUCUUCUAGUUGUAAUGCAGUUGGAUAAUUAAAUUCCUAUAGUUGUACAUAGAGUUGUUAACUGGUUAGAGAAGCAGUCAACGGUCGUACCUUGGCUGUCGAAAAGGUAAGGAAGAAUUGGUUAUCAGAACUUGUUGUUAGCUAUAACCAAUCAAGUAAUGAAUGAGUGAAAUAUCUUUGCAUCGAUGAUCGUUUAAUUGGACCAUGCCUGAAAAGUUGAUCCUUUGGGUAAAAUUUUAUUAAUUGCUAUUUUUACUAAAUUGCACUUGUUGAGUUAGCUCUUGAGUUUUACUUAUUUUAUUUUUACUUUCACCCCAUUAAUUAUCCCUCUCUUUUAUUCUAUUGACUUAGAAAGAAAUCACUUCCUAUCCGUUCCCUGUGGAAUCGACCCUACUUGCCAUUGUACGCAAAUUUAAUAUUUUUAUAGACAAAUCUGGUAUAUCGGAUCAAACAAAUUUUUUGAAAAUAGGGUGAAUCAAGUAACCCAUUGCACACCUAGAGUCCCUGCUCCAGUACUUGGAUUUGUUCUAUAAUGAAUUGUGGUGGUAAUUAGGACUUUUUAGUAAUUAUUAUUGCACAGGUUCGGCACCUGUCAAUUUUUGGCGCCGUUGCCGGGGAGCGGUGUUUUGGUUAAAUUUGUUUCUUUCUAAGUUAUUCUCUUUGAAUCUGUCUAGCAUUUUUCUAGUUUAUGCCUCGCUCUUCUCGUACAGGCGAAUUGAUUUUCGAUUCAGAAGUAGAGAAGGCUGCGCGCCAAACUAGGAAACAGACCAGACAACUCAGGGAGGAGCAAUCCAGUAUUGCAUCUCAGGGACUGGAUCUUGAGGUUGAAUCAACAGAUUCAAGUAGUGAAAAUUUAAAUGAUCCAGGCCAAGAGGGCAUCCUUAUGGCAAAUGCAAGAAUACUAUAGGAGUUGGCUGCUCCAGAAUUACCCCAGCAGCCUUUGUGCAUUACAUUCCUAACGUUGGCUAAAAAUAUCUCAUUUGAAUUGAAGUCAGAAUUAAUCCACCUCCUACCUACGUUCCAUGGCCUCUCAGGUAAGGAACCCUACAAACACAUCCAAGAGUUUGAUGUGGUAUGCUCCAGUAUGAAGUCUCCAGGAAUUACUGAGGAGCAGAUUAAACUCAGAGCCUUCCCCUUCUCCCUCAAGGAUGCAGCAAAUGAUUGGUUGUACUACCUACCUGCAGGUAGUAUCAUCAAAUGAGCCCAACUUAAGAAGAAAUUUUUGGAAAAAUUCUUCCCUGCGUCCCGGGCUGCAAGUCUGAGAAAAGAGAUAUGCAGCAUUAAGCAAUAUCCUGGAGAAUUCUUAUAAGACUAUUGGGAGAGAUUCAAUAAGUUGUGCACUAGAUGCCCACAGUAUCAAAUUAGUAAAUAACUGUUGAUCCAAUAUUUCUAUGAGGGACUCCAGUCGUCUGAUAGAAGCAUCAUCGAUGCUGCGAGUGGGGGAGCCCUGGCGAACAAGACACCACGAGAAGCAUGGAUAUUCAUUGAAUCAAUGGCGAAAAAUUCUCAACAGUUUGGUUUCCUAAAAAGUAACCCUACCCGGAGGGCUAACGAGGUAGAGACGUCAUCCAUUCAGCAGCAGAUAUCAGAGCUAACAUUUUUUGUUACAAUUAGCUGUGGGAAACAUGCAUCAAGCUAAGGCCUGUGGAAUCUGCACAAAUGUGGGUCACUCCACUGACUCAUACCCUAUGUUGCAAGAGGAUGGGGGUGAACAAGUGAACAUAGUCGGAGGCGUGCCCGUGCCUCAUAGACAGUACGAUCCAUACUCCAACACAUACAAUCUGGGUUGGCAAGACCACCCCAAAUUCAGUUAUGGUAAUAAGCCACAGAAUUCAUUUCCCAAUCGCCUACAAGGAUUCCAACAACCGUAGCAACAAAAGUCUCAACCCUCGUCCUCCAGCUCAGGAAGUCAUUUGGAGAAAAUUGUCAAGAGUUCAGCUACGACUAUAACUCAGCUCCAGCAAGAGACUAGGUUCUUGGUCGCGAGCAUUACUCAGUUCCAACAGGACACCAAAGCAGGCAUGAAAGACAUGGAAAUUCGAAUGAGUUAAAUGACAACUGCCAUUAAUCGCCUAGAGUCCCAUGUUUAUGAAAAAUUGUCAUUUCAAUCCGAGCCAAAUCCCAGAAAUGUAAGUGCCAUAACAUUAAGGAGUGGCAAAAAGGUGGAGGGACCUAAGUUGGUAAAUUCGAAAAGCAAAAGUGAGGAAGAGAUAAAAAAGGAGAUUGAAGAAGAAGGACGCAUUCGUAAAGACCCUAAGGUAAAAUUUACUCUUUCAGCUCCUAUUAAAUCUAACUUACCUCAUUUUCCUUGCAGGUUAGAAAAAACAAAGAAGCAAAAUAAGGAAAAGGAGAUUUUAGAGGUGUUUCGAAAGGUGGCAAUCAAUAUCCCUUUGUUGGACGCGAUCAAACAAGUGCCAAAAUACGCUCAAUUCUUGAAAAACUUGUGCGUUAACAAGAAGAAGUUGAGGGGGGAUGAACAAAUUGUGGUAGGUGAGAACGUUUCAGCGAUUUUGCAAAGGAAACUACCACCUAAAUGCGGAGAUUCAGGUAUGUUUAUUAUCCCUUGUAAGAUUGGAUGUUCUAAUAUCAAAAAUGCCAUGCUAGAUUUAGGGGCCUCUAUUAAUGUGAUGCCUAAAUUAAUUUAUGAUUCCCUAAAUUUAAAACCUUUAAAAGAAAUAGGGAUAAUAAUUCAAUUGGCUGAUCGUACAUUUGCUUAUCCGGAUGGAAUAGUUGAGGAUGUUUUGGUGCAAGUAGAUGGAUUAAUUUUUUCUGCUGAUUUUUACGUACUUUACAUGGAUGAUAGAAGUGCCCCAAAUCCAUCACUCAUUAUAUUAGGAAGACCAUUCUUGAGUACUGUCCAAACUAAGAUUGAUAUUAGUAAGGGUACUCUCACGAUGAAAUUUGAUGGAGAAAUAGUCCAUUUUAAUAUUUUUGAUACAAUUAAAAAUCAUGUUAACUCUCAUUCUGUAUUUGCUAUUCAGGCUACUAAUCCCUCUGUGCAAGAAUUCUCUGAGUUUGUUUGUAGGGGUAAAUUCAAAAUUGUUGCGAACAAGUAUCCUGGAAUGAAAGCAAUUCAUGAGGUGAAAAUGAGUAGAAAAUUCAGGAAAAUAUUGCAUUCAAUGGCUAUUUGGAUCCCGGAGGAGGGCCACAAAUUAGAAGAAAAAUUGAAUUACAUCCAAACUGAAGAGCGGUGUAUAGUGUCUAGCCAAAAACAUUAAAGAAAGGCGCUACUUGGAAGGAAAUCCAAGGCUUUCAAUUGUGUUUUUUCAUAUUUGUGUGUUCAAGAUCAGUGGGUUUAGGUUCCUAUUGACAAGCAAUCUUUAUUGUAGGUCAUGGGUGUUUCUGUGUAGUUUUAUUCUAUGUUGGGAGCAAAAAUUUGCGGGCAGAAGACUUCAUGUUACAAGGCUUGCCCGCGCCUUGUACUCACCGCGCAUGAACAUUUGUAAAAUUUGGCGGACAGAAGAUCUCGACCUUCAAGGCGUCCCCACGCCUUCCAACCUUUGCAACAAUGAAAGUUAAAAAAAUUGAUCAGGACCUUCUCUAACCCCCCUUUUCUACUUUUCUCUUUUCUUGUCUUAUCUGGUCUUUUUAAUUUCCUCUAUCUUAGUUUCUACUUUUCAAUUUCCUUUGUUUUGUCUUAGUUUCAGUUUCUUUGUUUCCUCUUUUCUUGUUUGUCCGCUGCGCACAGCGCGUCGCUGUGGCGUGCUCCUCUUACCAUGCUCCUCCUGCUGGGGAUUCCCAAUACCGUGCCCUCCAAGAUUCUAUCCGUGAACUAGGUGAGCGGGUUAAGGGACUAGAUGGCCAUCUUGCAGGGCUACAGGUUUUUGCUCGCAUUCAGGCGAAGAACCAAGCAGCUUUCUUUGCUCAUAUUGGAUUCACUCCAGCUCAUCCUUCCCCCCCUUAGUGUCUAGCUGCACCCUCUCGGUGGUCAAGGAAGUUUAUCUCCUUUUCUUCUAAUACUUCAUUUGUCUUUUCUAUAUUGAGAGCAAUGUAGGUUUUAGGUGUGGGGGAGUGGUUUCCAUUAUUUCUUUUGGCUUUGGUACAAAAAAAAAUGAAAAAAAAUGAAAAAUGAAAAAAAUGAUGAAAACAAUGCAGUUAGUCGGCUUUCUGUUCAUUUCUAUGUUUGUUAGUGCUGGAGUGUGUUGCUAUGAUGGAUUAUACAAUCCUGGGGCACAGGUACAUGGUCAAAUAUGCUAGCUGGACAUUUUGUUUUUCCUUGGCAAUAUCGUUGAAUGUAGAGUGUGUUGAACUUGACCCAUUCUUGUAACUUUUGGAAGCUUUUGAGCCAUGCAUGGGCACAUUAUUCUUGUUUGCUCUAGUUUUGUUUGAUUGAGUGGGUAUCACACAUGGUAUUGGUAUUCUAGAACUUGCUAUUUUAUACAUGUCGAGACUAUAUUUUGUUGAACUGGAUGCAUUUGAAAUGAUAAGGGCAUUUGGGAUUAAACCUUCUUUAACUUCCUAAAACCCAUGCCUUCAUCUUGUCUCCCAAUAGUGAACCAAUUUGAACUUUUAUCCGUCAAAUUUGUUUGUUAGCCAUGUUGAUAACCCAAGACCUUUUUAGACUUUCUUGUUCACCCCGGUGUUGUUAAGGGAUGUCUGAAUUUCAUCAUUUGUGCAAGACAAAUAAAUCUGGAGUCGCAAGUGUUGUUAGAGUAGAAUCUGUAUGAUGCUAUCUUUGUGCAUUUAGAACAAAAAGGGGAGAAAUCGACAAUAAGCUGCUGAUCAGAAGACUCUGUCUUACAGGGUGUGCCCACGCCUUGCAACACGUUUUUCAAAAAAAAUGAAAAAAAAGGAGAAGAGAAGCUAGUGAACAUAAGGCUCUGGCCUCCAGGACGUGCCCAUGCCUUGCAAGACAUCUUUGUAAAAAAAAAAAAAAAUUGCGACAUUUGCACAGUAGGUACAGCAGGUGAAACUGUCUUGUUCGCGGAGUUCAUGUGGUGAAGCAUUGUGGUUAUAUGGUGGGUUUUGGACAUCCUCUUGACACAUUACAUCUUACCUUCACCUUCUUAUCCCGCAUUUUACCUAAACCCCAUUACAACCCUAUUAAAAUCUCUUUGAUUAGUGUAUUUAAUUCACUUUUAAGUGGUGGAGAUUUAAUAAAUGUGCAAGCCUAUGGUAAUGUCAUUCCGUGUGUUGAUUUGACCGUUCCCAGUAUUCAUACAUUCUCUUGAAGGUGACGAGUAUUACUGAGCAUAUUCUUUGGUUAAUUGCCUAUCCGGCAUAUUCUAAUUUCGGCGACAUUGUCGGGGGGGCGAGAUGCUUGUGCUAGUAUAGAUUACUAUAUGACCUCUGUUGUCUUGAUUGUAUUUCUGAGUUUCGGAAUGCUUGAGGACAACCAUUGUUUAGGUGUGGGGGGAUUUGAUAGAGUGAUUUUUUAGCACAUUUUGUACCAUUAUUCUAUCCUAAUUUUGGCUACUCAUGAUGCUGAAAAUUGAGAUUUUACUCAUAUUUGAUAUUUAUAUGAAUUGUAGGUGGUUGGCGUUAAAAGUGAUCUUGCGAGGUGAAUUUCCAGAAGACCCUUCAGCUCAAGACGUGUCCACGCCAGAAAUAGUGGAAGGUUACCCAUAAAGCCGGACUCGCGGGCUUGGUAGCAGAAAAAGUCAACUAGGGAACCAGGUCCACGUGGACCAGAGGCGGGGGAUUAGAACCCUUAGGCAAAGCUUGUUCCUUUUUUUGGAUUACUAUUGGCGGCGCACAUGAAAAAUAUAAGAGACGAAGCCAGAUUCAUGCGAAAGGAAUGAGAUAGCUUAGUUUUCUUUUCCCAAAUUUGUCAGACGUUUGUCUUGCUUUUCUCGGUAGAAAACAGAAGACAAGCCAGAAUCACGUGGGCUUAGUAGUUUAGUUUUCGUUUUCUUCACUGGAGACAAUUUCUUUCUCUGUUUUGACUUUUGAUAAAUUUCGUGAGAUUGCUCCAGUACGGACACGAAAUAAGUAAAGGAAUUAAGAGACUUUCUCUUCAUUAUUCCUCCGUUAGUUCACUUUUCCCAAUUCUUCGGCAAUUAAUUGAAUGUUUUCAAUUAAAUCAUACGGGAUUGACAGGAUGAGGAGCGGCUAGUUCUCCCCUCUACCCAGAGAUCGACGCGAGGGCGCGGUCCAUAAUAUCUGUGAGAUUUGAUCAAACUUUCAUUAUUUCUUCCAAUUUGUUACUAUUCGUGUGUUUCCUGAAUUAAUUGUUCGUGAGUAUUUUAUUAAUUGAAUAUCAACGGCAGGGUAUUUAAUUUAAUUUAAUAGCCUACUAUCACAUUAACUAAAUUCAAUUCGUAAUUGUUCGUUUAGUUGAUAACUAGUGACAACCACUAUAAUUGGCUUUAUGUUGGAGGAAUGCAAGAUCUAAUUUAAAUAAACCCUCUUAGCUGUUUAUUGGUUAGGGUUGGAUUGUUCUAGUUGUAAUGCAGCUGGAUAAUUAAAUUUCUAUGGUCGUACUUAGGAUUGUUAUCUGGUUAGAGAAACAGUCAACGGUCGUACCUUAGCUGUCGAAAAGGUAAGGAAGAAUUGAUUAUCAGAGCUUGUUAUUAGCUAUAACUAGGGGUGGCAAUCCGGUCGGGUUCGAGUUGGUGGGGCGGGUUGAGACCCAAAUAUAACAAAAAAAAUCAUUGACCCGAACCUGACCCGUCAACCCGAAACGGGUCAGGAUGCCUGACGCCAACCCGAAAAUUUCGGGUUGGCGGGUCGACCCGAAAUGACUCGAAACUUAAUUUUAAAUUAUUAAUUUGUCAUUGUAAUUUCUAAUAAAAUCAAUUUCUCACAAAAUUAAUUACAUCAUCAAGUAAUAAAAAUUUAAAUAAAAAUUUCAAACCAAAUCUAAAAUAAAUUAAAUACCGUAAAAGUGUUUUAUCCCAAACCAAAUAUAAAAUAAAUUAAAACAGCAUAAAAGUGAAAAAUAACAUAAUAUAUUAUUUGUUCAAAUAUAAUAAUUUUAACUUCACACAAGUUAAAUAAAUUCAUUUAGGAUUAAGUAAUUAAUACCUUUGAAAAAAAAAGAAUGAUUUAGUUUAGUUAGAUAAAAUAAUUUUAUGCUUAUGAAAUUAUUUUUAAUUCGUAAACGGGUCAUAUCGGGUCAUAUCAGGUCACCAUGGGUUGACCCGAAAUCGACCUGUUUUGUUUUCGGGUCAAUCGGGUUCGACCCGAUUCUGACCCGAAUUCCUGAAACCUCAAUCCAAACCCGUUAAUUUCGUGUUACGUUCAUGUCGUGUUUUCGGAUCGUGUCAGAAAUUGCCACCCCUAACUAUAACCAACCAAGUAACGAAUGAGUGAAAUAUCUUUGCAUCGAUGAUCGUUUAAUUGGACCAUGCCUGAAAAGUUGAUCCUUUGGGUAGAAUUUUAUUAAUUGCUAUUUUUACUAAACUGCACUUGUUGAGUUAGCUCUUGAAUUUUACUUAUUUUAUUUUUACUUUCACCCCAUUAAUUAUCCCUCUCUUUUAUUCUAUUGACUUAGAAAGAAACCACUUCCUAUUUGUUCCCUGUAGAAUUGACCCUACUUGCCAUUGUACGCAAAUUUAAUAUUUUUAUAGACAAAUCUGGUAUAUCGGAUCAAGCAAACUUUUCGGGAACAUGAUGAAUCAAGUAAUCCAUUGCACAUCUAGGGUCCCUACUCCAGUACUUGGAUUUGUUCUAUAAUGAAUUGUGGUGGUAAUUAGGACUUUUUAGUAAUUAUUAUUGCAUAAGUUCGGUACCUGUCAAUGACUAUAGAAUUUUUCUAGUCGGUGAUACAAAAUAUUAAUAUUUGAAAAAAAUUCUAAUCACACAAUUGUAUUUGAUCUCAACCAACCGUCACUACUUUAAAUUAAUUUGGAUUGCAAGUAACGUCAUUACUUUAUGUGAAUAUCAAACAUGAAAAGCGCAUGAUAUAUACGAGCAAAAAAAUUAUAAUGUACUAAUUUUCAAUUUCUUUAUGUAGAAUAUUUUCGUGAAUAUUAAUUUUUGACAUAUCUUAGUCAAGGUCAUUAAUCAACCCGGACCUAAUCAGCUCCAAACCCAGGGCAAAUUUCUGGCAAAUUUCUUUGAAAUACUGCCAAAAAGAAGUUUGAAAAAUAUUGUUGAAAAGUUGAGCAUUUUUCUAUCUAGGCUCUUCGUGUCUCCUACACGCAAUGGAUAGUUUAUUUGUUCAAUUUUCUUUUUAUAAAAGGAGCUUGUCGUAUGUCAGGCACAUGGCGAGCCACAUUUAAAAUUUGGUUCCUAUCAUAGAGUCUAUUAUGUCCCUAACACUGAUGGACUGUUUUUUAAUUUUUUUUUUUUUUAAAAAGCAAGUGAAAAGUGUUGCAACUCAAGAGUUGGAUAGUAAUUUUAAAAUUUAAUAGUGCACCUACCUUUUAAUUUUUUCGUGUGCUUUUAAGGUAUCAAACGGGGAAAAAAAAACCAACACCAUAUAACUUCAAAUGCAAGAUGGUACGGAAUUUGUCAAUAUGUAGAUGUUAAUAGACAUUAAUGACAUGUAAAAAGUGCACCAUUCAUCACAGAGAUAUUUAUCCUAAUAUUACACUCUUUUUUUUUUUUUUCAAAAAUUCCAUAUUUCAUGCAAACAUGUAAUCAAUAUGCCUAAUCAACAUUAGAUGAAUUUAAACAAGUAGCCUACAAAUUUAAAAAUAUUUGAUUUCAUAAAUGUGCAUUCGCAAUUUAGAAAAGGUACUCUUCAAAUGGCAAAUCUAGAGAGCAACAAAUACUCCUACUCUAUUUUGAUUUCAGAUCUUCUUUUGACUUGCCAAAAACGUGAAAACAUGAAACUAAUACUGUGUCAGAUGGAGAGAAGUAAUAGAAAUUUGUUUUCUAGAUUCUUUGGCCUCCCAAUUUUUUCAGCGGGUCAACUCCGACCAUUAUCAUGGUCAUGUGAUUGUAGGUGUACCUGGCUUUGUAGACCACAACGUGGAUUGGAUAUGUCGAUUAGCUCCCAUCCUAUUAUAAUAUUUUUUCUUUUAUAAAUCAAUAUCUAUUCUAUUCCUAUUUCAACUUCUAUUCUAGGGAAAGGGGAGAUUCAACUGAAAAAUUGAUAGUGAUUGAAUCACGAUCGGACCAAACAGAUGUACUAUGCACAUAUACGAAUCUUGGAGAAGCCGGUGCAAUGAUGAGAGGUAAUGUUUGAGUCUUGACCUUCCAUUCCACUAAAAUUUAUAGUCUUUGAUAGUGGCCAACCACCCAAAGAGUUGUUGGUUAACUCCCACCCUGUUAGGAAGUAAAGGUUUUCGACACUCUAAAACAAAUGUUUUUUUUUUGUUUUUUCAAUUAUUUUCAUCUAUCACCAACAGCUGGCGGUCAUGGGUCAUUCAUCAAAGCAUAAAUCCGAACGACACUAAUCCCUCACUAGUCAUCCCCUCAUUCCUUCACGUAUGUUUUUAAUAAAUUGGAUUCAUCUAUUUGGUGUUCUAAAAUCACAUUUAAAAAGUUUUUUUUUUUUUGCAAUGUGUUAUUAUUCAGGACAUGAAUGAUAAUUUUAAAAUUUGAAUAGUGGACCUAAAAAUAAAACUUGUAAAUUUUACAUCUUAGCCUACUUACUUUUAAAACAGAGGGAAAAAACAGCACAUAAUUUCAAGUCAAAGAUUGUAUGCAGUUUGUCCAAUAAAUAAAUAUUCAUAAUUCAUAAUUUCAAACGACCGUGCCUAGUUGCGUGCGACCAUGCCCCGUCGGCCUGCGUUCCGCACACUAGGAUUCUAGAACUGUGUGGAACUCUUUAGAGUCCUUAAAGGAUAAGGAUGCAUGAAUCUUGAAGAUAAGCAUGAACCUUGUAAAUAAGGUUGUGUAGAAAAUUCUAAGCACUUGUAGUGUUUUGGCUUGCCUAUAAAUAGGCCAAGCCCUUUGUAUUGGAAAUGGUUGGCGACCUUGUGUAAAGAAACUUUAUGUAUAAUAUAAGCUUUUCUUUGCCACACUUACAUAUCUUUGCAUACUACUUUGGCGCUUCCGCACUUUAACCGCGCAUUGAGUGUUAAUGCUGAACUAGUUAGGCGUUCAUAGCUUAAGACAUGAGCGUAUGUUAGUGCCGCACGAGGUGUUGGUUUGUAGGAAAACAAGCAGCCCGUGACAAUAGGAAUGUGCUUAGAAAUUGACAUGUGCACUGAUGAUUAAUGCGGUGGACCCGUAAGGGAAAGUGGACAUCGGAAGCCACACGCGCAUGAAUUAAGUGUAAGGAGGAAAUGAUUUCGGGAAUAGCUAAUAUUACCAUUUAUCACUGAUUUUUAAAUUCAAAUUAUUUUUUUAAUUUUUCGUAUGUUGUUUGACAAGAAAAAUAAUAUUUUAUUAUUAUUAGAUUCGCAAGAAAUUCAAAUUUAUCUUCUUAACACUUAGUAAAAAUUGAGUUUAAAUACAUAUUUAUUUUUAAAUGAAUAUAAAUGGAUGAGUCGAAUCAAUCAAUUAUCCUGAGUAUUUUGAAUAACUCAGUUUCAUGUCCGUUUCAAUUCUUCAAAAAUUGCACAGAAAAGUGAAAACAAUGAAAAUGUCUUGGACUCGGGGCACGGACGGUUGCAGGUGCAACCGUCCCUGCCAAUUUUAGUCAUUAUCAACUGUGCGUAACUUUCUUUGUACAUCGUAUAACUUUUUUUUUACAGGAUAUAUUUUCACAACAGAUAGUGGUGAGUCCCACACUUGGCGCGAAAAUCGAGUUACAUGGUGUUAUCUUAGCCGCACAAAAUUUUGAGGACAAAUUUUGAUCCUUAACCGUGCAGGGACGGUCAUACUGCCCCAAAUCCAAAUGUCUUAUAUUAGCUUGGCAGUCCUGCUGAGGUAUAUACAGGUGGAAAUCAUGCUACACAUUGUACAGCUUUCCUUUAGAACCAAGAAACCUGAGCAUUCUCUUUCAAUUGAGAUAGGCUAUCCAGUUGAUUAAUGAUAUGCUAUUUACUUACCUUGUCAAUCGUUUUCAGUCGGUGCCAAAAGCACUGCAGUAGCCGUUUUUUAGUCAAUAUCUAAACACGGUACUCAUUUUGUUCAGAGUACAGCUUUUUGUCUAUUUGUGAAAGCCAACUGCAACUGCCUCAUUGACUUCUCCAAGUAAUUCAAAGAUUUCAGCAGCUUGCUUACAUUAAGCUUUUAUGAAACAAUUUCUGUCUUCUUUUUCUCAUGUAGUCAGCAAAGAAUUGUCUAAUUUACCCUGAGUAUUAGGAAGAAACUUUCUUGCAGUUUAAUCACUCAAAAAACAGGCAAGUAUAAAGGAAAUCAAGGAAAAUUGACAACUGAUAAUUGAUAUGUACAGCCAUUAUUAUAUAUAGACGAAGUCAGCAAUUGAUUUAAGCACGUCUCGGUAAGUUAAAAGGUUAAAACUUUACAUACAAAUAAAUGGUCAAAUUCACUUUAAAUUUGUGGUGUCAUCUUCCACCUUAAACUUUUGUACUACCCAAGUUUGUUUUAAUUCCUUUGGGAAAAUCAAACAUCAAAUGCUUACCAUUUAUUGAAACAUUACAUCAUCCAUAUUUUUUUUUGACAAAAAAAGUAGAUAUAUAAUUAAUAGCAGUAUUCAUAUUAUUUUUUGUAUAUUACUUGUACAUCUAAUUAGUCCCAUUUGGAAAAAAAAAGGAUGAAAACAAAAACACAUAAUAGUCACAAAAAACACAGAUCUAGCUCAAAAUAUGGCAGUGACCAAUUGUUCUGCAAAAUUAGUAGGAUAAGCAGUUGACAGAUUCUAUAAUCGCUUUUGGUCAAAUAUUAUUUAAAUUAGCUGGAUGGUCAAAUAUUACUUUUAAUUUUAAUCAUUUAAAUUACCAGUUGAAUGUUGACUUCCCAUUUCACUAAAAUUUAUAGUCUUUGGUAGUGGCCAAUCAUCCAAAGAGCUAUUGGUUUGUUCCCACCCUGUUAGGAACUAAAGGUUUUCGACCUUCUAAAAAAAAUGUUUUUGUUUUCAAAAAUUAUUUUCGUCUAUCACCAACAGCUGGCGGUCAUGGGUUAUUCAUCAAAGCAUAGAUCCGAGCAACACUAAUCCCUCACCAGCCAUCCCUCAUUCAUUGUCGCAUCCUUUUUAUGAAUUGGAUUCAUCUAUUUGGCGUUCUAAAAUCACAUUUAAAAGUUUUUUUUUUUUUUUUUUUUGCGAAAGUGUUAUUAUUCAGGAUGUGUAUGAUAAUUUAAAAUUUUAAUAGUGGACCUAAAAAUAAAACUUGUAAAUUUUACAUAUGAGCCUACCUACUUUUAAAAUAGAGGGAAAAAAACACCACAUAACUUCAAGUCCAAGAUUGUAUGCAGUUUGUCCAAUAAAUAGAUAUUCAUAAUUCAUAAUUUCAUAUACACAUGUUAACUAGAGAUGUCAAUCACAACCCAAUUAUAUUGAUCCGUUCAAAACCGUUCACUAAUAACCCAUCCAAAUUCACUCAUUAAAAUUUAAAUGGGUCUAAGGUUGUGUUUGGAUUGCAUUUUCCGUCAUUUUUCAUGGAAAAAUUACUGUAGCGAUUUGAUAUAUGUGAGGGAAAAAGGUGAUAGGGAAAUGUGAUCACGGAAAACGACAAUAUUUUUCGACAGAAACAAGCAAUCCAAGCAUGACCUAAGUGAGUACCUAAUUAAAUUCAUUUAAUUGGUGGAUAGUUGAUUGAUUCGAUUCACCUAUUUAUAACCAUUUAAAAAAAUAUAUUUUUAAACUCAAUUUUUACUAAGUGUUAAGAAGAUAAAUUUGAAUUUCCUACGAAUCUAAUAACAAUAAAGUAUCAUUUUUCUUGUUAAACGACAUGCAAAAAAUUAAAAAAAAUAGAAUUUCAAAUCAGUGUAAAUGGGUAAUUAAGUAUAUUCAUAUCCAUUUAUUAAAUAGAUAUAAAUGGAUUGAUUCAAUUAUAUCUAUUACCCAAUUAAAAUUUGCUCAAAUCCGUACAAGUCACUCAUUUUGAUGCUUUUAAUGUUAAUAUAUAUUCACAAGUGAAGAGUGCAGCAUUGGUUGGGAAGAUAUACUUAUUUAUCUCAAUAUUAUAAUCGUUUUUUACGUUGCAAAAGUAUUGAUAAUUUCAUAAUUUCAUCGAAGUAUGUAAUCAGUGACAUAACAUUACAUGAAUUUCAACGAAGUAUGUAAUCAGUGACAUAACAUUUCAUCAUUAGUCUUCAGCGGUGAAUCUAUGCUCUUUUCACGAGGCUUCUUUUCAAAGCUUUGAUUAUGGCAUACACUUCUGACAAUAUGCCCCUUUUAGAAUAGGGAUAAGUUUCUGGGUGAAUCUUUUCACGAGGCUUCUUUUCAAAGCUUUGAUUAUGGGGAUAAUUUCAGAUACCUCCCCUGAGGUUUCUGAGAGUUUCACUCCCCUCCCCUGUGGUUUCAAUAAUACCACAAACCUCCCUUAAAACUAGAUAGGCAAUGCCAAAAUAGACCCAUUUUAAAAAUACAAACAAUAAAAAAUUAGUAGCUGGUGAGAGAAACAAGUGUAUACCACAAAUGCCCUCAUUAUCUUGCAUUAAUGAACUAAUCUCAUGUGAAGAAAAAACAGGGAAUUUAAGAAGAAAGAAACUUGAGGGGGUGGAAGUGAGACCAAUGCAUUCAUUAAGGUCUGAACGUCAGUAGUGAACAAAAUGGAAGGCAACGGCUCUUUCUGGUAGGGCAUGUUGUUUUGUCAAGCGAGCAUAUAACUGAAGAACGGCCUGCAUAACCAAAGCUAGUACAUGUUGUUUUAUCAAGUCACAAGCAAUAAUCAAUACAUUACCACAAUCUUCCAUCGUCAAAAAGCCUGUAGGUUUUCCAAAUGUUUUCUCAAAGAUUUAUCGACUUUCUUUAUCCUGCAAAAGAGGAGUGGAUUUUUUCUCAGCAACAUCUUCCAGAACUGGAGAUGCAACAUGUUUCUCUGAUGAGUCAGGUAUUAGUCCUGCUGCAGUCUCUUCUGUACUUUCACGAGAGAUUCUGGGCCUGGAUUGCAACAAAUUAUCCAGGAUUAGAAGUAAGGCACUAAUACAUUUCGGGCUCAAAAUCUCAUUUCCUGCAAUAGUCCUUGCUUUGAAGUUCAUCAAGAUAUCAAUUGCCAAUGGGACAAUGCCACUCUGCACAGCAAUUUGUCGAGCAUUUUCAUCUUCAGAUAAAAUCAAUGCUAAAGUAUGUGAAACCAUGCACAAUGCACUAUUAUCUUUUGAGAAUUCCAUGGGGCACUGCUUUAGCUACUUUACAAGAUAAGGAAUCACCCGAUCACGGUCUUCUCCUUUGUUCCUAUUGCAAAGAGUCACAAGCAAAUCUGUCAACUGGAAAGCCAUUGAAUCACUACUGUGAAACAACUUCAUUGUUGCAGCAAGGAUGUCAUCAACAUAAGGGGUCUUAAUUCGUUCCUCUUCUGCCAAAACAUCCACUGAUUUUUCAGUGUUAUCGACUUUAGAUGCUUCUGAGGAAUUUCCUAGAGAUAAAGCAAGUGCACGAGCCAAUUCAUCAUCCUCCAGCACAGGAUCUUCAGCAUGACUAAAUAACCAUUCCAUAGCCAUUUCGACACUAUUAGUUUCCACUCUUUUUAAUGCCUUCUCAGCUCUUGCUCUUGAGAACCCCAUCUCAACAAUGGUAGCAAUGGUAGCUUCAUUAGGUGGUGGAGCCACCAAACGUUGGUUUGUAUUCCCUAACAACCCACUACGAUUUGUUUAACAUCACCAACACCAGAAUAUACAUGAGUGAUUAGUGAAAUAAUAGAAGUUAUAAAAACUGGAUUACAAUUUGGAAACAAAGGGUGAUUCCAGAUGGGAACUAUAGCAUCCAGAACCUGAGACUGCAGCAUACGAACAAACACUUAAGGGUCCUUAGGAACAGGAAGCAACCCAAUAGACAGACCAACUGCAACAGGUUGCACAAGCAGCUGUGCCUGGGAUGCUAAGGUUGGAGACAACAGCAAAGAAGAAUUGAUAAAAUAUUCAAGAAGGCGACAAUAACUCUGCAAUGUAUCAAGCAGCCAUGAACUGUGAGACAAUUUGCCCUCCUCCGGUAAGACAAUCAUAAAAAGUUACAAGUAACUCUUGGGGUCUACCUUAGCCACUCUUACUUUUCUUCCCAUAAAAUGGAGCACAAUAUCAUGAAAAUCAGUGAUAACCAUCCUACAAUAGACAAUCAUAGGCUACUGAAGUUACAAUAUUAGUUAUUGAAGUUACAGAAAAUAUUAGCUACAAUAUUAACCAUCUUGCAACAUUGGUUGCUGAAGUUACAGAGCAAGUAUAAGCUUUCUAAGUACUGAGGUUUGGCAUCUAACUAUAUCAAACAAUCCAAGUCAGACGAGAAAUUUAGAAUCAAGUAAGCAUAGUCUGGUAGAGGCUUAGCAAACCAAGUCACAUGACAAACCAGAAAAUCAUAAGCAAACAUGUAUCAAGCUUACACAAACAACAACCAAAUCAUCAUAAGCUGCCAAUAUCAUAUUGAAACAGAGUAUGAAAUCUUAAACACUUACCUGGUAAAUUUUUCUUAAUGAGCUAAGAGACUCUUCAGUUUGUUUGCCAAGACCUUUGUUUGCUAAGAACUUUCUUAACGAGAAUCAAGAGCUUUGUUUGCCAACCAUCAACCUCAGUUGCUAUAUCUCAACAAUGGCGGGAACAAAGUAAGUUUCUUGCUUCUAUAGGUACCGUGCCUAUCAAGCUGUUGUGUCAAUCAGACCAUGGCGCCUAAGUUUGGCGCCAUUUUGCUGAAGGCUCCUUUCUAUAUUGGUUGUUAGGACUCUAAUUUUUCGUUAAUUAAUUACAUUAAUUGUGUUUAUAACUAAUUCAACUAAAGUUUUCCAGAUAAUCAUGAAAUAUUAGCAAACUAGUGAGGGUAUUUAAGUCUUUUUGGCACCAAUGACGUAAGAAAUGGGACCUCACAAUCUGACAAGGGAGGUUUGUGAUAUUAUUGAAAUCACAGGGGAGGGAAGUGAAACUGUCAGAAACCUCAGGGGAGGUAUCUGAAAUUAUGGGAUACACUUCUGACAAUAUGCCCCUUUUAGAAUAGCGAUAAGGUUCUGUGUGGGAUAAUUUCAGAAACCUCCCUAGGGUUUGUAACAAUUUCAUCAAGCUUUCUUGAGAUUUUCAAUAUUACACUUACCUCCCUUGAUGAUAGUGACUAUAAUAAUCUUCAUAAUUUUUUCAGAGACAAGCCAUUGAUAAAAAAGGAUUAAAAAAAAACGAAAACAAUUCUUCUUGGCUAAGCCACAUAUUGUGACUAAAUUGUUUCAUCCAUGACCACUAAAUUGUAAUUUUCUAUUACUGAGAAAAGGAAGUAUUUUGGUAAUUGAGGGGCUUGGUUGUUUGAGUAGGAAAAGGGUAAGAAUUAUGAAUUUUAUGAUUGACAGUUUGGUAGACAACAUAUGGAAAAAACUUAUAGAGAGGUAAAAAUUAUAAAGGUAAGAAUUAUGAUGGUGGAUUUUGACAUCUAAAAUAACGAGCUUGUUCGAAAGAGGAAGAAAUGAUAAGACUUUGAAAACUUGGGUAGAUGUAGAAAAUUAUGAGAUGAAAAAUAUUAGGACAUUGGCUAAGUAAUAAAACUCAUAGGUUUAUAGUAUACAAGUGUAUUCUUGAUUUUUGAAAAAUUUUAAUGACUAUUCAUAUUUUGAAAAUUAGAUAAGGACAAUUUUGGGCAUUCGUAUAUUUUUUUGGUCUUACAUCGUCAAGGUGAAACUCAAACCUAUGUUUGAGUAAAUAUAUGUGUAAUUUUCAAAACGUGAGAAAAGCUGUCUGAAAUUAUCAGAAACCCCAGGGGUGGUUUAUGAAAUUAUACAAAAAACUCCAAUAAAGUGGCAGUUCAAACUGGGCCAACCAUCUCCUAUCUUCGCAUGUCCUCCCGCCGGCGGCCCUGAGUCAUCUAUAAAAGUAUAGACCAAGACAGCACUAAUCCCUCAUCAGGCCUCCAUACUUCUUCUUCAGGCCUCAGCAACGAAACAAUAAACUCUGCUCCACUCAACUCUUUCCUCUGUGUCUUGUACUCUUGUCUGAAAAUGGCGGCGUCAGAAGAAGUGAAAGUGCCAAGAAUCAAGCUGGGGUCGCAAGGUUUUGAAGUUUCAGCUCAAGGGCUGGGCUGCAUGGGCAUGUCAGCCGUCUACGGGCCGCCAAAGCCCAAGCCUGAUAUGAUCAAACUCAUCCACCAUGCUAUUUGCAGAGGAAUCACCCAUCUUGACACCUCCGAUAUCUAUGGACCUCACACCAACGAAAUACUCAUUGGCAAGGUACCAUAUUUGCAAAUUUUCUGCUGUUGUCUGCUAUGCAUAAACUCUUGUAAUUUUAAUUUCUAAAAGAGCAUAUUUUUAAAUAUUUUAUUUAGGUAAAUUAUGCUUAAUCCCAUGCACUUCAAAAUUUGUCUCCCUUUGUGCCCCCUUAAUUUUGUUUGUCAGCACUUAAACUCCAUUUGUUUAAAUUGUAAGUAUUAUUAGUCAAAUAUGACAUUGUUCUUCUUCAACUUUUCAUGUUACUGCCUUUUCAGUUUGUCCUCCUUUAUAAAUAUGGGAUGAAUUACUUUGAUUUUGAUUUUGGUGCAAUUUUGUAUAAAAUGAUUUUUGCUAUGAAGUUAUUGAUUUAUUAUGAGCUAUGUGUUGUAUAUUUACAAAAUUCUGCUAGUUAAACAUUCACUUGAGCAAGCCUUCCAAACAUGAGCAAUAUAAUUCUCUAUGGGUGCAUUUGGUAAAUUUGAAGUCUAGAAAUUGAAAUCUAAUCUAAAGUCUGAAUCUAUAAAGUUAUUAAAUUGUUAAGUACUAAAUUUGAUACGUUUGAGUGUAUGUCACAUCAAGUGAAAUGAAUAACUCAUAACUUAUUUUUUGAAGCAAGUUUUGCUUAAGAAAUUUAAUGUCAUUUAAUUAAUUCAGAUAUUCAAUUUUUGGUUAUCAAACGUGUCUAAAUAUGUUAAGAUCUGAAUUUAUUAAUUUUAAGUGUUAAAUUAGGUUAUCAAACAUGACCUAUAAUUAUUAAGUAACCAAGCAGACAACAUGUUUAGUGUAUAAUAGUAAUUAGCUUUCAAUUUGUCUUGUUAUUCUUUGGUAAAGAACUCUUUGAAUUAAUAAUAAUAAUUUUCUCAUACACGGGAAUCAAAAUAAUUGAAGUGUUAUCUCUACAAUUGAGAUAUGUCACCUUCUAAAAGAAAGGAAAGGGAAGGAAACAUGGGGGGAAAAUAGGGAAAGGGCAAAGUGAUGAUAAAGAAAAUUGGAAGUAGCAAAAUGACACAAGUGAAUUAUUGCAAGGGGUUAAGUGUAAAUUAUGUUUAUUUUAUUAGUCUAUUUAACCAGAAAGAUUGGGCUCUUGUAAGGCACCAAUCAAAAGUUCCAAUUGCUGGAAAUAACAUAAAAACUUAGACUUUGUUUGGUUUGGCAUUUUUGGAGGUGGUUCAUGAAAAUUUUAUUGUAGUUUUUUUUUUCUUGUUGAAAAAAUAUACUUGUAAGAGGAAAAAAAAUGGUUGAAAAAAAAUUGAGAGUUUUUUUUAAUAAAUUGUUUUCUAAAUAGCUCAGUCACCCAAAAUUUUCAGUAUUCUGACAAUGGCAUCCAUGUGGUGUCAAUUGUCAAACUUGCAACAAAGUUGAGAAAAGAAGGUCGUAGGUCUAGCUCUUUUUUAAUACGUUGAAUAGCUCUAUCCCAUUAGAAGGAUUUAGAACUCUUCUACCAUCUCUUUAUUUUCUUUUUUUUUUUCCCUUCAAAAUUCUACAUCAUAAUGGAGUUGGUAAAAUAGUACUAUUUUCGUCUUUGAUGUUAAAAUUUUCAUCAAUUUAUGGAAAGUUUACUAUUUCUCUAACAAGAGUUAGUAAAAUUUACUUUUUAUGAGCAGUAAAGUUUUAAAGAUUAUGAAAAAAGAAUUGUAUGAAGGAACAAAGGGGAAAAGAAAGGUAAGAAAAUGGAUGGAUUGUAUUUGGAUUGAUUUUGAGAGGGGAAAGGAGAGGAAAACGGAAAGAAAAGGAAAUGGAUGGAUUGUGUUUUGCUCAGACAUCAUUUCCCUACAAAAGUAGACGGAAACAGAGGGAAAGAAAAUCUUGUUGAUGAUUUUCUAGUAAAAUGCCUCAAGCGCCCAAAUUUUACAUAAACUGGCCAUUUGUGAAACCUGCUUUAGAUAUGAAUUGUGGGAUGCAACAGCAGGCUAGGAAUGUUUGACGAAGCAACUUAUGUAAAUAUUUUAUCGUUAAGUAAAGUUCCUCUUUUGCUGUUAAAAAAAAAGAGAGAGAGAAAAACCAUUCCUUUCAUGUCUGUCAUUCUACCAAACAGCAUAUUUAGGUUUUCUUUCUUUCCCAUCCAUAUCUUAUCCAAAUAAAACAAAUGAGAACUAUUUUCCUCUACUUUCCUUUCCUUUCUUUUUCACUAGGAUGUUUUAUUUAUUUAUCUUUCCUUUCCUUUGAUCCAAAUGGUUCCUAAAAGGGCACUAAUUCAUCUACAUUGAUCAGUUCCCUAUUUUUGUAUUAAUGUGCAUGUGCAUGUGCACGAUUCUGUGUACGUUCAUGUUGUGCAUCAAAUCUUAAGAAUGAAAAAGCUAGAUUGUAAAUUUAAGUUGAAGAAAUAUAAAACAAAAAGAGAAAAUGGAUUGGGUCCUUAAGAGUAUCAGACUUCUAAACUCCAAGGAUUACAUAAUUUUCAUAUCCUUUGCUAUAUAAAGAAGUGGGAUAGCCUAAACAAUGAAGUGUUGGAAAAACUCCAGAGGAACUGUGCCAUCCAUGAAAUCACAAAUCCACUUGCUAUACCAUGCAAUAAUGUUCAUGUCCUUGAUGAUUAAUAUAAUGAAACCAUGGUUCUAGGCCUUGAAGGAAGGAAUAAGAGUGAAAGUGGAGCUAGCAACAAAAUUUGCAGUCAGUUUUCAGGAUGGGAAGUUUGAUGUACGUGGUGAUCCAGCCUAUGUGAGGGCUUCUUGUGAAGCGAGUUUGAAGCGGCUUGAUGUGGACUGCAUUGAUCUCUAUUAUCAACAUCGCAUCGAUACACGUGUGCCCAUUGAAGUCACGGUUUGCUUGUCUUGCCUUUCUUGUUUUUUAGCUCCACCUCAUUCUUGAUGAAACAAAAAUUUGAUCAACUCCAAAUUUUGAAUAAUUCAGUUUCAUUUCCGUUUCAAUUCUUCAAAAGUUGCACAGAAAAGUUAGUCAACCUUAUGGUCUCGGCUAAUCUGCAGUAUGGUAUAGCUGAUUUUGCACAAGGCAUCCUGAAAAGUGAAAACAAUGAAAAUGUCUUGUAUUAGCUUGACGGUCCUGCUGAGGGAUAUACAGGUGGAUAUCAUCCUAUACAUUGUACAGCUUUCUUUAGAACCAAGAGACCUGAGCAUUCUCUUUCAUUUGAGAUAGGCUAUCUGGUUGAGUAAUGAUCUGCUAUUUACUUACCUUGUCAACCAUUUUCAGUUGGUGCCUAAAGCGCUGCAGAUAGACAUUUAUUAUUGAUAUCUAAAAAACAUGGUACUCAUUUUGUUCAGAGCACAGCUUUUUGUCUAAUUGUCAAAGCCAGCUGCAACUGCCCCAUUGACCUCUCCAAACAAUUCAAAGAUUUCAGCAGCUUGCUUACAUUCAGCUUUUAUGAAAUAAUUUCUGUCUUCUCUUUCUCAUGUAAUCAGCAAAGAAUUGUCUUGGUUUCCCUGAGUAUUGGGUAGAAACUUUCUUGCAGUUUAAUCAGUAUAAAGGAAAUCAAGCAAAAUUGGCAACUGAUAAUUGGUAUGUACGGCCAUUAUUAUAUAUAGAAGUCAACAAUGCCAUGUAAUCAUAUUGGAGGAGCAUUAUGUUGGCAUGGUCCAGUAGAACUAAGUCCUCUGGUGGGCUGUACAUAGAGAAGUAUCACCGGAUGCUUAUUGCCAUUUUCAUCAAUUAGUGAUUUCAGUUUGACGUGUACUUUGUCCAUGACUUCGAUGAACUAGUGCAACUUUUACUUUUUGCACGUAAUAUUUUGAUUAUCUGCCUAAGUGCUGAAUGUAAUAAGUCAGCUUAGCAUCUUCUUGUCCAUUGAAAUUCUCUAGAUAGGAGAGCUUAAGAAACUGGUUGAAGAGGGUAAAAUAAAGUAUAUAGGUAUGUCUGAGGCCUCAGCUUCAACAAUUCGAAGAGCACAUGCUGUUCAUCCAAUAACAGCUGUACAGUUGGAGUGGUCAUUGUGGACCAGAGAUGUCGAGGAAGAGAUUAUUCCCACAUGCAGGUAGUGCAUAUAUUCUGCUGCAUUUUCUACAUGGUCUAGAAGAAAUAUUAAGUUCUCAAUUCAGUUUUUGGUAUAAUCUUUCAGAGAGCUUGGCAUAGGGAUUGUUGCAUACAGUCCACUUGGACGAGGUUUCUUCUCAUUAGGUCCAAAGCUGAUCGAGAAUUUGGCUGAAGGUGACUACCGAAAGGUUUGUGCAUAUCGAAAAAGAUGGAGUUUUUUAGUAUACAUUGUUUAUAGUUCGAAUAAGUUUCUCACUCAUCUAUUUUUACCACAUUCAGUGGCAAUCAUGCUUGAUAUCCCUAUUGUUGUCUAUCACAAGCAAUGGGUAGUAUCAAUUUUUAAAGUGCAAAGAUGUCAAAAGAGGAAGAAACUAUGUCACUUUUUAAGUAAAAGUCUCUUUACGGUUUUGAGGGGAAAUGGACCUUGGACUUCAAUUUCAUCAUUUAAUCUCAGGCACAGAACUUAUGCUGUCCUGUGAAACUAUCAUUUUUCCUUUACCAUUAAUCCUAAAACUGAGUUUCAUUGGUCAGAAAUAUACUUCAUAGUAGUACCUCCUCUAUCGUUCAUAGUAGUACCUCCAUCGUUCAAACAAACAAAAAUUAGUUGAUUUGUAUUUUAAGUUUCCUCUUUGAUGGGAAAUGUAUCUCAGAACUUAACUCCAACGGUUGAUGCUUCCUCCGUGGAGUAUUCAGUCGAACUUGAUGUAUUGUUCUUUCCCCUGAACUUGUGCCCUUCAAACAGUAUUUCUGAUCAUCUUGAAGUAAUUAGUACCGUCUGUUCAUUACUCCCUCCCGAUUUCUUGCAUUAUAGUUUCCUCUUUAAUGGGAAAUGUAUCUCAGGAUCUACCUUCUACAAUUGAGGUUUCUUAGAGUACUCAGUCCACCUUACUGGAUUGUUCCUUCCCCUGAACUUUGUACACCUUAAACAAUACUAUCAAUCAUCUUGAAGUUAUUCAUAUUGUCUUCAUUUGUAGACGACACAUGCUUUGCUCCCUUUUGAAUUUCUGGCAUUACAGUUGCUUAAAUUUUGAAAUUCAUACAAUGUAGGGUAUGCCAAGGUUUCAAGCAGAGAAUUUGGAGCACAACAAGAACUUGUACGAGCAGGUCAAUGCCAUUGCUUCAAGGAAGGGUUGUACUCCAUCACAGCUAGCAUUGGCCUGGGUCCAUCACCAAGGCAAUGAUGUUUGCCCCAUACCUGGCACUACCAAGAUUGAGAACCUCAAUCAGAAUAUAGGAGCUUUGUCUGUAAAACUGUCAGCAGAGGAAAUGGCGGAACUUGAAUCUUUGGCUUCUGCGGGAGUCAAGGGUGAUAGGUAUGGGCCUGGCCUUGGUACUUGGCAAACUUCUGAAACUCCACCUUUGUCAACCUGGAAGAGAACAUGAAGACAUACUUUGUUAUGGCAAUAAUUCCUUCUAGCUAUGUGCCUGAUGGUGGAUUCCACUAUAUUAAGAGUUGAGUGAUAUGUAUUUGUUCCAAU
RNAcentral lists this long non-coding RNA (120342 nucleotides) under Coffea arabica (coffee). RNAcentral describes it as "long non-coding RNA (CARA_LNC002173)". Lineage: Eukaryota; Viridiplantae; Streptophyta; Magnoliopsida; Gentianales; Rubiaceae. The record is from RNAcentral.